AUACUGUUACAUUUUUAACAUUGAAGUCAAUCUUUUUUAAGUUAAUAGAGUGAAAAGAUAUAAUAAUAAAAGGCUAUGUAAUCUUUCACUUGCACAUAUUCUGUACUCUCUGGAGCACGACGGUAGGAAACAUGAUUACAGAUGUUAAAUUCGCCUUUUUUCACAAGUUUAUCAGCUUCGUUUGCGGCCUCUGCUGCUUGUUUACCAAGCUUGUAACGAGAAAUCAAAUUUGGGCACAACCCUUUGAAGCAGAAUAUCUUAGCUCUAUCUUUAUCAUCAAUGAUGGAUUUUGCAACCCCUUCACUGAAUUCAGCAACUCUAUUUAGCCAGUCUCUGACACCCUUAUAAAUCUCAUCUCCUUGUAGAGUAGCCUCUCUAACCAGUGUUUGCACCCUUUCUCUUAUAUAUUCCAGCUCCUUCACUCAAUCUUUUAGCCCAUUUAUGUAGCUCUGGUACUCGAACACAUAAGAUAUGUGCCGCAUAAUCAGUUCGAAUAAUGCUUUUGAACAUUGUGAUACAAUGCUGGAAAAAGCAGGGAGACACCCUUCUGCAGCCAUUGCUUGUUGCUUAACAAUAUAUAUAUAUAUAUAUAUAUACAAGUGUCAAAGAAAGGAAUACAAAUAAAUUAAUAUGAACUAGAGAGAAAGAUAGAGAAUGAAAAGACCGCCAACAAUAUCGCUAUAUUGAUCUUGAACCAACUAAUAAUUAAAUAGAGAAUUUCUUUUUCUUUCUUAAGGAUCAGAGGUUUUGCUAUUAGCAAAAAGGUACUUCAAGGGUCUGAAUAAAAAACCAACCAUAAAUUAUCAAAAGCUAGUAAGAACACAGACGUAAACAAUGAACAAUUACUUAAGCCAAACAGACCAUGAUACAAAGCAAAUCUAAUAAAAUGACAAAGAAAGAAAGAAAGAAAAUACAACAAACAGUAUUGAAGUGUUGAUCAUGAGCCAACUGAUAUUUAAACAGAUUUUUUUUUUAAUUUUUAGUCUUUUCUAAAAGGAUUAGAGUUCUUGCUAUUAAUAGAAAGGUUUCAAAGAUCUGACACUAUUAGAAAAGUAUUAAAUAAUGACAAAAAUUUUAUGACAUAUAUGGUUGUAUCUCGAAUGUGUCAUAAAAUUAUGAUAGAUUCAUAAUAUGUAUUCAUAUGCCCAGAAUAUAUGAUAUAUUCAUGACUUAUAACUUAACCGUAGUAAAUAAAUGAUACAUAUAAGUCAUGAUUAAGUUUUGUGACCUUAUAAGAUUGUAAAACAGUGUCGUUUAAAUUAACGACACCGUUCUGUAUAACUUAAAACACAUCAACACUUCAGCCAAAUUUUGGCGGGUAAAAACCCAUUUAGUCCCUAUAUUUUAAGAUUAGUAUACAUUUAGUCCCUAUAUUUUUAAAAAUGCCUCGAAACGUUCCUGCCGUUAAAGUAUUGAUACCCCUACUGUUACUUUUUAUUUCUUUUGGCUUACUUUUACAAUAUUAUAAAAGUGUAAUAUUGUAAAAGUAAGCCAAAAGAAAUAAAAAGUAACAGUAGGGGUAUCAAUACUUUAACGACAGGGACGUUUCGAGGUAUUUUUAAAAAUAUAGGGACUAAACAGACACUAAUAUUAAAAUAGAGGGACUAAAUGAAUUUUUACCCAAUUUUGACUAAGCGUUGAAUAAAUCCCUCUCUCUCCACUGGCGACUACAACCUAAAAUGAAUCAACUCUGAGCCUCUCUCUAUAACACUAUAUAGAACCCUAAACCUAAGAGCAUCUCCAAAAGGCUUUAUAAAUUUUACUCUUUAAAUAUUUAUUUGCUUACCUAUGUGGCUAAUAGAAGAGUGAAAAAAUAUAUUAUCUCUAAAAGACUUUUCAAAUAUAAAUGAGUUAAUAUUAUUUUAAUUAAAUAAUUAUUUUUUAAAAUGAAAAGUCAAUAAUAAUUAAAUCAUCUCUCUCUUUUUCCAACAAAAAUAAUAAAAUAUAAAUUAAAAAGAAAGAAAUCAACUCUCUAAAUUUAAAGAGAUAGAAUAAUUUUUUAUUUAAAAAAUUUUAAUUAAAAUAUUUUAUAAAACUUUAAAUGUUGACUUAACUUUUCAGACAGCUAAUAAAAUAAGAAAUAAAAUCUUAUUUGAAAAGUGUUUUCCUUAUAUUUUAAGUCUCACAUUCGCAACCGACGAAGCUGAAAAAGUUCCCCACAUAUCAAAACCACAGCGAACUGCCUCCGACCCUACGGACCCAAAAAAAUUUAUUGUAUUCCUGCUCUUUCACAUCAAUAAUUUUUUGUAUUAUUCCAUAACCCAAAAGCUUUCCUCUGUUUCAACUAAGCGAAAAUUUACAUAUUAAAGCCUAGCUCAAAUUCCUUUUUUCAAUCGAAAUAAAACGUAGCCCCAAAACCCUAAUUCACCACACCAAUUUAUCUCUGCCCGGUAUUCAUUUAAACCCUACCUCGCGGUUCAAUGUCAUUCAAUACGAUUGCAGAUGCCGUUUCAACUUGUCAUUUAGUUAUUGCCAUCCAGUUCUCUAUGGUAAGCCUUAACCCUAACAACUAAUCGACUGUGGUAGCACGUUGCUUGUUAGGAGUGGGGAUACAUUAUUUAACUAUAUGAAUUGGGUGAUGUUAGUGAUUCAUUCCCCUAUUUGUCAUGAAUUAAGAUUUGUGUAUAAUGCUAGUCAGAUUGCUAAAAAUUUCAUAUUUUGUAUUGUUCCAGUUGAAUUUCUUGCUUGUGGAAGAUAAAACAAAAGUUCAAUUUCAUGUUGAUUUAAUUCUUCUUUUUCUUCUUUUUUUUUUUCUUCUUUAUAGUCACGCUCUGGCUUUGGUGCUAUGCUUAGUGCAGUUUAUGGUUUCAAGAUUAAGUCACGUUUAUUUGAUGGCAUCGAUUCCAUCGUUGAGGAUUGGAUUGUUGAUCAAAUGCACAUAGUAAGCUCUUCUUAUUUUAUCUCAGUUUUAAUUUUCUUUUAUUAUCUGCCUCUACCUGAAAAUGGACGUGUUUUACUAGUAAGCAUAGACUUUGUUUAUUUAAUUGAUAUUUUAAUUUUAUGUAUAAGAAUAGAGGUUUAUUUUGGAAAAAAAAGCAAUAAAAAAACAGACUCUGUUGAAGCUAAUUAGUACUGAAUGUUUUUGGUGGUGCGACCAGAGGUGGAAACAGGGUAUGAAAAUGUGUUACUAGUGAGGUUGCUGCUUAAGAUGAGAAUGCAUUCUUUUCAAAAAUCCUUGGUAGGUGUGAUCUAAUUAUAUUUGAUGGAAUAUUAAAUGGCUAAAAAUCUGUCAUACGUUCAAACUUUGUUUGUGUUUGGAAGAAUGGUGUUGACUGUAUAUUCGUUUGGAAGAAUGGUGUUGAUUGUAUAUUCAUUUGCUUAGCCUUUUGACAGAUGGAUUUGAAACUGACGACAAAUGUGAUUCAAUUUACAAGGUUUUCGAGGGGCUCACAGUGGAAGGGAUAUUGAAGAACUGGUCUAAGAUAAAGCCUAUGAUUGUGAAAGAUUGGAGUGAGAAUAUAAAUGCUCGUUUAAAUCUCUUUGGCAAGGUCAGAGAUGAAUGGAUAGAUAAGGAUUUAUUUGACUACUUGGACUGGUGCUAAUAGGUAUUUUAGGCAAGCUUUUUGAGAUAACACUGAGCAAGUUAUACUACUAGUUUGCACAUGAUGAUCAAAACUCUCAAAAAGUAAAAUAAAAUAAAUUAUUAACUUUUACUUAUCUUUUGCAUAGCAAUCAAUGUGGUGCUUGUUCUGUGACAACUUUGAUAAUCUACUUAAUUAUUGGUUAGCAUUUGGACCAAAAAAGUUCUUAUGAUUUACAUGUUUUGUAGAAAUGCAUGAACCUUAAAUGUGCUGAUCAGGGAGUUUAAUUAUUGCACCUUGAAAUUCAUUUAUUGUUAACUAAUUGGCUUUCCUUUGCAUAAAGCCGCUUAUAAGGCUUGAGUGGACGUCUUUAUGGGCAUAUUAUUUGUAUUUCUAUAUGCAUGCCUUUAUCACUUAAUGUGCUGCUUUUAUUUCUUUAUGCAUGCCUUUAUCAUUUAAUGGCCAGCUCCCUCUCCUCUUUUGUAAUUUGAAUAGUAGUAUGGGCCUCCAUUUUACAAAUCUUUAACAUUUUUUGCUGUAAAUUAAUUUUUCUUUCAAAUAUUUUGGAGGUCAUUGGAAUUCCUGUAGGUCUAUUUACCAGAUUUUAGUAUGUUUAAGGUUUUAAUUUUGCUUAAACUUUAAUUUUUCUGAAAGAUUGUAGUAUUGAUCCUUAAAGAAAGAUCAUGCUACUUCAAAUUAUUUUGAAGUGUUGCCAGUUAUAGCCUUACAUAACAAAUUCCAUUUGUCUGGAAAUUUAUUGAUAGCUGUUACAGCAGCAUAUUUUAUGACUCUACUUCUUAGUUAUGUAAGUUCAUUAUGUUUAGGUCAGAGGCAGUCAGCUGUGGGGAAUCGAUAUAUACACAGAUGACUUUGAUCUUGUUGCUGGUAUGUGGUUCUAUGAAUAAUUGUGUUUGCCUCACUGUUUUUGUUUUAUGAGAUCUAUAAUUGAUCUUGGGAUAUUACUUUCUAGUCCUCAUGCAAGCAAGUUACUACCUUCCCACUGCAUCUCCUCCUUUAUCUGCUAUUCAAGAGUUGCGUGCCAUAAUCUGGUGUUACCUCUGCAAGAUUGUGAAUGAAUAUAAUGCCUCUAAAUUUAUUUUAUACAUAAUGCUGAUGCUGAAUAAUAUAUUGUAGCUCCUGUCAUAUUCUACUUUGACUUUUUAUAUUCUGUUUCAUAUAAAAAUCUUAUUCAACUUUAGUUGUUCAUGAGCAAAUGUCACAUGUAUAAGCCCAAAUGAUGUUUAAAGGUAGCGCGGCUACCUUUAGUUUGAGCUUACAAUGGAUGAAAAAGAAAUUGAAACUGAUAUUUUGCUGUUUUUCUGAUUUUUCAAAGUAUUUUAGAUCCUGAGUUUUGUUUGGACUUGAUGGUUAUAGAUUGUGUCUAGAUUUGUUAAGUUGUUUCCAACACCUCGUGCCAAAUGAAAGCACAAUCUUUCUGAUUCAGAUGUCUUGUUAAUUAUGCUUCAUUUUUUCGUUAAAGAUUGGAUGGUUGCAUGGAUUGAUGGAGUUGGAGUUCAACCAAUAAUUCUAAUUUUUUGGACUUAAAAUGCCUUUUUCUUCUGUAUAAAAACUUUAGUAAGUGCUAUUGAGUUGACGGAGGUUGAAUACUUACAGGUUGUUUCACACUUUUUAAUAGUUUUACAUAUAUGAAUUUCUGUUUUUUGAAUUGCAGAAAGGAGGUGGAACUAUUGAUUUGGAGCCUUAUCUUACUCACUCAUCGACAAUGGAGCCUAUCCUCGCUCCCAUGGCAGUGGAACGGACAACAACUACUAGGGCUGCAACAUCAGUUGGUUUGGGUCUGUUUUGAGUUUAUUUUCAUUUAUUUGGCUAUGUUUUGAUAGCGAAUUUUGAUAUGUCAAUAUAAUGUGUAAUUGUUUUGGGUUGAGCUGGUAAUUAUGCUGGAUUAGAUUGGUUUGGUUUUGGUGCUUCUCUGAUGGAACUCUGCUUUUUUUAGAAAUUUUGAAUGUAAUAUGAGACUACAUUUAGUUUAAUUUAACACUGCAUCUAGUCUAAUUACUAGAAGUGUGGCAUUUGGUUUGGUUUAUCCGAUAUUCUCCAGAAUUUCACUUGCAUCUGGUUUUGUUGCAUAUGUUUGCUUGCAUUUGAUGGCAGUAGCAGACUGUUUGGUUUUGUGACAUUUGAUGGCAGUUUGGUCUGUUCUUGGUGUUGAUUUAAGAUUGUUCCUGUUGUGCUGAUGUUAAUUGCAGGUGCUUGAAUCAGCUAGGGUUGCUGGUUUAUUCAGAUGGUUGACUCAGGCGUUGUUACUGGUUAAUUCAGGUGGCUGACUCAAGUUGUUCAUUUAAUGUUAGGAAGCAAACUAAGAAUUAAUGAAGUAUUCAUUUAACUAUAAUUAUUGUAGUUAUUUUAUUUCAUAACUGAAUUAUAAUCUAUGAUACUUGUGAACAAAUUAGAGAAUUUUUAUAUAUGAAUUAUAUAUGUGUGUGUAUGUACAUUUUGCUAUUUAUAUAAUAAUUUAAAGAAUAUAUUUCAAUUCCCACAAAAAAAAAUGGCUCCAAUUUCAAUAAUUCCCGCCAAAUAAUUAAAUUUUUUUAAUUUACUGCCAAAAUAUAUCUUAAAGAAAUGUUAGUUAUUCUUGCUAGAUUUAACAAAAAUAAUUUGUAGGAUUAACAUUUAAUUAAAAUAAUUAAAUAAUUUUAUUAUUCCAAUUAAAUAUGUCAUGUUUAUACGUCAUACAAUAGUCAUGAAUGGGAAGUAUUAGUUACAUAUUUUUCCUUGGGAUUUCAGGCAAAUGAAAAAAAGAUUGAGAAUGGUUUCAAGAGGACAGGUGGAUGAUAAGUAUUCAUUUUUGUAUAUUUGGUUAGGGGAUUUUUAUGGUAUUGAUCUUUUUUUUUUUUUAAAUUUUCAAUUAGUUGCAGCCUUAGAGGAAGAGCAGGCUGAUCAAAUUGAUUUGUCUUGUUUUUCGGGCAAUCUACGACACGAUGAUCGUGAUAAUGCUCGUGACUGCUGGAAACUUUGUGAUGGAAAUAACUUUAGAGUUCGUAGCAAGCAUUUUUGUUAUGACAAAACAAAGGUUCCCCCAUAUUUUGUUUGUUUGUUAUGGUAUUUAUAUAUCCUGCAUAGGCUAGGUAGACAGGUUAUGAUGUAGUUUGGUUGGCUCUUCUUGUGCUUUGUGCAAUUUGUAACUGCAGAUACCUGCGGGAAAACAUUUAAUGGACCUUGUUGCUGUUGAUUGGUUCAAAGACACAAAGAGAAUUGACCAUGUAGCUAGGCGUCAAGGCUGUGCUGCACAAGUAACUAUUCUUUUCUUUUUAUUUUUCCUUUUCCAUUGAUGCAUUAGGAGAAAAUAUUGCCUGUGAGAUACUUCAAUGUAAAUAACUUCUCAUGGUUCAUUGAAUCUAUAACACACUGACCCUCUUCUAAAAAACGUAGGUUGCUUCUGAAAAAGGGCUUUUCUCACUGAUCUUUAAUCUUCAAGUAAGUUUGUUUCAUUUCAGAAGGUAUUAAGUUUCAAACUUAUUGUAUUGGGAGGUUGUAUAGUUGUAACCUAAGCAUCUGCAGGUUCCUGGUUCGACACAUUAAAGUAUGGUAUUUUAUUUUGUCACAAGGCAAUUGGUUAUGGGAUCACUUUUGCAACGGUUUGUUGAUGGCGAUGAUGAGUUUCGCAAUAGUAGGUUGAAACUUAUUCCAUCUGUUCCUAAGGUAUCCAUCUUGGCCUUCAUGUAUUAGGACUAUAUUAACGUAUACUUACCCUUUUCUGCAUGGUACACUUCAAUUUGUCCAAAGAAGGCAUGCAUUUAGGUGUAAAUGUAUUGAUGGGUAGUACCUUCAAACUUCAUGUCCUUUUUACCCUCUUGAAUUUGUUUUGCACUUGUUCUUGAUUUUAAGCACUGAAUCAUGCAGGGGUCAUGGAUCGUGCGCCAGAGUGUUGGAAGCACCCCUUGUUCAUUAGGGAAAGCGGUUAAUUGUAACUAUAUUCGCGGUUCCAAGUACUUAGAAGUAAAUGCUCUUGGAAUUUCUAUAGUACAUGAGAUGUUCAUCUUUCAAAUAGCGUCCGAUACCAUUAACAUGGUUUAACAUUGUUCAUCUUUUUGUAGAUUGAUGUUGACAUUGGUUCUUCUACUGUUGCUAAUGGAGUUUUGGGCCUUGUAAUUGGUGUAAUUACGACAUUGGUGGUUGACAUGGCUUUCCUUGUACAGGUAUGUAUGAUUGUUUUUUUCCCCCACUUCUAAAUGGACACAAGGGAAAAGACAUGAUUUUGAGAUAUUGCACUGCAAUUUGCAUUUUUGCAUACUUGAAUGUUCUCAGAAUAGUAUAAUGCUUCGUGUGUGUCUUCUUUAUCUUGCUCUUCUGUAUGCAGGCAAAUACUACAGAUGAAUUACCGGAGCGGCUGAUUGGUGCUGUACAUGUUUCUCAUAUAGAACUCAAGUCUGCUGUUGUCCCAAAGUUGGAACCAGAGAUAUCAUGACUCUGGUUUCAUUUCACCUCAACUGUGUUUUUUUUUUUUUUAAAUUAAAAAAACAUUUGUUUUAGGUAUACAUACAUGUAUUUUGAUCCCAUUUUCAUGGGAAUUUUGCAUUAAAAAAUGAAGAAUAGUGAAUAGGAAAUUUCUUGAUUCUUUAGUUACUAUUUUUGGUAUGAGUGUAAAUAGUAGUAAAGUUGGUUUCUACUCGCAAACAAGUGAACUGCUCGAUUCCUGAGUGGUAUCAACCAGUUUCCAACUUUUUAAUAUACACUAAUUGUUAUUGUUUAAUAGCUACUACUAUUAAAACUCAACAGCUGACAAAAAUACUUAAAAAAAAUGAUUUUACUUCUUUCCACGAGAUCUAUAACAUGGUCUUGACUUCACGAAAUUCUUUUAAUUUAAAACGUGCUGGUGUGAGAAGGUCAGUUUGACGGAUUAAUUCUUUUUUAACAGUGGUCGAGAUAAUUUUACUAUACUCAAAAAUAUUCUUAUUCUGAUAGUGCCAUAAAUGUUAUGCUGUUUUCUUCGGCUAAUGGUCUUCUAUCAAGAGAGGGUAGAAAUCAAAUGCUUAAAAGACCAAUUGAAGGAAUAAUACAGAAAUUUAGGCAGAAUCUAAUCGAAUAUUGCAUGAAACAGGAAACAUCAAUUCAAGUCCUUUCUUAAACGGAGAAUGCAUCAAACAAAAUCCAAAGUGUCUUGCAAGUCUGUAGCAUGAGCAAAAAAUUAUUCAAGUACAGAAGAAUGAGCAAGCUAAAUCAUGUAUAAGAGAUUGGUCUGGUUCGGGAUAGCUUCUUCACUGUACCUAAAGGGUUGGCUCAAUCUCUUCUUUAGAAUUCUGCAGAUUUUGUAAUUACUCGUGUAAGCAAGCAUACAUUGCCACCAUAAGAAUAAUAAAGCUAGAGUAAUGAUAUGACCACCACCUCUCGUGCACAAACAAUAUUGUAUAAACUAAUGAGACAUAAUAUGAUUGGUUAAACAAAAACAUUACAUGGCCCUCAUAAUAAUAAUAAUAAUAAUAAUAAUAAUAAUAAUAAUAAUUAUUAUUAUUAUUAUUAUUAUUAUAUAUUUUCAGUCAACCAAUCAUAUUAUAUCACAUUAGUUUCUAUAAAAUAAUUAGCUAAAUAGCACCAAAACUUAAUUGAUACUCACCAUUUCAUUGAACAAUUUUUUUAUGGUGUCAUUGAGGUUGCCUUCCCAACAUCCUUCAUCAUCAUCAUCUUCUUCUUCGGUGACGUUCACUUUGUUUAGCAUUGGUGUGUCUAAGAGUCCUUGAGAGAAGAUCUUCAUUUUUGGACACUGUCUCACAACUACUUGUUUCAAGGACGGGAAUUCAAGAGCGUAAUUACCUAAACAAAAGCUUGUUAGGCUUGGCAAACAAUCAAGUCCCAAGUACUCCAAUUCCUUGAAAACAUUGCAAUCUUUCGCUUCUUCUCCAACCUGCAAUUGUAUGAUUUGUUCUAUCAUUUUGCAAUCAGCUAUCAUCAUUCUUCCGAGAUUCACUAGAUUUUUAGAUGCUGAGAGCGUCAACACAUUUAUCAACUCGUGACACUUCGAUACUUUCAAAGCCUCAAGAUUUUCCAAAUGCCACGAAGGUGGUACUAAUUUUUGCAACUUACUACAUUCCGAUAUUUCCAGCCUUUCCAAGUUUGCAAACGCUUUGUUGGAUUCGUCAUUUUCCUUCCAGAGAUGCUGCACUUUGUGUAAUCCAGACAGUCUUAAAUUCCCCAAUUGAGGGAAAGCAACCUGAAAAUCAACAAAAUUAAGUUGUAAAUGAAAAUAUGUAUCCAAUCUCUGCAGUCUUCCCCUGCAUAUUUUAUGGACAAGAUUAAUCACGGCAUUUUAUAUUUUAUUUCCAAAUUAGUAUGCUUUGCACUAGGAUCCCAAAUAUAAGUAUCAAAUCGAUUACCCUUUGAAACACAUAAAUGAAAACUGAUACUAAAUCCAAUAUGAAUUGAUAAUCAAUACUAUAAAGUUACCAGUUCAUCACCUCAUGUUACCAGUCAUCAAAAUAAUUUAGGACUUUUUUAAUUUAUACUAUAAAGUUAGUUAAUAACUGCGGUUAUAUUGUUAAAUCAUAUAUAAAUUAAGACGACGUGCAAAAAGAUGUCAUUAAAUUUGAUUUGAUUAUAAUGAAAUUACAUAUGUGCGAACGAAAGUGAAGGGAAAAUAAUAAUAAUGAUUACCUUUUCAUCGAAGAGAUGUUGUAUUUGAUUAGCUACCAAGAGGUUCUCUUCUGAUUUUAAUUUUUGAGGUUCCUUAUUAUCUGCUGUCAUGUGCAGUACAAAUGUAGAAUUGGAUGUGAAUGUUUCCAUAUCAGGGCAAUUCUCAAUAAUUAGAUAUUCCAACUUAGGCAGUUCAAUUAUAUUCCCAGUGAAGUUGCAGAAUCUUUUGAGUUUUGGAAGAUCAAUGAGCUUUAGGCUUAAAAGCCUAGGAAACAGGGGGCCUAUAUGUUCUUCCUUAGCACUUAGCUCUUCCAAAUGAAGCACCUCUUCUAGUGAAUCACAAUUCCUCACUGCCAGCCAUUCCAAAUUGUUCAAGCACCGUAGCAGAUUGGCAGGAAUAGCACUCGACAUAUUCGUGCUGUCAUCCACCACCAGCUCCGCUAAAUUGUUGAAGAAUCUGACAGGCAGUGCUUGGCCAUGCCAUAUUUCUUGCAAGCGUGGAAAAUGCGAGAGUUGCAAACGGUUUAUAUCAAGGAAUCCAAUCUGCACAAACCAAAACAAUUGCACCAGAAAUAUACAAUUUUUUUUUUUGAAAGGCAUUAUAUAUAUACACAUUAAACUUACAUUUUUUGUGUUUUAACUUCUAAAAAUAUAUAUACAAGGGAGGUGUAUAUGCUUAAAUGUGCAAGUGAAGGGAGAUGCAUGAUGAACAAUUUGGGUGAAUUGAUUAACACAUACCUUUUCGUCAUAACACUUUUGUAUAGUGGAAUUAAGGUUAUUGCCUUCCCAAUGGUGUAGUUCACCCUCUUCCUUUUCAGUCACUUGCACUUUGCAUGGCUUUGGAAUGGAUAAUAUUCCCUGAGAAAAAGUCUUCAUGUUCGGACAACGUAUCAUAGAAACUCGUUCCAAUGAUGGGAAUUCAAGAGUGUAAUUCUCCAAACAAAAGCCGGUAAGUGUUGGUAAAUAAUCAAGUAUCAAAACUUUUAAUUUGCUAAAAGCAAUACGAUUCUCCUUCACUUCUUCUCCAACAUGUCUUAUGAUUUCUUCUAUCUUAUCACACCACGAUACAUUAAGAUUCACCAGACUACUAGGAAUUCCAACCUGAAAAUAAGCAGAGAGUGUGUGUGUGUGUACGUUAAAAAAGUAAAAAUGUAAGAAUAUCAUUCAACAAGGUUCAAAGUAUGUUUAAAUCAUACAAUUAUACAUUUUAUAAACAUAACAAACCAUGAAAUGUCUACUAGAUAAUUUUUUGUUAAACAAAAAAGGCAACAAGAUAAAUAAAUAAAUAAAAGCCAAAUAAACAAAAGAUAAUAAAAAUGAAUUUACACUAUUUAGUAUUAGGAACAUAGAAAGAAUUUAAUGCAAUUUCUAAAUAUUUUAGACUUAUUUUGCAUCUUGACGCCAGUUUUUAAACAAAAUUUGCAAAUUUCAACUAUUCCUUUUGGGAAAAAAAAAAUCAACCAAAAUGCCGCUUUUUCCCUUUUUCCUUGGUCCCUUUUUUUUUAUGUAUAUUUAAUUUUGGAAACAAAAUUAAAGUGGAUCUUUAUUAAGUACUUCUAGACUCGAGGAAAUUUCUUUACAAUCAAGGAUCAGUUGUAAAUAAUCAUGAAUUUGUGGUUAAUUAAUGGCAUAAUCAGUUCGUAACUAAACAAGAGAUAUUAAUUAAAUUUGAAGACUUUUCUUUUCUUUUUUUCUUUUUCCAAUCGAAAUGUGAAGAAUUAAGGACAAGAGAAAUAUAUAGAUGAAUUUGUGAACCUAUAAGAUGAGUGACUAUCCUUUAAUUUUUGAAAAUUGUACUUAUUAAGAUAUGAGCAUAAACAAUUAAAUUGAAUUAUAUUAUGCUGUUGAAUCGUGAUUAAAAAAAUUACAUUGUUGAUUCUAAUGCUGGCGAACCUAAGAACUGGACUUAAAAUGUAGAUUUGAGAGUGGUGGUUCGAAGUACAAUACUUGAAAUAAAUAAUCAGUGGCUGAAUAUCAUUUGUAAACCCAAAAAUGGUUAAAAUAUUGUUGGAUGUAAUUUGAAAAAAAAAAAAAAAGAUUCGAAAUGAAUACAGCAACCUUACCAAUGGAGGAAAAAUAUUCAUUAGGUUAUCACACCCAAUUAUCUCCAAAUUCUUCAAUUUGCUGAAAGACUCCGAAGCAAGUUGGUGGUGCCAUAUUCUUCUCAAAUUAUCGAUCGACCUAAUAUGUAAUACCUCCAACCUAGGAAGUCGUACCUGGCAGUUAAAGAUUAAAUAACUAAUUAAUCAAUUAAUGGCAUAAUCAAUUGAUAACUAAAUUAGAGGCGGAUAUUAACUAAAUUUGAAGACUUAAGGAAGAGACAAAUAAAAUAUUGUGACUAAAAUAAAUUUAAAAAAAAAAAAAACCUUUUCGUCAAAGAGAGGAGGUUGCAUUUCAAAAUGAAUGGUGUCUUCUGGUGAGCUCGUGGAGAUGAAUCUUAACAUAUUACUGCAACUCUGAAUCUCGAGCUUUAGCAAAGAAGGGAAUUCAACAACUAAAUCUGAAUGAAUAUGUCCCGUAUUGGCAAAGCUUGUUAGCUCUGGAAGCCAAUAGAGCCGCAGGAAGUGUAGUUUAGGAAAAACCUUUAAUUCAAUCAACUUUCCUUCAUCUCUUCCUAACCACCCCGUCGUGUCGACUACCCCUUCCAUUGACUUACAAUCCCAUAUUUGAAGACGUUGGAGUUGCAAAAGACUAUUAACCAUAGAAUACGAAAACAGAUACUUCAUACGAUCACAACCGAACACGUGCAGCUUUGUUAAAUUUUGACAACAGUACAUUCCUUGAUUAUGAUCGGCCCAUAAUUUUUUUAUGUUUCUUAAUCUCGUGAGAUUCAAUUUUUCUAAGCUCGGAAGAAUAACCUGCAAAGAAAACCCGUACAUUUUUGUUCCUUCAAGUACAACCGUCUAGUAUAAUAUUCUUUUCAUGAUCGAAGAUUAAUCGUGAUAAUAAAUUAAUCAAUUAAUUAUUGAACGGAAAAUUAUCACCUUUGGAGCAGGAUCAUCAUCAGCAAUGAUUUCGUUGAAUCCCAAAGAAGUUGUUGGUUUCUCCCUGUCGGGUCCUAUAAACAAACAAAAACAAUACACAUAAUUAAUCUUUGUCGGUUUUUUUUUUUCAAAAUAAUUGAGGCGAAGUCCAUAAAUCCACCAACACUUAAUUUCAACACUUACCAAAAAUCAUUUCCAGAUCAUCGCAAAGACUUAUUAAUACUUUUUGAAGCCGCAGUAGGUUUUUUGCCAUGGAGAAUGAGAAAAGAUGCUUCAAUUUGUGACAGGAUUGUACUCCUAUAAUCCUUAAGUUGCUGAAAGAUUGAUCUUCUGUGAGUUGGCUGUCACAUAUUGUCUCCAAAUUGUUCAAAUAGCUAAGAAACAAUGACUCCAGCAAGGGAAAGACUGUACAAUGAACCCGUCCAACUGAACCGACAAUAUGCAAAAUCUCAGAACAACUUUCUACACGAAGAUGCUUCAAUCGUGGAAAACCUUCCCCAUCAUCUAAUUCAUGAACAACAUUCUGAACACCCUUAAGUUCGUAUAGAUUGAUAUCUUCAGUUUCCUUCAGUAACAUUUUCAUCCCAUAAUUCUCCAAAAGACUGCUAACAUUUUCUAGCCCAUGGAGCUUCAUCAAUCUUGAUGUUUCAGAAUUAACGGGCCAGAUGUCCCACACUUCUCCUAUGCAUAUCCUGUAUCUUGACAAUUCCACAAAGACCAAAUCCUGCAGCAGAAUUUGGGCAUCCCGAACUUGUAUCUCCAAAGUAGUUAGCUUUGACAACCCCUUCAACUCAGCAAGACUGGCGUUACUUCCUCCUUCAACCUUAUCCCACUGCGAAAAGCUGUCACCCAUAUAUAGUUCUUCCAAUCGAGAAAAUUUUGAUAUGACAUUUGGUGCUAUCACCAUAAGGCUGCUACAAUUGCUCAAAUCUAGCAACAAUAACCUCGUCAAUUGUCCAAUUUCAAGGGGUAACUGCUUAAUGUCGGAAUCUCGAAGGCUGAGAAUCUCUAAUUUCUUUAGCUGUCCAACUAUUGCUAUAUCUUCUAGUCCGCAACUAUCUAAACACAAUGUUUGAAGGUUAAUGAGGCGACCAAGUGAUGAAGGUAAUGAAGAGAAAGGAAUUCUAGUAAGACUUAAAACUUUGAGUUCUUCUGUCCCUUCAAAAAAGAGGUCAGAAAUUUGCAUAGAGACGGGCGCCAUGCCCCUUGCUAUUAACAAAAAUAACUUGAGUUGGGGACAUUCCAACCUUUCGGGAAGCUCUUGAAUAUCUUCGUAAGGUAAAGAANNNNNNNNNNNNNNNNNNNNNNNNNNNNNNNNNNNNNNNNNNNNNNNNNNNNNNNNNNNNNNNNNNNNNNNNNNNNNNNNNNNNNNNNNNNNNNNNNNNNGCAUUGAUACAGCAACAUCAUGAAUGAUGUCAUGCAUUUUAACUUCAUCUUCAGUAUCGCCAUCUAACAAUAAGCAUGAAGCUUUGAGAUUGUCGAUCAAUGCAUCCACUCUAUUCCUUGCAUCUUCCAAUGUGUGAACAUUUUUAAACAAACCCAAACCCAUACCAUAUCUCAACAGGGAAACAACUUCUACAGGAUUACCUUCACCAAACAGAGUACAAAGAAGGAACAAAGAUUUUGCUUCAUCACUUUCCAAGAAAUCGUAACUCAAUUUUAUGGAAGAAUACACAUAUGCAUCCAUACCACGAAUUUCUCUUAGAUUGGAACUUCUUAGCUGAUUCAAUGCAUCCUUCCAAAUGUUAAGACUCUUAUUUUUCAGAGCACUUGCAACUGUUCUCAGUGCAACAGGCAAUCCCCCGCAUUUUUCAACGAUCUCAUCUGCAGUGGGUUGAAAAUCAUAUGUUUUUUUUGAAUCACCCACAAUCUUCUCAAAUAACUGCAAUGCUUCAUCUUUGGAUAAAGCAUCGAUCCAGAAAUUUUUCUGAGAAUUCAUAUCAUUGCACAAUAAAUCUCGACUUCGAGACGUCAAUAUUAUUGUGCGUCUACUCCGAUCGUCCUCUCUAUCAUAAGGAAUUCCAACUUUAUCGAACUCAAGUUUUGUCCAAAUAUUAUCCAGUAUAAUGAGGAGCAGCUUCUCUUGCUUCAACCUUUGACACAGUCGAGAAGCUCUUUGAAAUUCAUUCUCAUUCAAGUCAAAUUCCAUGCCUAAAUCAAAAGCAAGUUUGUCUUGAAUUUUAUGAUGAUCUGGUGUCUGUGUUACCUCAGCCAUAACGACCUUAUCGAACAACUUAUCUUCCAUCACUUGCUUUCUAACUUGCUUGACUAGCGUGGUUUUACCCACGCCGCCCAUCCCGUAGACCCCAAUUAUUUUGAAACUAUCAUCCUUCAACGCAUCCAAAACAUCUUGAAAUACUUUCGUUCUUGAAUCGAACUCCUCGUAAUCUUUCACUGGCAUAUAUUCUGUACUCUUUGGAGCAGGACGGUAGGAAACACUAGAGAAGUUGCCUUUUCCCACGAGACUAGCGGCAGCUUCUGCGGCCUUUGCUGCUUGUUUACUAAGCUGGUAACGAGAAAUCAAGUUGGGGAACAACCCUUUGAAGCAGGACUUCUUAGCUCUAUCUUCAUCAUCAAUGAUGGAUUUUGCAACCCCUUCACUGAUGAAUUCAUCAACUUUAUUUAGCCAGUCUAUGACACCCUCAUAAAUCUCAUCCCCUUGUAGUCUAGCAUGAUUAACAGGUUGUUGCACCGUUUCUCUUCUAUAUCCCAGCUGCUUCACUUGAUCUUUCAGGCCAUCUAUGUAGUUCUGGUGCUUGAACACAUAAGAUAUCUGCCGUAUAAUCGGUUUGAACAGUGACUUUGAACCUUCUGAUACAAUGCUGGAAAAAGCAGCCAGACCCACUUCUGCCAUUGCCUGCUGCUUAACAAAUCUAAUAAUAUGUCAAAGAAAGGGGAAAGGAAUAGAAAUAAAUUAAAAUAAACUAGAGAGUGACAAAAAAGGAAAAGACAGCAAACAGAAUCGCAAAAUUGAUCUUGAAUCAACUGAAACAUGAACAGAGCAUUUUUUCUUCUUUCUUAAGGAUCAGAGUUUUUGCUAUUAACAGAAACGUGCUUCAAGUGUCCCAAAAAAAAAAUGAUAAAUGAACAAGCCAUAGAAAUUUUAUCUUGGAAAGUGGAUGGAAAUUAAGAAAGAAAUGGUAUAGAGAUCAAGCAUCAGAGAUUAUAUUAUUAAAAGAAAUUAAUUGAAGGUUGUGGAAAACCUGUUUAAUUAUGGAAAGUUGAUGAGCUUCUGUAAUCGCCUUGAGUAUUUAAGUGCAAUUUUGAUGAGCAAAAAGUUACUGUUACCUGCAGAGGAAUGUAAUUAUAGAGAGCUUAUGAGAGUAAUGACAAUGAUUUGCAAAAGAAGAAGACUCAAUCAUGGAGCCCUUAAUAUUUCUUUUAUGAAUAAACUGCCAGCAGGAAAAAUAAAAAAAAGUGGUAAAUUUACCAAGUCUUAUUUUAUUUUUAAUUUCUUUUAUUUUCAUUCGCCGAAGAGGGAAUCUCUUUUUUUUUCGUAAGGGAAAUAUCCUUUCCUAAUAUGUCAUGAUUAAAGCAAUCUAUAAAUAAUACAAUAAUCAUAUAAUGUAAUAAUUAAAAAGACCCACAUAUUUAUAAUAUUAAUGAUGGGAUCCAUACGUUCCUACUGAUUAAAUUGGUGGACCAGAAUUUAUUUGACCUUACUUGUUUUAUAUUUAAUUAAAAAUUGAAACGACAGAGAAAAAUUGUCGUAAUGAUGGUUUCGAUUGUGGAGUUCAGCUGUGGAUAGCACUUGCAAUACUGAAAAAGAAGCUUUCGUCAACUUUCUCACAUGGACGCGCACCAUCACGCAUAAUUGCAUAUUGCAUUAUUUCUCUAGAAAAGCAAAAGCAAGAUUUAUUCUUUUAAUAAGCAAACGCGUAGGUGGGAAUCCAUUCAUUAAACAAGUGGAACAGCAAUAUAUUAAACCAAUGAUAAGCAUUCUUAAGUGGGAAACCAAUUAUGACGGAUAGUUCAAAAUCUGAAUCCGCCUGAUGGACGGGUUUGACCGCAGAGCUCAAGAUAAUCUGAACCAUUCUCCUUUCGUAACUUAUAGAUAAUUUGAAAACAGGGGAAUGAAAACAGAGGAGCCCUGUUUUUCCUUCCUUUUUUUUUUUUUUUUUUCUUACCCAACUCUUCUUCUUUUGUAUAUUUUCCUUGGAAUUUUAGGUAAACCAAAAAACUUUGAGAAUGAUUUCAAGAGAAUAGGUGGGUAAUAACUAAAAUAUUUAUCUAUAUAUUUAUAUAAAGUUGGGACUACAAGAGAUGAUGUGGCAUCACCAUUUCUAAUUUUUGUAUAUUCUCUAUUAUCUAACAAAUAGAGAAAUUUUCUUUCAGAUUUUAUUUUUCAUCUUUUCAUAAUUAAUUUGACUGUUAUUAUACAAUCAAUAUGUAACAGUUCAUCAAAAGACCCACUAUCUUCUUUAAUUGAAACCUUCUUGAUCAGGACUACAAGAAGUAAUGUGGCACUACCAUUUCUCAUCUUUGUAUAUUCUCUAUUAUCUAACAAAUAGAGAAAAUUUCUUUUAGAUUUGGCUUUUUAUCUUCUCACAAUUAAUUUGACUGUUAUCAUACAAUUAAUAUGUAACAGUUCAUAAAAAAACUCACUAUCUUCUCUAAUUGAAGCCUUCUUGAUCAUAAAUUAAGCAAUAAUUUAUAAAUAUUUUUAAUCACUCUUCUCCUCUGACUCACCUAAAUUUAUAAAUAACAACAAAAAAUAUGAUAUCUCAUGUAAAUAUAAAAGAAUAGAAAAUAGCAAUAGCUCUAAAACAUUUUUUUUUUCAUUUUGGCCCUCACUUGCCUGAUCAUGGCAAAUAUUACAAAUGCAACCAGUAGGAAUGAUUGCCUCAACAACAAUAUGAAACCAGGCUACAAUCUUGCAACAAGACUUGAAGUUAGUGGAGGCCAAAUGGAGUGUUGGAACGUGUUAAUGGAGCUGAAAUCAUGCUCAAAUGAGAUUGUUAUAUUCUUCAUUAAUAGUCAGGCUGAUAUUGGCCCUGACUGUUGUCGCACUGGCCUGCAAUGCUCACCUCUCUCGGAUUCACGGCUGAAGAAGGGAACAUACUGAGAGACUACUGUGAUGCAUCUUCUGCUCCUUCUCCAGGUGGCCUCGCGGUGAUAUAUCAGCUUCAGGUUUCCAAGGUUUUUUGGCUUAGACAGGGUGCAUCUAUGGUACUUCAUAAUUAAAAAAAGUCUUUUUGGUUUUAUCUUUUCUUUAUUUUUUUAUUUUUUUUUUGGAAGUCUUGCCUCUUAAUCGAAUAGAAUAAAUUGUUAAAAUUAGAAUAAGAAAAAAAGGAUAAUAUUAUUUUUUUUCAAAGCCGCGCAAAGGGCGGUUCUAUUUCCUAGUUUUUAUAUAUUUGAUAAGCACGCUCACUAUUAAUAAAACCCAUUAAAUGCUAUAACUUAAAUAACUUCUUGUAGUUGAUUGAGAGUAUGUUUGGAAUUUCUUUUACUUCCCAAUAAUUAAUUUUUACCUUGAUUAUCAGAAAAUUAAUUUUAUGAAUAAUUUAGCCGGGUGUUUGGUAAAUGAUGAUUAUUUGACAAUCAGUUUUUAAAUAAUCUAUUAUAUAAAUAUAGUAAGUGAAAAUUAGAAGUAUAAUGUUCAUGUAGAAAUGACAAAAAUGUACUCAUUUACUUAUUUGUAAUUUAUUUAGAAUAUUAUUAUUUAAAUAAUUUUUCUUAUUCAUUGGAUUUUUUAAGAGCAUAUUCUAUUUUCUUGAUUACACAUUUAAAUAACUUUUUAUUAACUAUUUUAAUCUGCAAUAAAAAUUAACUAUAUUAUAUUUAACUAAAAAAUUUGUUAUGUAGUCCGUAAUAUACACAAAUACUUGAAUUUAUUAAUAAACUUAACUGCAAAAAAGAAAAUGCAUUACAUAUAUCUAAUUUCUUAUUUUCAACGAUUGAAAGAUGUUAUUUAGGAAACUUGUACGAGAUAAUUUAAUUUUGGACUAUUGACAUUAUAUUUACUUAGAAGUGGAAAUAGUGGGUGGAUAAAUUUAAUUUUUCAUUAAUUGCUCAAGAAGCAAGAGGAUUAGUGAUGGAUGGAGAGUUAGUGUAGAAUUGUGAGGCCAUUUGAUUACUGCAAGCAUUAUAAAUUUCUUGUUGCUGAGAUUAAUCUAAUUGAAUUAAUGACUCCAUGAUAGACUUAACAAAGGAUUCUUGUGGCAAGAUUUCUAUUUAUGAGGCCAUUUGAUUACUGUAAGCAUUAUAAAUUUCUUGUGGCAAGAUUUCUAUUUAUGACUCCAUGAUAGACUUAAGUUUUAGUGAGACAAUUGCUGCCUGUUGCAGACAUGAUACCUCUAGUACUUCAGAAGAUAGCAUAUCACGAAACACAUCCAGACUAUACUGAGGUUACAUCGAAAAUUCCUUGGCCCAUCGUGCGAGUGUGUGACAUCCCGCAACAAAAAUUAGGGUAUGUACUAUAUAUAUAAUGUGUUUUGAACAUAAUAAUAAGAAUGCUGAUUUUUAACAAUUAAUUUAUUUUACUUUUUUUAGUGGUGAUUGUGGAGAAUUUUUGUUGCGGUACUUGGAGGUCCUAACCCAUGGACUUGAUGUCAAUUCAUAUUGCAAACAAGAUCAUGUUAUACAAUUUCGAAAAGCCUUGGUUGUCAAAUUAUUUGGGCAUAGGUCAUGGAAAAAAACUUUGUAGUGUACUACCCUUAAAAACUUUGUUGGUGUGUCAUUUUUGGACCAUGAGAUGUGAUAGUUAUAAUGAGGAUGUUGUUGAUAUUUGAUGUCAUUAAAGAUAACUUGACAUCAUUAAUAUGUUUUAUUUCUUUGUUAACUAUAUUAAUGAUAGUGAAGAUAGUUUGUACAAUCUAUGUAAUGUAACAGGAUUGCCAUAUAUGCUCAGGGAAUACUCUGUAAGAAAAUACACGACUGCUGUUAGCUAUUUGCACGGAUACAUGACUGCAGUCGAGUAUUUACAAAUAUACAUGACUAGCUCUCUGUAAGAAAAUACUCGACUGCAAUUGGGUAUUUACACAGAUACACGACUGCAGUCAAGUAUUUAUAAUUGUACAUAACCAGCUCUCUAUAAGAAAAUACUCGACUGCAUUCGGGUAUUUACACAGAUACACGACUGCAAUCGAGUAUUUAUAAUUAUAUUUGACCAGCUCUCUGUAAGAAAAUACUCGACUGUAGUCGGGUAUUUGCACAGAUACACGACUACAGCCGAGUAUUUACAAUUAAAUAUGACUAGCUCUCUAUAAGAAAAUACACGACUGCAGUCGGGUAUUUGCACAGAUACACGACUGCAGUCGAGUAUUUGUAAAUAAACAUGACCAGUUCUGUAACAGCCAAAAUACACGAUUGUACUCGGGUAUGUGGACACGGAAUAAAAAAUCAACUAAAACAUUCAUUAUAUUGAUGACACAAUCAAUAUAAACUUUAACAUAUUAAAUUUCAAAUAAAUGAAACUAACUGUAGUCUGGUUGCCUAUCAAACAACAUAAAUCCAAUACUUAUUCGAAUCGUAAAUAAGUCAUAAUACAAUAAAAGUUGUUUAACAAUCAUCAUAAUUUUUUUGCAUUUUCAACCCAAACACUCGGUCCAUAUUUUAUAAGCCUCUAGUAAUUUGGUUGCCUAUUAAAUAACCCGAGAUACUAUUUCUAUCAAUUGUGCAUACGUUGUAGAAUAGGGCACUAUGAUCCCUCUUGCCUUUGUACCAUUAAAUCUAUAAUGGCCGUUUUGCUCAAUCCAUUCACCACAAAACAUAAUUGGCACACGUACUGAAGUCAUUUCCUGUAAUAAUACAACGGUUGAUUAUACAACAAAUACAAAAAUAAAAAUCAAGCAAUGUAUAUAACGAAGUGUGGAUCUGUCUGCCUAUUUACAUGACUCACGUCGUGUAAUUGGUAGUUUACACGACAAUAGUUAUGUAACUUGCUAAAAUACACAACUAUAGUUCUAUAAACAGUCAGAUGAUAUAUUUAGUAAAAAAAGCUGUAAUCUUUGUACUAAUCGAAUGGUAGGUGUCAUAACAGCUACUAUAUCUUCCAAACUUGCACGAUUGUUGUCGUGUAAAUUCAUACAUACAUGACAAAAGUCGUGUAAGUUGCAAAAAUAUAUGACUCAAUAAAUAAUCAGAGGACAUAUUUCUUCUUAAAAAAAUAUUGGGAUCUGAUAACAAUUGGAACAUUUUACAUAUAUACACAAUUAUAGUAUGUAAGUUCAUACGUACACGAUAGUAGUCGUGUAACUUAUUAACACACACGACUAUAGUCCAGUAAUAGUAAAAGGAUAUAUAUAGUGAAAAAAAAAAUAUUUUUUGCACCAAUAGAAUGAUAAAGUGUCAUGAUAAUUGGAAUCUUUUGCACAUUUGCACGACUACAGUUAUGUAAAUCCAUACAUACAAGACUGAUGUCGUGUAUGUCGGGUGCAGAAAAAAAUUUUGGCAACAACUUCAGGUUUUAACGAAUGUAGUUAUAAAAUCCAUCAAAUAACAGUCAUAUGAUGCAAAUGUAAUGAAAUAUGAGUUGCUUUAGUGUUUAUCACAAACCAAACAAAACCCUAAAAAUAAUAUAAUGUCAAUUAAAUGAAUAAAUAACACAAAAUAAAAAAAAAUUUCAAAUACCUUAUUCAUGGGAUGAAUAAUGCACCCAGCUGCAAAUUAAAAUCUCAAUGCAUUAGCUGUUUGUGAGUGAUUUUGAGUAUGGAGUGAGUUUUCGUUGUGUGGAGUUAAAAAAAGUGAGAAGUAAAGAGUGUUAGAGACGAGUUGUGUGUGUUUUAUAUAUUUUUUUAAGGAUAUUUUAAACAAUGUAUCACAUAAAAAGGUAUAUCUAGAUAAUUUUCAAGCAUGUGAUAUAUUUAACUAAAUACCCUACUUUUAAGGUAUCUUUAAUUAAAAACCCUCUUAUAGUUGAUUGAGGGUAUGUUUGGAAUUUCUUUUACUUCCCAAUUAUUAAUUUUUACCUUGAUUAUCAGAAAAUUAAUUUUAUGAAUAAUUUAGCCGGGUGUUUGGUAAAUGAUGAUUAUUUGACAAUCAGUUUUUAAAUAAUCUACUAUAUAAAUCUGGUAAGUGAAAAUUAAAAGUAUAAUGUUCAUGUGCAAAUGACAAAAAUGUACUCAUUUACUUAUUUGUAAUUUAUUUAGAAUAUUAUUAUUAAAUAAUUUUUCUUAUUCAUUGGAUUUUUGAAGAGCAUAUUCUAUUUUCUUGAUUACAUAUUUAAAUAAUUUUUUAUUAACUAUUUUAAUUUGCAAUAAAAAUUAACUAUAAUAUAUUUAACUAAAAAAUUUGUUAUGUAGUCCGUAAUAUACACAAAUACUUGAAUUGAUUAAUAAGCUUAACUGCAAAAAAGAAAAUGCAAAAAUUUAAUCUCUAUAUAAACUUUUAUGUACACAAAACUAUUGUAAUAAAGUAAUUCAUAGAAAUAUAAUAUUAUAUACAUGUGUAAAGAAAUAUAUAACUAUAAUAUUAUCCACUUGUAGCACUAUUAUUUUUCAAUCUCUCCAUCUCUUGAUCUUCAAGAACGUUAGUACCAUGAUCUGCUUCUUGAGUUCGACCUCCAUUUCCACAGCAUCAACAAGGCAAUCAAUUUGCCGUGAAAGCCUUACAGCUCCUCCCACUUUCCUCCUUUUUGUAGCCACUCUUUUUCCCUUUCUUUAUUUAGUAGCUUCUAUGGAAAUGUUGUGAAAAUUUUAAUAUACUCGCAAGCGCACGAAUCUAGAAAUAGAAUAGUAGUAACGAGGUCGAUCCCACAGGGAUUGUUAUAAAUUAAAAAGUCUAAUUUAAAUCUAAAAUUAAUAUUAAUUCUAACCUAGUUGAGCAAAUUGAGUUUUUAAGAAAAUUAAACCAAUAAAACUAAGGAAGCAAUUAAAAUAAAGGAGAAUUCAAUAAGAUAAGAAUUACCAAGGUUUUAGAAUCCACCACUAUUCAACUAGUAAUUAUCUAAUUAUUAAUUAAUCCCCAAUUUUGGAGUGACAACUCGAAAUCAAUCUAUGUCAUCUCAUGGAUAUAACAAUUAAGCCCAAGUAAUUAAAUCUAAUGUAAGUUCUUUUUCUGCUUAAUAAUAUGACAUCUAAGAAUCUCAUGUAAACAUAUUGAAUAACAAAGAGUCAAAGUUUUCCUAAGCACUCUAUGUAAACAAUUUAAUGAAAGACAUAGAAUCAAAGAUAAUCAUGUAUAAACUUUAUAAAUUCAAGCAUAGAUUUAAUUGAAUAUUAAUCCUAACAAUCAAUAAUGCAUGACAGAAUUGAUGAAAAGAUUUUAUUAAUAUCUAAUUAAUCAUGUGAAAUAAAAACCAUAAUCAUCAAAGAACAUAUAUAGGGAAUUAAUUAAAUAAAAAGAUAAUUAUUUCAUUGAAUAGGGUUUCAUCCUUAACCUCAGUAUAAGAAAAUUAGUUAGACAUACUUGAAUUGAGAGCAACAAAAUAAAUAAAUUCAGCCAUGGGGAAGCCGAAUUGCUGCAGAUUUUCUUCUCUGUCUUGAAUCCUUGCGUCUCCAGUUCUCCCUUCUGACGGCUCUCUUGCCUUUAUAUAAUGUUACUAACUUGCUUAAUCCUUAUUGGAUUCUAAUUGCAUUAAUUCUUCUCCACCGACUUAUAAAGCCCACUCACCAAGGCCUUUUAAAAUUAUUUCCUUACUAAACUUUGAAAGCAAAGCACACGUUUGACCACAAAAGCAAAAGGCCAAUUAAUGAUUUCUUCUUUUAAUGCCCAGCACAUGCAUUCCAAAUUGCCAAAUCUUUGCUUUCCAAAUGCAUGCCCACCGUUCAUCCUUUGAAGAGAUUGACUUCCAAUUUUGGUCUUCUUGACUUCCAUUAAUUCUUGGUUGCAUUUUUGUCUUCCAAUUUAAUCUUUAUUCCUUCUCAAUUUGAAGUGUUUUCAUGCCCUUUUUAUCAACAAUCUCCAAUUAAUUCCCUAUUCAAUAAAACAAUUCAAUUAAUUAAAAAUAACAAAUAAAUAUAACUAGCAAUUAUAUUAUUAAGGGUAAAAUAUGUAUAUAAAUUAUGCUCAUCAGGAAACAAACUCAUCGAACUACCAGUACAUUUUUCAAUUAGAUAGGACUGAUAGUAGAUAUUCAGUACUCUCAGAUGGUGUGCAAACAUGAUCAUCAGUGAUUGUUGUCUUAAAAAGCAUUCUAUUUAAUUGUUCCUCUGACUCUGGCAUGCAAAAUUUCUUGAUUCACGAAUUUCCUACGUAUGUUGAUAUCAUAUUAAAAUGAAUUCAAUAUCACAUNNNNNNNNNNNNNNNNNNNNNNNNNNNNNNNNNNNNNNNNNNNNNNNNNNNNNNNNNNNNNNNNNNNNNNNNNNNNNNNNNNNNNNNNNNNNNNNNNNNNGCAUGUUGUGAGCUUAUUACCAAAAAUGAGACUAUAUAUUUAAGCCGAAUGGUAAAAAACUUCGGAUGGAGGAUGUGCCAUCUUUUUAUUUUAGAUGCUUUCGGAUGGAGGAUGUGCCAUUUUUUUAUUUUACAUGCUUUGUAAGACUUUUAAUGAUCGAGUGCAGUCAAUUAACAAAAGCUUACAUAUUAUUUGUUGAAAAUUGAUUUUAAAAAAAGAAGUCAAAAUGAUGGGUGGUUGAGCCUGUUGGGGAAAAAUCAGGUUUUUAAAUUUUUAUAAAACCUUUUGAAGAUCGCUCUCAUAUAAUAUAUAAGAAUUCGUAUUCUAGAAAUCGUACCUUGUAAAUCUGAGUUUGCUUUUUCCGCUGAAGUGAUUUAGGCUCCUAGAUCACGAUCCGCCACCACCACUCCUGUUAGAUCACGAUCCGUCACCACCACGCUUGUUAGAUCACGAACUGUCUCCAAUGAUCUUCCAGGUUAUGACUCAGGUUCGAUCUGCACUUGACGUGUGGGCGCCUUUAUCACUACCAAAGCAACUAGCACGAGAAAAUUUUUCUCUCAAAAAUGGAGAGAAAAAUCUUAUUCUCUGAUUUGUAUAAAGUGGCUUCUCCACUUUUUCUUUAGAGAAAAAUAAGCCUUUUAUAUCACUCUUUAGUGAAAACCCUAGGCUCCAAAUAAAAUAAAAUCAAAACCCACGUUAUUUACUUUUUCAAUAGGGGACCCACCUUGUAAAAUAACAUAAGGCCCGUUAUACAAAAGCUAAUUAAAUGGAGCCUCCCACUAAAUGAUAUAUUUAGGCUUUUGACCCAAAUUGCUAGUUAUCUUACUUAUUAGUCCAGUAGUGGUGCAAUCAAUUAAAUGAGCUAACCCGGGGAUCAUUUGGGAACAUACAAUAGUGGCUACAAUAAUUAGGCAUGUAAUUAAACUAGCCCAAUUAUUUAAUUCCAAAUCUACUCCACUAAAAGAUUGGAACUGACUUCCAUAAUUGUAUGCUCGAAUAAUAAUUCGUCCCAAGCCACAUUGAUUUCUUUACUGCACAAUCCUUUGUACCACAUCGUUAAUUAAAUUGAUAUCUCAACUGUCCAAUCAAUUUAAUAACAUCUUAUUCCUUGAUCCUUACUGGUUUUCUCUAAUGAUCAUUUUCAACAUACUAAAUAUGUUGACACACUCUGGCCAGAGAAUUCUAUGAUCAAGUACCGAAAACCUAUCAAGAGAUGUGUUGUACAAAUUCUAUAUUGUUAAUCCAUAACUCCAAUACUCAUAAUUGCUCCCACCAAGAUACCGGGUAAUCUUGACCACAAGGAUGUGUCGUGCCCAUUGGUAACUCAAAUGGAAUAACAAUCACAAUCAUGAAAUCAUAAUUAACUCAAGAUUAAGAUUACAGUAAAAUCAAUGCCUAUGAGAUUUAAUAAGUCUGACAGUUAUUACAAAGUUAAUUAAAUCUCAUAUGUGAUCCUGUUCAAUGUAGUCGUACUACAUCAAUAAAUUCAUACAUGAUUAAGACAAAUCAUUCAAUGAAUUUAUUACAGUCUAUACCUAAAUAAAGUGCCCAACUUUAUUUAUCAACUGCGAACUAAAUUUAUUUAAUCAUAAGAUAACUUGUAUUUAUGUCUUCUGUGAAUCCACAUGGUGAUCACAUAAAUACAUAUAAUAUGAUUAAAUGGACUUUAAUACAAAUAUUAAUGCAAUUAAGAUAUUUGAAUAAAAUACCUCAUUAAUUUUAUUAAUCAGAAAAAAUGUUUAUUACAAUUAAAUAAACACAUAUGCUUUUAAAGAGCAUAUUUUCCCAACAGAGCCAUCAUCUUUGAAUUCAAAGAUGGUGGGUGGCCAAGUUAGCCACCAUCAUUGAACAAGAAAAAAUGGGUGGGUGCCGCCCAUGCAAUGAAGAAAAGGGAGAAAAUGAAGCCAAAGUUUGGCUAUAAAUAGAGGGGUUCUCCCUCUCAUUUUUGUAUCCCAGAGAAGAAAUCCCAAAAUUUGAGAAGCAAGAAUAUGUAAGAGAAGCAUUGAGAGCUUCCAACAUGGGAGAGAAAUAUUCUUAAGCAUGUAUUUAUAUUGAAAGAGCAUUUGGCUCCUCAAUAUGGGUAUUACGGGUUUGAUUUGUUAAGGAAUAUUUCUCGCAAUUAUGUAUUUGGGGCUUGGGUGAGAGAAAAUUAUUUAUGAGAGUGUGGUUGUAAUAAUUUUCCACAUAGUGAAAUUUUUUUUUUCUGGUUGUCUCUUGACAACGGCUAUGGUUUUUCUCCGGAUUUGGAGUUUUCCACGUAAAUCUUGUGUUGUGUGAUUGUUGUAUUCUCCAUUUAAAUUUUUUGUUAAUUUGUUGCUUGACAAAUUGCUUGGAGUGAUCUUGGAAGGAAACUCAAUUUCCUAACAGUGGUAUCAGAGCCAUUGAUUGAAGUUUUGAUGUCGAGGUACUGUUCACGUAGACAUUACUAUUUCACGUAUACGAUAUUGUUCAUGUAUACGGUAUUGUUCAUGUGAAGCAGUGGGAGCCAAUCUAAAUUGUCCGUGGUGAAGAGUAUAGGGUCAUUAUAAAGCAAAUAUGUCAGUAGCUGGUAUUUUUCAAACUUGGUGGAGUUUGAUGUUGUUCAAAAAUUAAUGGGAGAAUGAUUUUUUGUUGGCUUGUGGAGAAUUCAAGUCAAAGGUGUAUCCAAUCUGGUAUGCACAAAGAUUUGAAGGUGUGGACAAUUUUGGCACCUCAAGAAAAUUGUCAAGAAGGUGGAGCGGGCUCGACAAAUUACUCCAGAAUCAGUAAAAGAAAUACUGAUAUUUCUCGCAGAUGGUGAAUUUGUUUUUGAUAAGAGAUUGGAUUAGUUCUUUUGGCAUGUAGAUCUCCAAGUUACCAUAAAAGAGAACAUGUUAUUAUCAGUGGGGUCCACAAGUUUGCACGAGGGCAUUGGCUUGGUAUAAAUGCAAGGUGUGUGGUGGAAAAGUUAUGUCAUGGCUGAAGAAUUCUCAGUGAAACCAAGCAUGAGAAUUGCACUAUAAAUUUCAGCAGGAUAUUUUGAUAUGUGCCGAGAAAAAUCUUAGAAUAGUUGAUUCUAAGUGGUAUACUCAUUAUGGUGUAGUGUGAUAAUUCUUUAUAUUGAGAAUUAUAACUAUUGGUGAAGACAAUGUUUUGUAGUAGUGACUAUGAAAUUCUUUUUUUUAAUCAUGGUAGAGAUUGUUGAAAAUUGAUUUUAAAAAAAGAAGUCAAAAGGAUGGGUGGUUGAGCCAUCAUCUUUGAAUUCAAAGAUGGUGGGUGGCCAAGUUAGCCACCAUCAUUGAACAAGAAAAAAUGGGUGGGUGCCGCCCAUGCAAAGAAGAAAAGGGAGAAAAUGAAGCCAAAGUUUGGCUAUAAAUAGAGGGGUUCUCCCUCUCAUUUUUGUAUCCCAUAGAAGAAAUCCCAAAAUUUGAGAAGCAAGAAUAUGUAAGAGAAGCAUUGAGAGCUUCCAACAUGGGAGAGAAAUAUUCUUAAGCAUGUAUUUAUAUUGAAGGAGCAUUUGGCUCCUCAAUAUGGGUAUUACGGGUUUGCUUUGUUAAGGAAUAUUUCUCGCAAUUAUGUAUUUGGGGCUUGGGUGAGAGAAAAUUAUUUAUGAGAGUGUGGUUGUAAUAAUUUUCCAAAUAGUGAAUAUUUUUUCUUUGGUUGUCUCUUGACAACGACUGUGGUUUUUCUCCGGAUUUAGAGUUUUCCAUGUAAAUCUUGUGUUGUGUGAUUGUUGUAUUCUCCAUUUAAAUUUUUUGUUAAUUUGUUGCUUGACAAAUUGCUUGAAGUGAUCUUGGGGUGAAACUUAAUUUCCUAACAUUAUUUAGGUGCUGAGAUGUCUGUUCUUGAUAAAGUAGAUUUAUUUACACCCAAGCCAACGUAACAAAAGCCUAAUAUACACAAUAAUUAUUUUUGUUAGACUGAUUUCUAGCUAAUGAGAUCUUUGAAAGCAUUCAAAGAAGCCACAGAACUCAUAGGAAAGCCCUGAUAAAAUAUACGGCGAAGCAUGUGAGCUCGUUUUUUAAUCUCUUGAUCACUCAUAAGCUUUUCUAUACCAAUGACUAUAUCAUUCUUUUGAAUCGAUUUUGAUUGAUCAUUAGAAAUCAUGUACCCCACCUUUAGAUGAUUGAUCACCAAUUUGGCAUUGUAAUGUUGAUCAUCUCUAAUUGGCCAUGCUAAAAUUGGAACCCCACACCAAUGGCUUCUACCAUUGAAUUCCAUCCACAAUGAGAUAAAAAUUCACCCAUUGAUUGAUGAUUCAAUAUCAAUAAUUGUGGCGCCCAUCCAUCUAUUAUCAAUCCCUUUUUACUGGCUUUACUACCCAAACCACUAUGAAAAUAAUUGCCUUCUGCUGGUCUGUCUAAACCAGUUAAAUGACACGGAGGAUCCAAUCUACCAGCACCAGUUUGAAUUACCCAAAUAAAUGGUUCAUUUGAUACUUCUAAAGCAUUGGCUAGUACUAAAUACUCAUCUAACUUGGACCCACUUCGAUACCAAAUGACACAUAUAACACAGAUCCUCAUGAUUUCAAAUCCAACCAUUGAAUGAUCUCAUCUUCGUUCAUGUUAGAACUCCACCGAUUGGUUCUCAUCUCACGAUCACGAAGCACUGAACCCGCCCCAUUUGUAAAAUUGUUCAAGUAAUAAUGGGCCUACUCCCCACAUUGGCUUUCCCAUUCGAUUGACUAAAUAAUGGGAGAUUGCCAAUUUUCCCCUACUAUAAUCAAUAUAUAUCAUUUAUUCAUUUACUAUUUUUAUAAUGGUCAAAAAUCCCCUUGACAGUAUAAGUUUAUAAUAUUACUUUUAUUUUUAAUUGCUCUUUUAUUUAUAUUUAUUAUAAAUAAAAUAAAUCACAUGAAUAAAAAAUAAAUAAAUAAUUAAGUAUUAAAAACAAGAAAUAUAUGUUUUAAUAUGAGCAAAAAAUUUAAUAAUAAAUUUUUCUUGUAAUUAUUUAUUUUGUGAAUAUUUUCUUAUAAUAAACAUUUAUAAUAUUUUAAAAUUAAAUGUAAAAAGAAUAGGCAAAAUAUUUUAUUAUUUAUCUUAUAAUAAAUUUUUAUUUGUCAUUCAAGUUUUCUUAUAAUAGUUUUUUAUCAUUUUAUAAUAAUUUUCUUAUAUAUUUAUUAUAAGAAAAUUUUCAAAAAAUAAAUAAGUACAAGAAAAAAUUACAUUAUUGAUUUUUUUGCUCAUAUCAAAACAUAUAUUUGUUAUUUUUAAUGCUUAAUUUUUUAUUUAAUUUAUAUUCAUGUGAUUUAUUUAAUUUAUAAUAAAUAUAAAUAAAAGAGUAGUUGAAAAUAAGGAUAAUAUUAUAAACUUAUGUUAUCAGGAAGAGUUUUUGGUCAUUAUAAAAACAGGAAGGAGGUAAAUGGUAUAUAUUGAUUACAAUAGGGGGAAAAUUGGUAAUCUCCCCUAAAUGAUUAAUAAAUGGUCCCUCAAGAUCAUCACAGGUGUUGAACAUCAAAGCCAUCCAUUCCUCCACUUCCUUCAUCCAGUGUGGUUGAUCACGGGGUUCGAUGGACUCAUUUUCUCUGAACCGGGCGCACCUCGCAAAGGUAGUGGACCACGAGGAAGGGGCCCGUGAGGCCCGUAUUUAAGCUACGAUUCGAAUAAAGCCAUAUCCUUGGGUAACCCAGGAAGUAAAUGGGCCUCUCCCGGUUUGACAUCUUGGAUGCGAGCCUGCUACAUGGCACACUCCACGCUGCUGAGCAAGCACCAGAAGUGAAGAACCCAACAAUGGGACCUUCAAAAUUCUUGAAAACAUCAGCCGUCCAGCCCAUCAUAACGUCGAUGACUGCACAAAUGGGUCGGGUUUCGGGUUCCCGGGUUGAAAGGGGUUUUGAAGGCCUUGAAGCAUUUGACUGUGCAUGACAACAUGGUGGUGGUGGUGGCAGUGGUGGAGAUGAGGAGAGUAUUUCAGUAAUUUCGAAUAGAGGGUAUUGGUGAAGAGGGGAAGGGAUGAUGCCGGUGCCGGAAAUGUGAGAGGGAACGAAUAUUUUAACAGGGACGGAGCCAGCGUGGGACGAGGUGGGGCACAGGCCCCAGCUGGCUUUUAAUUUUUUUUUAUAAUUAUACUAAAAUAUGUAUUUUAUUUGUUAUUUAUGAAAAAUGUCUCAGCUGAAUUGUAAAAUUUAAAAUUGACUCCAGUAAUUUUAAAAUAUUUCAUACUGUCCCUAAUUUAUAUUUUUAAUUAUAAAUUAUUUAAUUAGUUAUUAACAUUUCAUGAAACUUUAUUAAAGACACGAGAACAAAUAUUAAAAUAAAAAAUAAUCAUAACAAAAUGUUAGUAUAAUGGUUAAUGGACUAGUUUUUAAUCUUUUUAUUUUUUAUUCAAGUAAAAUUAAUUAUUUAGUCUUUCAACACUGACCAUAAGUUGUAAGUCUUCCUAAUUCUAAUUUAUAAUUUUCUAAUUAAUCUUUUAUCUAGUUUUAAAAUUUAUAAUUUUAUCAUGCAUUUCAUAUUUGUUCUGUGUGUUGCAAUAUUUGAAUAUUUUUGUUAUUAUUAAAAGAUUUUAAGAGCAAAUUAAGUAAUAACCUAGUCUUGUAUAUUGAAAAAUAUAUUUUUGCUUAUAUUGAUAAUUCAUUAUUUUCAACUCAUAAAAUCCCAUUGAGGAGAUUUCGCGGAGAACCAUUGUAAUAAGUAAAUUUAUUAUCAAUGAAUAUUAUAGUUGUAAUGCUAUUUAUUGAUAUCUAAAUUUUUAAAAAUGUAUUAUACUUUAAAUAUGCUUUCAAUUAGAUGCAUACAGACGCACUCUAUAAGAAGUACAAUUGUACAUGUAGCAAGCUCCCAUUUAGAGUUUAUAGGGCCCACAAUACAGUUUCUCAAAUGACGACUUAUCACACGAGCAAUCGUACAUUCGAGUCAUCUUUAAUUUUAAAUGUGCCCCAGCUCUAUCAAAAUCCUGGCUACGUCCCUGGGAACGAUGAGGGUAGAUUUGUAAUUACGUGAAGCGAUUUACUUGCAUAAUUCAAUGCAUGGAAAUAGAUGUCCCUGACCGAAGAAUGAGACAAUCCAAAUCUCAGCCUCAGCAGCAUUAACGACAGAGCUUGACAUAUUUUAUUAAUCAUUUGAUACUUAAUUAUUACUGACUGCUUUUGCCACCUUUCGUAAAACAUUCUUGGUUAUAUAUAAAAGAGAUGAUUUGAUGGCGAAGUGUGUGUUUUACUUUUACAGUUUUACUAGUCGGUGAGCUAUGAUUUUGAUAAUUUGAUUGUUAGUUUCAGUUGGUUAGUUAUGAGAAAGCAUCUUUCAAAAAAUUCAUUACAGUUUCAACUAAAAUUAACAAUACUAUUCAAAUUAAUUACUCGAUAAAUAAAUAGUCACAGAUAAAUCUAUCCCUAAUCACACAUUUAUAAAAUAAGGAUUGAAAUGAGUUUCUGUGGCUUCGAACCCACGCCCUCAAGCCCAGCGGCUGGAUCUUGACUACUUUGACAUAAUUAUUAUUAGUUUUUGUCCAUCUUUCACCAGGCAUCUUUUGUUAUAUAAUGAAGAAGAUAAGUUGACGGAGAAGAGUUCUACUUUUACUAGUAGAUGAGCAUUGAAGGUUAGUUUUAGUUAGUUAAAUAUCUACCAUCCAAACCAAAGUUCCUUAGACUAUUAUUCAAGUGAGAUGUUUGAGUAACAUAUGCUUGAGUUAGUCGGUGCCUAACAAUUCAUGUGAUACAUGAAACCAACCAAAUGAAGUUGGUAGGAUUAGAUUAAUUUAAAUGAAAAUAAAAAUUAGUUUAUGCUAUUUAUUUAUCUUAUAAUGUUGAAACUUGAAAGUUAACUCUUCAACCUGUCAAUUGGUUCAUGACAUGAUCAAAUAUUCAAGUAAAUAAAUUUAUCGGUUAAAAUUAAUUUUUCAUGUGGUAAAAGCAAUACUAAAUAUGGAGUGGAGAGAAUCAUUUGUAGGUUAUACCCCCACCUUUUAUUUCAUUUCAUUUAAAAAAAAAAACAACAACAACAACAAAGGCUUGGUCAACAUCCAAGUAAAAUUAACAAUUCCAUGAUAAAAUUGCCUGAGAAUAAAAAUUAAAAAAAAAAAAAAACAGCAACUCGAAAACGAGAUACAAAUACCGCACAGAAGUUUUUCGUCACGAGAUAUUUUUGGGUUGAGACAACGCUUGUAUAACAGAGCAUACAGCUUGGAUGACGGUGAGAAUAAGAAGGAAAACGGCACCGCAGACCGAAAUUCCAGCCCAUGGAGUAUUGAAGUAAUUUUGUUUCAAGUUUGCCCUCCAUUUGUAGCACGUUCUUUUGCAGUGAUCAUUCAAUCCUUUGCAUAGCCCAGAAAAAUAGAAGCUAUCAGACAGCAGAGUAGUACCUCUAGAAAGGUUAUUUAUAAGCGUUGACGCUGCCUCUUUAUCCGGCAACCAGUUCUCAAUGAUUCCGUUCUGAACAAGCAACUCGACGUCCUUCGCUGUGUUCACGAGAUUAUGAAUAAGGAACACGUAAUCAUUUAUGUAAUUCUCUGAGUAAUGCCGUUGUUCAAAGGCAAUGAGAUUACGAAAUAAGGAUUCCGUUUCCAGCUGUAGCUUCAGUUUCGGAAUAUGCAAUGUCCUGUUUUUGAAUUCUAUGGCGAACAAAUCAUUGCUCUUGCUCAAACUGAAGUGGACUCCAGCUUGGUGGAGAUCAGUCACACUUGGUGCGGUUUUACCUUUGUGGUAUUGCUGACCUUCUUGUUUUUCCUGAUUCCUUGAUGAUGGUAGAUGACAAAUCCUUAGAAAAUCAAGGAAAUGCUCUACCCUAGCCUCAGUGUAAGGAGGGAAUUUUUGCCGAUUACCUUGUACUGCCUCUAAACCCUUGAAAUACUCGUAUGUGACUGUGAUGAUGGUUGGAUUUUCAUGUUGGUCGGGGAUUUCAAUUGCCGCUAGAGCAAAAAGAUCCUCAAGAGUGAAGAAAGGAAGCUGAUUCUCAAGCAACCACAUAUCAUACCAUAUAUCCUCUAUUAAAUAGGGUUUUAUGAAAUAUAUGAUCAUCCUUUUUUUGAAGUUGACGGAAAUGAUACCUCAAUAAGAGUUCAAUGAUGAAGGCAGCAUCCAGCAGAAUCAUUUCAACAAAUUUAUCACUACUUAGUUCGACUUUUCUGCAUAAGAACCUCGUAAUUCUGCUUCUCUGAACUUUAUAAUUUGAACAAACUCGUCAAAGCUUAUUUUGGUCCGUUGAAGAAAGUAAUGCAGGUACCGCUGUUUAUGUUCUUCCAUUAACUGUAAGUUUGCUUUGCCAUGGUGAAGAGGGCCAAUUGAGACUACCUGAGGUGUGUAUACCUUUUCAUUUAUCUGACGUAAUCGCUCUGGAACUCUGUAGAUGCAGCAGUUUGAGGGCAAUGGUGAUAAUUUUUUCAACUUAACUUGCAAGCAUUCUUCCAUGUUAUAAACUGAAAACAUGGCGCGAAAUUUAAUCAAUUCAACGCUUAAUAAGGCAUAGUAAUUAAAAAAGAAUUAAAAAAAAAAAAUACAAGAGCAUUCUUACAAGUACAGAAGCACCUCAAUCCCUACUAUUUGCAGAGCUGUAGCCAGGAUUCAAUGAUAGACCGGACUGAACUAAAAGGAACAACUUUCUUAGGAAUAUGUUAUCGGCAUUUUCUCUGGCCUCAGGCCAUCAACAAAGCAGUUUCAGUGCUUCUUAUAUAAUUCCAUGGAUUAUUCCUUGCCUUUACAGAUGAUAUAAGUCACAAUUCAUAUAUUAAUUUCUCCAGAUUCCGUACAAGUGGACCAUAACUAUGGAAAAAUUCAAAGAAUGCAACAGCCAUUUGAUUGGUCCAUGUCAGAAGUUAAUCUGGGGAAAGAAGCUUGAUCUAGCUGUAAAAUUCUCUCCUUCAAUCAGUCAGUUUGGGGCAGCAACAAGAUCAAAGCCACCACGCAAACAUUUACUAAAGUUUAUAUAAUAUUCUUGAACCUCAUCUUAAGUAAAGCAACAAAAGCCUUCACUGUUUCUUAACAACUUUAUUGCUCUAACACAUAGCAUAACAUUUUUAAAUUUGCAUAAAGCACAAUAGUACUUCAGUUUGUAACAACAGCACGGAUAAUAAAUAGCAUUUUAUAGCUUUAACAAAAGCAUACAAAAUUCUUAAACCUUGUUUCAAGCAAUCCAUUAAUGCCACAAGGAUAUCUUUUUGCUUCCUACAGUUUUUAUUGAAAUUCAUAUAUUCUUCUUUAUCAAAUUAAGUAAUUUUCCUUUUUCAAAAAAUCAAGAAGGUUUCGACUGCAUGGAAAUACAGCACACAAUUACUACUAUUCCCGGAGUAAGAAAUUCAUAAAUGCAAUAUAAACAUACAUUUUCAUAAGACAUCAGAAUCAAAGAAUCAUCAAUGCAUCAAAUCUGUACACCCAAAAAAGUUGAAAGCAUCAAGAGAAAAUUAUACCGCAUGGACCCUUUACAACCCUUAUAACGAGUUCAGACAGCCUAAUCCAAUUUGAUAGAUUUGAGGACAGCUACAAUGUGCAAUACAAAAUUUCCCAAUACUAUUUAGAACAAAGUCUAGAAAACAAAACUUAUAUAUUGUACAAAAUCAUGAAAACCAGAAAUGACGAAAAACCUGCAAAUGUAAUUUUUGGGUUUCUUCAACAUAUCUUCCAUCCAAAUCAAACAAGAAUCGAUAAAUCAACAACAUUCAUCUUUAAACGACAUAUUACCACAAUAAAAUUGUCAACCAAGCCUCAUAUAAACCUUUUUUGUGUUUUUUGGUAAAUAUGUUUGUUUUUCUCUAAGAAUACUAGGGAAAAAAGAAACCCACUUUCUUAAUCAAGAAUCAAAUAAUAUAUAUGAAUCUAAGCUGAAGUAAGUCUUGGGUUUGAUGAAAUAGCUUGCAUUGCGAUUUAGAUUGGAAAGGAAGUUGAUUUUUACUGGUUGAGAGAGAGAGAUUUGAGACUUAAGAGAGUGUUGCUAAUCUUCAAUCGUGUAAACAAGGGUAACUGGGUCAUAGUUCAAAAUAAGGGUCCAAAAUUUACUAAAGCUAUUAAGGAGCCCAAAACUCAUAAUGGCUUCCCCAAAAUAAAUAAAAUUUUCUAGCAUUAAGUUUUUGUUUCUUCUUGAGAUUUCCUUGUCGUACUUACCCAUAUUUCGAUAUUGCCUCCAAGUAAACUUAUAUAUAUUGAUUAACAAUAUAAACAAGCACUAUGAAGUUUUAGGCCUGAAAGAACAUUAGGAUUGAAAUGAAAACCAUCUAUUUAAGUAACAAAUUCUUCUGAUAAUCUGAUGCUUAAUUUAGAGAAGAGAUGACAUAUCAAUCACGUUAUGAUGUGGAAGUUAUGAUUAUAUUCAUCUUAGAAUAAGAUCUUUCAGGCACUGGCAGAUUAGUAUAAAAAAUACUCAGCAUAAGACCUACAAACUAGAAAUCACGCACCAAUUAUUGAACUCAGCACAUAAGUUGAUCUUUUAUAAGCUAUAAAACAAAUCUGCUAUAACAUAAGAAAGUGGGAUUUAUCACCAGACAAGUAUUUUGGUGAAACUCAAGCUGACGGAAGGAUAUCCAAAGCAACCUCCUUAAGGGAAGGCAUCACUUCCUGCUGAUGCAAACAUAUAUAUUUAUUACUCACUUUCUUGAGGACCUUCUAGGAACCUGGGUAGCACCUAACAGAAAGUGGAAAAGAAUAAAAUGUAAAAUAUAAGUUAAACAGCAGGAAAACAGUGAGUGAUACUAGGCAAGCAUUAAUAUGUUGCCGCAAGAAAAGUGUCAGUAACUAGCUAGCAAACCUGAAAAGGGUUCCUCCAUUACGACCCUUAAAAUUGUGAAUGUAAUAUAUGGUCUCCAUCACAGGAAAAAGUGUUUUGGAUAGUGCAGCCAGCUUAGGGUAGAAGAAUGACGGAUAAUCUUAGCUCAUUUAAGGAAAUCCUCUCUGAUCCUUUCAUUGCACAUUCCAAAACAACUCUACUACAACCAAGUUACCAAUUCUUUUUGUUAAGUCAUUGUUAUUUGUUAAAAAAAAAAAAAAGUCUUCCUUGUAACAUUUUAUUGAAAGAUAUAACAUGAUCAUCCCUAUUAAUUCCCUUUUAGAUUUCUGUGAGUGAAUUUCAAAUUAUUGUAUUAAAAAAUAGAAGCAAAAGACCCACUUUACUUUCAAUUUCUGCAACAAGAUACCAAUUGAAGGACCAAAAAGUUGUAAACAAGCAAUUCAAUGAGUGGACAUCUAGAAACUGCUAUAUAGCAUCAAAAUCAUACUAAAUUUACAGAAAGCACGAUAAGAAUGAAAGAAUGGUGAAGGAUACACCCAGACCUUAUCCGGUCAAGUUCUCCAUUGAAUAUAAUCAGUUUCCGGGCAGUAUUGAAGACAGCUUCUUUGUAAAGCUCUUCAACGACAAGCAUUUCUACAAGACAAAAGAAAAGCAAAAUUAAUUACCUUAAGGAAUGAAUAUCAAUGAGAAGACAAGGUGUAAGACUACCAUUGACAUUAAAAUAUGGAUAGGCGACUAGAAACAAUUCAUCUUCCGGCUUCACACGGUCUGCCAUUUUAACCUUCUCAGUGAAUCCAAAAUCCUCAAAGAAUGAAGGUUUUGUUAGAUAGUCCAACUUAAAUGAUGAUCCUUCAAAGACCGAUUUUCUUGCAAAUUUGACUUCAUUUGCCUCUGGGAAAAACUAAAAACCAAAUGACAGACCAAGAUCACGAAACGAAUCAUGAACGUAGAUAUCAGAUAAUCAGAAAUGGGCAUUAAACAGACUACUAACAAGUAGGAAAUGCAUACAGAAAACAUUAUUCAUACACCUUAUGCACAUGAAAUAUAUAUGCAGAGGGAUCCUCUUGUGAAUUUAGUUUAUAUCCUAAUAUGAGACGAUGAACAAUUGGAUGCCAUCUAAGGGCUAACAUUUGUUUGAUUAUUAUAUGAAAAAAAAAAAAAACAGAGUUGAUUGAUGGCCUUUGAUGGAUUGCCUACACUCCUAAAGUGCAGAGAGCCUGAUUGAUUGCUUUACCUGCCCCCCACACACACUUGAUUUUAUUAUCUCUCUUUUCAAAUAUAUAAUCAUUGCCUGUCUUUCAUCCUGAUCCAGCUCUCCUUCCAGGCACCAGCUGUGUUUUCUUCAAUUCAGUGAAACAUUCACUUUCAGGUAAGAAUAAACUUGUCCUUCCUCAAAAACCAACUUCUCACCAUGAAGCUUUCUUUUUUAAAACAAUUACUAGUCUAGCAUAAUUGAAGACAACUCAGAAUUGAAAAAGCCAUACUUUAAUGUCUGCUGUUGGGACCUCAAGACCAGGAACAAAAAGCUUCUUUCUAACCGUUGGAUUAACAAGUAGAAAUAGCUUUUUUCUGAAGGACCCAACAUUGCAUUGAAAAAUUCAACAAAAUGACUGGCGUCAUAUUUAGUCCUGCUAGAAUUUUGUGCACUUAACACAAUGGCUAAUAAUUGGCCCAGCGGACACUUUGUCGAACUACUGGCAACCUUGACUGUGGAAAUGCAUAUUUCAAAUGUUGGCAGGCUCUAGCUUCUUGAUGUACUGUUGAUAGAAAUGCCUAUUUCAAAAGUUGGCAGGCUCAAACUGCCGAGACUUUGGUUUCUUACAUUUCAAACCCACAAAUAAAACUUUGGCAGAACCCCAGAAAGAGCUACACCUCCCAAAUUUGAUGACAUAUGAGGAGACCAUGCCUAGUGCUUGGUUCGGCAAAUGAGUAAGUUUGAAAGAAAUUGAGGGAAACCUUUCCCACAGAGAGUCAUAUUGAAGGUUACAAUUUGAAGACUUUGUCCCCUGUCGCCCGUAACCUUCUUUGAUCUCUUUUCUUAGUCAUAAAUAAUCAAACAUGUGUUAGUCGUUGGAUGCAAUCCACUCACUGACAUCUCAUGUCCACAAUCAAUCAACCAUAUUUUAAUAGAAAUGAAAACAUUUUAAUUAAAAAAAAUGAGAUAGGAACAAAAUCAAACUUGGCAGACAUGGUCUAUGAGAUUUUAAAGAUGCUUGGUGAAAGUUGUAUUCAAGAGUUCAACAGUCAGUUCUAUCACCUAUGGCAAAGUAACCACCGCAACUAAAGCAAUUACAAAACAUCAAGAAGCUUGAACUUGGCAAGAGGUCUCAUUAACAGUAUACCUCAGAAAUUAAGACAGACUUAAAGUGCAAGCUUUUGGAUUUAUUUAAACACUGAAAAUAAUAUGGGUAGAAGCUCCUAUGGUCACAGCAAACAAUUACAAAGCACAAAACCCAAAAAACAGAUAUGCAAAAAGCUGCAAAAGAACAUUAUUAGCAAUUGACAUCUGCUUUUGCUCAGACAAAGGUUCUCAUAACAAAGGACUUAGUGAUUAUCUGUCAUAUGUUUAUGUUAAGGGGAAAAAGGAAGUUUGUUUUAGUCAAUCUCACGUCUAAUGGCAUUUAUAAGGAGCCCAAAAAUAAAAGAAAAAAUAAAGAGUUAGUAGGUGUUUCUUGCAGCACAAAGAAAAUUUAUCAUUCAUGAAAAACUUAGUAUGGAAAAAGCUAACUCAUUUAUCUGCCAAUGGAGAAAAACUUGUUGUCCACCCACUAAGGACCCACCAUUGGCAGGUCUGAUGGAUCCCAUGGAUGGGAACCGCAAAUAUUUUAUUCUAAAUGACAUGUGUAUUGUACCCAUAUCAUUUAAUUUGUAGAUUCCACUGAUGGAACUCAUCAAACUUGCCAAAUGGCAGGUCCUCCGUGGGUAGGCGCAUCACUUCAGCAUCCUUCUCCACCGAUGACCAAAUUUGGACUCAUUUAAAAAGAAUACAAAGCAAAACUAACUGACAUAAAUUGCAUAGAGAUCUAGGAGCCAAAUCAAUGUUGUUAACUCAUCCAAUUAAUACAUUCUCUUAGAGGCAGGGACGGAGCCAGCGUGGGACGAGGUGGGGCACAGGCCCCAGCUGGCUUUUAAUUUUUUUUUAUAAUUAUACUAAAAUAUGUAUUUUAUUUGUUAUUUAUGAAAAAUGUCUCAGCUGAAUUGUAAAAUUUAAAAUUGACUCCAGUAAUUUUAAAAUAUUUCAUACUGUCCCUAAUUUAUAUUUUUAAUUAUAAAUUAUUUAAUUAGUUAUUAACAUUUCAUGAAACUUUAUUAAAGACACAAGAACAAAUAUUAAAAUAAAAAAUAAUCAUAACAAAAUGUUAGUAUAAUGGUUAAUGGACUAGUUUUUAAUCUUUUUAUUUUUUAUUCAAGUAAAAUUAAUUAUUUAGUCUUUCAACACUGACCAUAAGUUGUAAGUCUUCCUAAUUCUAAUUUAUAAUUUUCUAAUUAAUCUUUUAUCUAGUUUUAAAAUUUAUAAUUUUAUCAUGCAUUUCAUAUUUGUUCUGUGUGUUGCAAUAUAUGAAUAUUUUUGUUAUUAUUAAAAGAUUUUAAGAGCAAAUUAAGUAAUAACCUAGUCUUGUAUAUUGAAAAAUAUAUUUUUGCUUAUAUUGAUAAUUCAUUAUUUUCAACUCAUAAAAUCCCAUUGAGGAGAUUUCGCGGAGAACCAUUGUAAUAAGUAAAUUUAUUAUCAAUGAAUAUUAUAGUUGUAAUGCUAUUUAUUGAUAUCUAAAUUUUUAAAAAUGUAUUAUACUUUAAGUAUGCUUUCAAUUAGAUGCAUACAGACGCACUCUAUAAGAAGUACAAUUGUACAUGUAGCAAGCUCCCAUUUAGAGUUUAUAGGGCCCACAAUACAGUUUCUCAAAUGACGACUUAUCACACGAGCAAUCGUACAUUCGAGUCAUCUUUAAUUUUAAAUGUGCCCCGGCUCUAUCAAAAUCCUGGCUACGUCCCUGCUUAGAGGUCAUACCUUGGUAACUCAUUUGAAAAGAAAUUAAAAGAAAAACGACUGCACAAAUUGUACUGAGCUCAAGAAAACCUGUUCAAGGUGUUCACUUGUCCAACUAAUAAAAGUCAUCAAGGAUUGUAUCGGGGACUUGGGACCAAUCCUGCCUUAACGAGAGAAAGGGAAUUUAGGAGGAAGAAGAUAACCUCUUUUCCUAGAACCCUUGAGAAAAUUAUUGAAGAAAUAUGUAUCUCCUUUUCUUAUUUUUACAAUAGGGUUACACAAUACAUAUAUAUAUAUUCUAAACUACAUAAUGUGCUAGAGUAGGAAAGUAAACAACUAACUGCAGACCAAGAAACUAGGAAACAAACUCUAUCUAAAAAACUGAAAUUCUAUCCCUAUCUUUUUUCUUUUCUAUCCCUAUCUUUUUUCCUUAAAAACAGGAUAGAAAACAAGUGACUUUUCCACACUCCCCCUCAAGCUAGUUCGAAGAUAUCAAUCAUUCCCAGCUUGCUAGUUAGUGACUCAAAGCUUGAUUUAUGAAGUCCUUUAGUAAGAAUAUCAGCUAGCUGCUUUGUUGUUGGAACAAAGGUCAUGCAUAUCAAACCACUUUCUAUUUUCUCCUUGAUAAAAUGACGAUCCACUUUGUUGAGUGUUAGAAAAUGCAUAUUUAUAAAGGAGAAAACCAUCAUUUUACAUUUCAAGUCGUACUAACAACUCUUACUUUUAUGUAUUUAACCUUCUUGUGAUAUAAUUACGUGUGUUUUAUUUUAAUUAAGUAUUUUAUGUAUUUUAGGGGCAUUAUAGUCAUUUCACAAUAAAGGAGAGAUUAGACGGCAAAACGGACAUCACUUUUGAACUCAGGACGGUCGAAAACCUUAGGAGGAGCAUAAAAGGAAAAAUGGCACUAUUCAUAUGUACGGUACUAUUCGCGUGUACGGUAUUAACUACGUUACUGUUCACAACACUGUUCACAACACUGUUCACAUAGACGGAUCGAUGACGUGGCAUUGACCGAUGAUGUGGCAUUGACUGAUGAGGUGUCACGAUCCUGUUGGGCUAAAAUUCUUAUGUACUGUUGAUGGUGACGUGGCAGCAUAUCAGUGGAUGAAAAAUCUCGCGUACGGUACAUGCAUCACACAUGAUUAUUCUCAACCAAACCGUGUUACUGUUUAUCCGAGUCAAACCGUGUUACUGUUCAUCCACGUGGUCAAACCGUGGACUGUUGACUUAUGACGUGGCGCAAUCCUGAGCGUCCAAACUGUUUUUAAUCUGAUGGCCAUGAUUUACUCCAUGUAUCUAUAAAAAGGGGGCCUUCCCCCCCUAAUUUGAUAGCUCUGAAUCCAUUUUUGGGAUCCAUUUUCUGUAAUUCCUUCUCCAUCUUGUAUUUUCUUUGUAUUUUAAUAAAUUCCCAUUUUGCCCCUAGUUCAAUUAUGAGUGGCUAAUUUUCUUUCAAGCUUGGGUUGAAGGUGAAGUCUCAACAUGUGUCAUGGGCUUAAUUUGGUAAAUUUAUUUUCUCUUCCCCUCUAGUUUUUGUGGAUGUUUUGACUUCUCGUCGACAAAUAAUAAUAAUCUUGUCUAGAUACCGCCUUGGUUACACCGGCUCUCUAGUAUAAGGUUAUUAUUAUUUGGCACGAUAAGCCCUUAGCACCAUAUUGAUUAUAGCGUGGUUCAUGAGGUGUGGAUUCCCCCCUCAUGAUUUAAUUGGCAUUAAUAAAGAUUAUUUAGCCCAUGAUGCAUGUUGAUACGGAUCCAGAUACCCAAGUACGUCAUUUUAAUAGAAUUCUCUUCAAUUUAUUCUCGCCAUUUCAAUUCCAAUUUUAGAAUUUAUUCUCGCCAUUUUAAUUUAAGUUUUAGCAUAUCCCAAAUCAUUUCCACCACAAAUCCAAUCACCCAUUUACAAAAUUAAUUCUACACAAUUAAAAUCCACCUCCUCGUGGGAUCGACACUCGUCACCAUUAGUCUAUACUACAAUAGAUUCGUGCGCUUGCGAGUACAUUAAAAUUUGCACAACAAGUUUUUGGCGCCGUUGCCGGGGAGGUAAGUAAUUUUAAUUCAUAGAAUUAAUUUUUGUGAAUAAUUUCUUUUAUUUAUUUUCUUGUAUUUUUUUUUAUUAUUAAAAAAAAAAGUAAAUCUACAUUUAAAGGUUAGUAUUUCUUUUCUUUUUCUCUUCUUUAAAAUUCUGUAAUUUAAUUUUCAAUUUAUUUUUCUUUGUAAUUUUUUUUUGUUUAUUUUAUUAAUUUAUUUUUAGUUAAUUUAUUUCACGUAUUUAUUUUUGUGUAUUUUUAUAGUAAGGUUGUAAUAGCGCAAUAAGGUUAGUAUUGUAAUUUCUCUCUCUUCUUUAUUUUUAUUUGUUUUGUUCCAUCUUUAUUUUUAUUUUAUUUAUUUUGUAUGCAUGGUCGUAGGUCUUUAUUACCUAAUCUUGAACCUAUAGACCUUGAACUUGAGAAAACACUUCGCACACACAAGAACGUUAAAAAUAAAUUUGAAAUGGAUUUACAAGCACCACAGGAGAGGCCAUUUAAGGACUAUUUUAGUCCCUUAGCUAAUUUGAGCACAUCAUGCAUAAGAUACCCAAAUGUAGCUGCUAGGAGUUUUGAAUUAAAACCUAGUGUGCUAAAUUGUCUCCCCACAUUCUAUGGCCUAGAAAAUGAGGACCCAUAUAAUCAUCUGAAUGAUUUUCAUGCCAUUUGUCAAACUUUUAAAUAUGAAAAUUUUUCAGACGAUGAUGUUAAACUUAGAUUAUUCCCAUUUUCUUUAAAGGAUAGAGCUCGUUCAUGGUUAAAUACUUUGCCUGCUAAUAGCAUUGCAUCAUGGGAACAAAUGGUUACAAAAUUUCUAAAUAAAUAUUUCCCAGUGCAUAAAACCAAUUCUAUUCGCAGGGAAAUUUCAGAGUUUACACAAAGAGAGGACGAGCAGUUUUUCGAAACUUUGGGAGUGAUUCAAUGGGCUACUCUUGAAGUGUCCACAUCAUGGGUAUGAGAAAUGGCACCAAUGCCAAUACUUUUUGGAGGGAUUAUUGCCAAAUGUGCAAGAAUGGCUAAUGGCAACAAGUGGAGGAGAGCUAAUGUCAAAAAGCGCAACAGAGAUUUGGGAAUUCUUCCAGCGACAAGCGGAUAAUUCCCAACAACGGAGUCGAUCACUCAGGAAUACUAGAAGAAUUAAGGGAGUAAAUGAGGUUCAAAUUGGCGAGUCAACUUCGGGAAUCAAAGAAGUCAAGGAGAUAGUUGAAGGUCUUGCUCGACAAAUAGCAUCGUUGUCGACUGCUAAAUCAACAGAACCACAUGACCAUGACUCAUACUCCGAUCAAGCCAAUGCCAUAGGUGUAAUGAGAAAACCAUCGAAUUACAACCCAUACUCCAACACAUAUAACCCUGGAUAGAGAGACCACCCCAAUUUUUCAUGGUCUCAAGGAUUCCAACAGAAUGGACCAGCAGCUCCAGCUCCACAAAUUCCUCAAGUUCCUCAAGCCUCUCAGCCCCCAUUUAGACCAUUUAAUCAGAACCAGAACUACUCUCAACCCAGACCAUGGGAGGAUUCAUUCCAGAAUCUCAAGAAUCUUACUCACUCCACGAUUGAGCAGCAGAACCGCACCGUUGAUGGACUACGAAAUGAGUUGAGAGCAGGCUUCAACUCACAAGAUCAAUCAGUUUCAAACCUCGAGAAAAUGGUGGGACAACUUGCUUCUUCAGUUCAGACCUUGGCAAUGACUGUUGAGAAAGGAAAAUUUCCAAGUCAACCAGUGCCUAAUCCUAAAGGAGUGCAUGAAGCAAGUACCAGUUCACCACAGCAGCAUGGGGAGGUCAAAGCAGUCAUGACCUUGCGAAAAGGAAAGGAAGUCGACAACAAAGUGGAGAUGCCGGUGACAAAAGAAAAUCAAAUUGUACCUGUGAAUGUUGAGGACUCACCACCGGAGGAAAAAGAAGAAACCAACCCACGAGAAUAUGUUCCUAAAGCUCCAUUUCCUCAGAGGUUAGCGAAAGGAAAGAAGGGAAAUUCCACAGGUGAGAUUCUCGAAAUCUUCAAACAGGUAAGUGUUAACAUCCCUUUACUUGAUGCUAUAAAGCAAGUUCCAUCUUAUGCUAAGUUUCUUAAAGACCUUUGUACUAAAAAGAGAAAUAUGCAUGUUCAAAAGAAGGCAUUUUUAACAGAAAACGUUAGUUCUAUACUCCAACAUAAAAUUCCUUUAAAAUGCAAAGACCCAGGCUCCCCCACUAUCUCAUGUAGUAUAGGGAACCACACAAUUGAGAAUGCUUUGUUGGAUUUAGGAGCUAGUGUAAAUCUUUUGCCUUACUCUGUAUUCGUGAAACUUGGACUGGGAGAAUUACACCCAACUCCAGUGGUGUUACAGCUUGCAGAUCGGUCCACGAAAAUACCUCGUGGUAUUGUGGAGGACGUGCUUAUCCAGGUAGACAAGUUUUAUUUUCCUGUUGAUUUCAUUGUAAUUGACACUCAACCAAUACAGGAUUCAAGGAAGCACAUCCCCAUUAUUCUAGGCCAACCUUUCUUGGCAACUGCGGAUGCUCACAUUCAAUGCAGGACUGGAAAUAUGCAAUUGUCCCUCGGCAACAUGACUAUGGAGCUGAACAUCUUCAAUAUUGCCAAACAACCUCAUAAUGCAGAUGAUAGAAUUGUAGACGUGGAUUUAAUUGAAGCAUUAGUUGAUGAUACUUUUGUUUCAAACCUUAGUGAUGAUCCUUUACAAACAUGUUUAACUCACUUUGGUUUGGAUUUUGAUAUUGACAGAUCGGUCGAAGAGGUCAACGCCCUGCUUGACUCAGCACCAUACAUGGACACUAAUAAAUGGAAGUUAAGAGUUGAACAACUAGCACCAUCAGAGAAGAAACUCAUCCCAUCAUCAGAAUCACCACCGAAACUCGAGGUCAAACCAUUGCCCAACACAUUGGAAUAUGCAUUUUUGGGAGAAGAAAUUACUUUGCCGGUAAUCAUCUCAUCAUCCCUAAAUGACGAACAAAAAGGUAAGUUGUUGGAUGUUUUAAAAGAGCACAAAGGAGCAUUAUGAUGGACCAUAGCAGACAUAAAAGGUAUAAACCCAGUAGACUGCAUGCAUUACAUUCACCUUGAUGAAAAUGCUAAAUCUACUAGGAAAAUGCAACGUCGGUUAAAUCCUAAUAUGAAAGAAGUUGUUAGAACAGAAGUCCUUAAGCUAUUAGACGCAGGUAUCAUUUACCCAAUUUCUGAUAGUUCAUGGGUCAGUCCUGUACAAGUUGUCCCCAAAAAGUCAGGAGUCACAGUAGUUACGAAUGCUGAUAAUGAAUUGAUACCCACUAGAGUAACUACAGGAUGGCGUGUAUGCAUUGAUUAUAGAAAGUUGAAUUCUGUCACACGUAAAGACCAUUUUCCUUUACCAUUUAUUGAUCAAAUGCUUGAUAGAUUAGUAGGCCAUGAAUUUUAUUGCUUUCUAGAUGGCUACUCAGGAUAUAAUCAGAUUCCCAUAGCACCAAAAGAUCAGGAGAAAACUACUUUCACUUGCCCUUUUGGCACAUUUGCAUAUAGGAGAAUGCCAUUUGGAUUAUGUAAUGCACCUGCUACAUUUCAACGAUGCAUGUUGAGCAUUUUUUCUGAUAUGGUUGAACAAUUCCUUGAAGUCUUUAUGGAUGACUUUUCUGUUUUUGGUAACUCGUUUGAUCAAUGUUUACAUCAUCUAACGCUAGUUCUGCAGAGAUGUAUCGAGAAGAAUUUAGUCUUAAAUUGGGAGAAAUGCCAUUUUAUGGUAAAACAAGGUAUUGUUCUCGGUCACAUCAUUUCGAGCAAAGGUAUUGAGGUUGACAAAGCCAAGGUGGAUCUCAUUUCUAAUCUUCCUCCACCUAAAACAGUCAGAGAAGUACGAUCUUUCCUUGGACAUGCUGGUUUCUAUAGACGUUUCAUUAAAGAUUUUAGCAAAGUUUCUAGACCCUUAUGCAAUUUACUUGCUAAGGAUGUACCUUUUAUCUUUAAUGAUUCAUGUCUCAUGGCGUUUGAAAAAUUAAAGCAAUUGUUGACAUCAUCACCCAUCAUUCAGGCCCCAAACUGGAGCUUACCAUUCGAGCUCAUGUGUGAUGCAUCUGAUUAUGCAGUAGGAGCAGUAUUAGGACAAAGAGUUGAUCGAAUUCCCCAUGUUAUUUACUAUGCUAGUAUGACAUUCAAUGAUGCACAGUUGAAUUAUUCAACUACUGAAAAAGAAAUGCUAGCAGUAGUGUUUGCAUUAGAAAAAUUUCGAUCUUAUCUCAUUGGUUGUAAAAUAAUUAUAUUCACAGAUCAUGCUGCUCUUAAAUAUCUUCUCACAAAGAAAGAUGCAAAAGCUAGACUAAUUCGUUGGGUAUUACUUUUGCAGGAAUUUGACUUGGAAUUCAAAGAUAAGAAAGGCACAGAAAAUGUCGUGGCGGACCAUCUCUCUCGUCUCCAUUUUGACACAAUUACAGAGCCAUUAAUAUUAAAUGAGUCAUUUCCAGAUGAACAAUUAAUGAGUGUGGAAGUAUUACCUUGGUAUGCUGAUAUAGUUAAUUAUCUUGUUACAGGUAAACUUCCAGAGCAUUGGACCAAGCAAGACAAGGCUAAAUUCUUUGCGGAAAUAAAGAAUUUCUUUUGGGAUGACCCAUAUUUGUUCAAGUAUUGUGCAGACCAAAUUGUUAGACGAUGUGUCCCUGAAAAUGAAAUUCAGAAUAUUCUUUCAUUCUGCCAUGAACAAGCUUGUGGAGGCCAUUUCAGUGCUAAGAAAACAACGACUAAAGUUUUACAAUGUGGUUUCUAUUGGCCAACUAUAUUUCGAGACGCUUACACUUUCUGUUCUUCAUGUGAUAGGUGUCAACGAAUGGGGAGCAUUACACGAAGGAACAUGAUGCCACUAAAUCCAAUUUUAGUGGUUGAGAUUUUUGAUGUAUGGGGUAUCGACUUCAUGGGACCCUUUCCCUCUUCUUUUGGCCAUCAAUACAUAUUGGUUGGUGUUGACUACGUCUCAAAAUGGGUAGAAGCAAUUCCAUGUAGAACCAAUGAUCACAAAGUGGUGAUAGGAUUUUUGAAAAGCAACAUUGUCUCACGCUUUGGAUUCCCUCGAGCAAUAAUCAGUGAUGGUGGUGCCCACUUUUGUAACAAAGCAUUCAAAGCUCUUUUGACAAAGUAUUCAAUCACACACAAAGUGGCAACCCCUUAUCAUCCGCAAACCAGUGGCCAAGUUGAGAUCUCCAAUCGAGAAAUAAAGCAUAUAUUAGAAAAGACGGUGAGGCCAGACAGAAAAGAUUGGUCAUUAAGACUUGAUGAUGCAUUAUGGGCAUAUAGAACGGCUUUCAAGACCCCGAUUGGGAUGUCACCCUACAGGCUAGUGUAUGGAAAAGCUUGCCACCUACCUGUGGAACUCGAGCAUCGUGCAUAUUGGGCCAUCAAGAAAUUCAACUUUGACAUGCAGCAAGCCAGCUCAGAAAGAAGAUUACAACUGGCAGAACUUGAAGAAAUUCGCAAUGAUGCAUACGAAAAUGCCAAAAUUUACAAGCAACGAAUGAAAGUCUUUCAUGACAAGCACAUUAUGAGAAAAUCGUUCACUCCAGGUCAGAAAGUGCUUUUAUUCAAUUCUCGCUUGCACCUAUUCCCAGGUAAGUUACGCUCUCGAUGGUCUGGUCCAUUUAUUGUUCAUACUAUUUUUCCACAUGGGGCAAUUGAAAUUAAGGACCCAAAGAACGGUGUCACGUUUAAAGUUAAUGGUCAAAGAUUAAAGCCAUAUCUUGAGUACCAACCACAUGGAGAAGACACCGAAAUAAAUUUGAGUGACCCACCAGAUUUGAAUUGAUUUUUUUUCUUUUUGUUGAUUUGAUUUUUCUUUCUUUUUAUUAUUCUUUUGCUAAUUGAAAUUAUUUUUGCAUAAGUGUGUUUGUUUUACCAUUAAGUUUUCUUUUCUCUUAUCAUUGUUAAUCAUGAGUACCAUACUUAGACCGUUCCUCCUGAACAUUCUUAAACCACUUCAACGUGUCAAAACUCAUCUCAAAAAGCAGAUUCAAUUUUGUAAAACACAACGCAUUUGGGCUCUACAACCACCAGAGUUAGUAGCCUAUGUUGAGGGUUUAGAAUGCCAACUCAGAGACAUUGAGAGAAGUGUUUACGACAUCCAGUUAGAGCUUGAGGUAAAUUCAAUAAGAGGACGAUUUUAAUUUUCUUUGUGUGUUUUAAUUUGUUUUUCUGUUUGUGUGUUUUAGUUUGUUACCCCGGUGAAAUGGCGGAUAACGGUACUCCGUGACAAUCAAGUCGGUUACUUCAGUUUCCCAUAAUAACUGACAUUCUGAGGCGAAAGUAUGGACAGAAAAGAGAUUCUAGCAAAGCUUCACAAGCGAUUCCCUUCACUUCCUCAGAAUGCCCUCCUUACGAUCUAUAAAGCUCGGUCCGAACGCAUGCGAUUACUCAUGAAGAAUAACAUACCUGCUGACAUCCGUUGGUUAAUCGAGGCUAAAGUACGAUCGGCAGGUGAGUUUCCUCCAAAAUUUAUUGCAUACAUGCCUGGUUGUGGUAAAGGAAAUUAUGCAAGAAAACGACGAGCUCGAAGAAUUUCUGUUGCUUGUCAUAAGUGUGCUAGAAUGAGUUGCGAUAGAAACCCAUGUUCUUUAGGAAUGGUGUCUGAUAACAGGGAAGAUAAGAUUUAAUUCAUUAGGGAUGGCUUGAAUAAGGAGUCAUUGGAUGAUAUCCUUUUGUCUCUUGAAACGCAUCCUAGUGGAUAUGUGCAAGGAGCGAUUCUCCAGUUAUGGCCAUUAUUCCAGAAAGAGCAUGCACGAUAUAGUCUCGGGAAUCUGACUAUAAACGACCCUGUUUGCCAGUUUAUAAGAAAACUGGAUAGGAAGCCUAUCCUCGACCCAUAGAGGGCGUUCAAGCCGUUUCUGGACGUAAAACCAGAGGAAGAUGUGAGCCACAGUCGCAACUACGUGUAAAUAUCCUUUUACUUUACUGUUAUUUUAUUUCAUUUCACUGUUGUUUUAUUGUUUGCAUUAUUGUCUUUAAUAAUUUUGUUACUGUUUGCUUUUUCCUUUUUACUGUUUCCUUUUUGACUCACGAGCCACGUGCUUAACGCGUUAUUUGACACUGACAUGCCACCCCAUACACAGUUGUGACCCACUGUCACCAAGAUUCUUAAAUAUGACUUUUUGUUAAGCACUCACAAAUUGUUUCUGAGAAAUAUUCCAAUGGCAGCUACUCCUAAUAGACAAUUCAAGAACAUUUGUGUGCUUUCUGGAUUUACCUAUGGCAAACAUAAAGAGUUCGUGGAGGCAGCCAUAGAUCUUGGUCGAAGCAUAGCAGCGAGAAAAUUACACUUGGUGUAUGGAGGAGGUAACCGAGGGUUAUCAAAAAUGGUCUCAGAAGCAGCUUUUAUCAGAGGAAGUCAAGUGUUAGGCAUCAUCCCAAGAGUCCUAAAACCAUUGGGCAGUUCGUCUGACUCAUCAACUGGAGAAGAGUUAGUCGUCUCAGGUAUGCAAGAAAGAAUAACUGAAAUGCUUAAUCAUGCUGAUGCUUUUAUUUUCCUUCCAGGAGAUCUUGCAACACUAGAGGCACUUAUGACACUAGCAUCUUGAGCCCAUCUACACAUUCACCAGAAACCCAUCGGUUUGUUAAAUGUCAAUAACUUUUAUGAUGGCUUUAUCGCAUUUCUUAACCAUGCAAUAAAAAACUAUUUCAUUCCUUCUAAUGUGAAAAAACUCUUUAUUUGUGCUCACACUGCUAAUGAGCUACUUGAUAUGUUACAAGCUUAUAAACCGGAGCCAGACCCCUGGACCUUUGUGUUGGAGCGACCAAAUAAUGAUGGUAACAGUAGCCGCAGUAAGAAGUACAAAUUAGAUUUAACUCUCCGCCUGUAAAUAUUUUCUUCUGUGUUGCACCACCCAGGUGAUGUCUUCUAAACUCUACUUCUUUCAUUUCAAACAUUGAGGACAAUGUUUCGUUCUGGUUGGGGGGAGGGAAUAGUCGACAGUUGUGGAAUCUUGGUUAAAUUUUUACUGAUUUUUUGUUGUAGAAACUAACUGUUGCUAACUUUUUAUGUUGAAGAUGGCUGAAUAUGGAGUGUAGUGACUCUAGAAACGCAUUUUCAUCGUUUAAAAAAAAUUAAAAAAAAACUAAAAAAAAAUUUCAGACAGUUUCUUUUUUUUUUCUUUCUUUAUUCUGUUUUUAUGUUUAUUUUUCUUCUUUUUAAUUUCUCCUCUAUAAAUAUACAUUUUCCAACUUGUGAGUCGAAGAUGGCUGAAUAUGGAGUGUAGUGCCUCUAGAAACGCAUCUUCUUAAAAAAAAAAAAAAAAAAAACCCAUUUUCUUUUUCUAUCAUUUUACGUGUAACUUUUCUAAUUAGUUUUUAUGCAUCAUUUUCACAUUUCUGCAUGCAUAUUUUCCUUUCAUGUUUAGAAUAGGUUGGGGGGUAGAAUGUUGUUUAAAAAAAAAAAAAUUGUGUUAUUUGUUUUAACAUUGGAUGACAUGAUUAAUUUCAAAUUUUAGUAUUUGUAUUAUCUUUGGUCUUAAGUGAUGUUACGCUAUGUUUGCUACUUUACAUGUUGAUGUCGGAGACAAAUAUGAGUUGCUUGAAGGAAUGAACAUGUCAUAAAUAAGUGCCAAGUGAGUUGUUGAGCCUAUCAUUUUCUUGGAGAGUAACACUUUUGCCCAUUCUCUAUACAGCUUAGCAGUUUAUUAGUUUAUACACGAUCUCUAGAUUUCUUUUGAGUUAACCCUUUAAAAAAAAAUGUGUGUUGCUACAUUGGGAGACCCAUCUAACUAGUAGAUAUGGAUAAUUAUUUAGAGCCCUAAAAGACGAUGGAAAGGCCAUAUUUGAUCCGUUUGAGCCUUUCUAGCCAUCCCUUUUAUUAAAUAUCCAUAGUUACCCCUUUUGAGCCUUUUUUUAAAAAAAAAAGAGAACAAAAACAUUUUCUUUGUCAACUUAUCAUCUUGACCCACUCCGAUUUGGAGUAUUACCCAAUGUCUUUUAAGUUCCAUCACCUAUUUAUGUUUGAGAAAAUGUAAAUAAUGAUGUUGUUCAGUGAAGUUAUGCCAAAUAAAAGCAAAAAAAAAAAAAAAAAAACAAAAGUUGUUGUUUCAAAAGAAUAAAAAUAACAAUAAUAGGUGAAAUCCACCUUGCAACUUCAAAAAAAAAUAUAUAUAUUUCUGCAUUUUUCUCAAACAUACACUUUGUUUUCCUUAUUUCCUUUCUUUGUUAGCCAUAUCCCUAGCCUACGUUAUGUCCUAAUAAAAGUCCUUCUUGAUUUUAGGGAACUAUAGUUUGAAGUAGAAGCUAGUUAUAUGGGCUAAAAAGAUGUAGUGAUGCAUAAUAAAAAAAAAAAAGAUAAAUAAAGUGGGUUGACUAACAUUUUAUUUGACUUGAGAUCGUAUUAUUUCUAAGCUAAGGGCAUAUUUAUUUCAUCUUGGUGAGAGCAUGUGAUAUCACUUCUUCAUUAUUUUCUCUCAAUUACCAUUCAUUGGAGUGACUAUUUUUUUAGGUUUAAUUUCUUUGUGAGAGUGUCACUACUUCCAGUGAGAUUUUGGGUUUUGACAUGUCAUUCUUGAAAGUAGUUAUAACAAAGUCUACUGGCCGAUUCAUGUGGAUGGUUGAUGUGGGUGUGAUGUUGUUUUAGACUGGAGAUAAUACUUAUACUUUUAUUUGAUUGCUAUCAUUAAUCUGAUUGAAUAAACACGAGUGUUUCUAAAAAAAAAAAAAAAAAUUAUUUUGAAUUUGAAUUUUGUUUUCGCUUUAUUUGCUAGGGACUAACAUUAAGCUGGUUGGGGGGUGUGUUGAGUGUUAGAAAAUGCAUAUUUAUAAAGGAGAAAACCAUCAUUUUACAUUUCAAGUCUUACUAACAACUCUUACUUUUAUGUAUUUAACCUUCUUGUAAUAUAAUUACGUGUGUUUUAUUUUAAUUAAGUAUUUUAUGUAUUUUAGGGGCAUUAUAGUCAUUUCACAAUAAAGGAGAGAUCAGGCGGCAAAACGGACAUCACUUUUGAACUCAGGACGGUCGAAAACCUUAGGAGGAGCAUAAAAGGAAAAAUGGCACUAUUCAUAUGUACGGUACUAUUCACGUGUACGGUAUUAACUACGUUACUGUUCACAACACUGUUCACAUAGACGGAUCGAUGACGUGGCAUUGACCGAUGAUGUGGCAUUGACUGAUGAGGUGUCACGAUCCUGUUGAGCUAAAAUUCUUAUGUACUGUUGAUGGUGACGUGGCAGUAUAUCAGUGGAUGAAAAAUCUCGCGUACGGUACAUGCAUCACACAGGAUUAUUUUCAACCAAACCGCGUUACUGUUCAUCCGAGUCAAACCGUGUUACUGUUUAUCCGAGUCAAACCGUGUUACUGUUCAUCCGCGUGGUCAAACCGUGGACUGUUGACUUAUGACGUGGCGCAAUCCUGAGCGUCCAAACUGUUUUUAAUCCGAUGGCCAUGAUUUACUCCAUGUAUCUAUAAAAAGGGGGCCUUCCCCCCCUAAUUUGAUAGCUCUGAAUCCAUUUUUGGGAUCCAUUUUCUGUAAUUCCUUCUCCAUCUUGUAUUUUCUUUGUAUUUUAAUAAAUUCCCAUUUUGCCCCUAGUUCAAUUAUGAGUGGCUAAUUUUCUUUCAAGCUUGGGUUGAAGGUGAAGUCUCAACAUGUGUCAUGGGCUUAAUUUGGUAAAUUUAUUUUCUCUUCCCCUCUAGUUUUUGUGGAUGUUUUGACUUCUCGUCGACAAAUAAUAAUAAUCUUGUCUAGAUACCGCCUUGGUUACACCGGCUCUCUAGUAUAAGGUUAUUAUUAUUUGGCACGAUAAGCCCUUAGCACCAUAUUGAUUAGAGCGUGGUUCAUGAGGUGUGGAUUCCCCCCUCAUGAUUUAAUUGGCAUUAAUAAAGAUUAUUUAGCCCAUGAUGCAUGUUGAUACGGAUCCAGAUACCCAAGUACGUCAUUUUAAUAGAAUUCUCUUCAAUUUAUUCUCGCCAUUUCAAUUCCAAUUUUAGAAUUUAUUCUCGCCAUUUUAAUUUAAGUUUUAGCAUAUCCCAAAUCAUUUCCACCACAAAUCCAAUCACCCAUUUACAAAAUUAAUUCUACACAAUUAAAAUCCACCUCCUCGUGGGAUCGACACUCGUCACCAUUAGUCUAUACUACAAUAGAUUCGUGCGCUUGCGAGUACAUUAAAAUUUGCACAACACACUUCAACAUGUUUAGUUCUGUCAUGAUGAAUAGGGUUAUGAGCAAUGUUUAUUGCUGCCUUGUUGUCACAAUACAACUUCAUAGGAACAUCAAUGAUAAUCUUCAAUUCUUCAAGUAGCUUCUUUAACCACAAAAGUUCACAAAUACCAUAUGCUACUGCUCUAAAUUCAGCUUCAGCACUGCUUCUUGCAACCACUGAUUGCUUCUUACUCCUCCAAGUUACCAAGUUUCCUCCCACAAAUGUGCAAUACCCUGAAGUUGACCUUCUAUCAAUAAUAGAUCCAGCCCAAUCUGCAUCAGUAUAUACUUCAACUUGCAUAUUGUUAUUUUUCUUGAAUAGCAGGCCUUUUCCUGGAGUUUUUUUCAGGUACUUGAGAACCUUGUAAACAGCUUCUAAGUGCUCUUUACAUGGAGAGUGCAUAAAUUGACUAAUAACACUUACUGCAAAGGCUAUGUCUGGCCUAGUAUGAGACAAGUAUAUCAACUUACCAACCAACCUUUGGUAACUUUCUCUAUCCACUGAUUUUCCUUCAAUUGCAUAUCCCAAUUUGUGAUAAGGAUCAAUAGGAGUGUCUCCAGGUUUGCAUCCCAACAUGCCAGUUUCCUUGAGUAAGUCUAAAGUAUAUUUCCUUUGAGAAACAAAAAUGCCUUUACUGGAUCUUGCAAUUUCCAUGCCCAAAAAAUAUCUUAAGGGGCCAAGGUCCUUCAUCUCAAAUUCUCUAGCAAGAACCUUCUUGAGAUUUUCCAUUUCUAUUACAUUGCUUCCAGUCAAGAUGAUAUCGUCUACAUAUACAAUGAGGAUCACAACACUACCAUCAGUGAAGUGUUUAAAAAACAUUGUAUGAUCUGCUUGACUCUGUAAAUAUCCAAAGCUAUGAACAGAUUUGGUAAAUCUGUCAAACCAAGCUCGAGGAGAUUGUUUUAAGCCGUAAAGUGAUCUCUUCAGCUUGCACACUUUUUCAAUACCAUAUUCAUUCUCAAAACCUGGUGGCAGAUCCAUAUAUACCUCUUCUUCAAGCUCUCCAUUAAGAAACGCAUUCUUAACAUCUAAUUGUUGUAGUUGCCAUCCUAAGCUUGCUGCAAGAGACAACAAAACCCGAAUGGAAUUCAUUUUUGCCACGGGAGCAAAUGUUUCUUGGUAGUCAAUGCUAUAUGUUUGUGUAAAACCUUUCGCGACAAGCCUAGCUUUGUACCUCUCAAGUGACCCAUCUGCUCUGUAUUUAACUGUAAAAAUCCACUUGCAACCCACUGGUUUUUUUCCUUCUGGUAAUUUAACUAGUUCCCAAGUUUUGCUUUUUUCUAGAGCUCUCAUCUCUGCAUACCCAGCAUCUCUCCAUUCUGGAAUAGAAAGAGCAUCUUGUACAGAUUUUGGAAUUGCUAUGACAGACAGGUUAGCUGCAAAAGCUCUAAAAGAUGGAGAUAAUCUAUGAUAUGACACAUACUUAGAAAUUGGAUGAAGAGUACAAGACCUAGUUCCUUUUCGUAGUGCAAUUGGAACAUCUAGAUCAUUUGUAGUUUCUAAAACAGAUUCUGAAAUAGGAUUAGAAUGAAUGUUACCUGCAAGUUCCAAGUUGCCUGUGUUUGGAUCCGAGUCUUGGCAGUGAGGAGAGGAAUGAUGAUUUGACCUUUUCGAAUUCCGUCGUGUGUAGACUUGAAGCUAUGGUUCUGGAACUCUCUCUAAUGAUUUUUCAUUAUUCAUAAUUGAUGGCAUUGUAGAAGGAACAUGAGGUACACAAGACAUAAUAGGCAUUGGAAGAGAUAAUUCCCAAAAAUGAUCUUCCGGAGUAUGAUUCUCCCCCUGAAGAGAAGUUUUGGGAAAGAAAGAUCUAUUUUCAAAAAAUGUGACAUCCAUUGUGAUGAAGAAUUUUUUAGACAAUGGAUCAUAACAUUUGUAGCCUUUUUGAGUAGGAGAAUAGCUAAGAAAUACACAUUUUAAAGCUCUAGGAUCAAGUUUGCUCAUGUUCUAUGUAUGAAUGUGAACAAAAGCAAUGCACCCAAAAAUCUUGGGUGGUAAAGAUGUGAAAAACUUAGCGGUAGGAUAGAAUUUUGUGAAAACAUUUAAUGGAGACUGAAAAUUAAAGAUUCGGGUAGGCAUGCGAUUUAUCAAGUAUGAUGCUGUGAGAAUGGCUUCACCCCAAAACUGUUUUGGCACCCUAUUUGUGAACAUAAGAGAGCGUGCAACUUCUAACAAGUGUUGAUUUUUCCGUUCAGCAAUACCAUUUUGCUGAGGAGUAUCUACACAAGAGGAUUGGUGCACAAUGCCAUUUUCCAUGAAAUAAUGACCAAGGGCAGUAGAAAAAUAUGCUCUCCCAUUGUCAGUUCUAAAGACUUGGAUUUUUGCUUGAAAUUGUGUUUGAAUCAUGGUAUGAAAGGUUUUAAAAACUGUUGCAGUUUCUGAUUUUUCUUUAAGCAAGUACACCCAACAAACACGAGUGUGGUCAUCAAUAAAAGUUAUGAACCAUUUAGCCCCCGAAAUGUUUGUAACAUGAGAGGGUCCCCAAAUAUCACUGUGUAUGAGAGAAAAAUGUUCAGAUUUUUUAUACGGCUGUGAAGGAAAAGAUACACGAUGAUGUUUGGACAAUACACAAAUUUCACACUGAAACAAAGAAGGAUUUUUAUUCUUGAACAACAAAGAAAACAAGUGUUGUAAAUAAGAAAAACUAGGAUGACCUAAUCGGAGAUGCCACAACAUUAUUUUAUCUUUAAUAGAGAAAGUUAGUUCAUUAUUUGUUGCCUGAGCUUCUCCACACAAACUAACAUCCUCCUCGAAGUAGUACAAACCAUCUACCUCUCUAGCACUGCCAAUUUUCUUCCCUGAACACAGGUCCUGAAAUUCACAAUAGGAAGGAGAGAAUUUAGCAAUGCAAUGAAGAUCCUUGGUAAUUUUGCUAACAGAUAAAAGAUUACAAGACAAAUUAGGAACAUGAAGAACAGAUGUUAACACCAAAUUUGUAGAGAUAGGAAUAGAUCCUUUUCCUGCUGCAGAAGAUAGUGAACCAUCAGCAAUUUUAAUUUUUUGACUACCAGGACAUGGAAUAUAUGAAUAAAAUAAUUUAGAAUGGCUAGUCAUAUGAUCGGUUGCUCCUGAAUCGAUGAUCCAUGGAUCUUUUUUCUCAUAAACAACUCCUAAAGCACUGAAAUCAUUACCUUUCUGGGCUAAAGAACUAGAAGAUGAAGGAUUUGGGAGAGAUUGUGACUGAUUAAGAAACUUGUACAGUUGCUCUAACUGUUCUUUAGUGAAGAGUUGAGAUUCGGAUUCUCCAGUGUUGAUUGUCGGCUGAUUCUCCCCAAAAACUUGAAAACCUCGACUAUGUUUACCAGAGAAUUUAUUGUUUUUCAAAUUUGGAGGUUUUCCAUGAAGCUUCCAACAUGCAUCUCUGGUAUGUCUUGGCUUGUGACAAUAAUCACACCAAACUCUGUCCUUCUCAUCACUCUUCUUCAGGUUUUUUGUUCCCCCAAUCAGUGGAGCUUCUGGUGUAACAGAGAUCAAGGCUGAGUUCUCUGCUGAAGAACCUCCCAUCAUCACAUUCUUUCUACUUUCCUCUCUUUUUACAUAAGAAAACACUUCCCUGGUAGAAGGAAGAGGUUCCUUGCCAAGUACUCGCCCACGGACUUCAUCAAGGUCUGAACUCAAACCUGCUAAGAAUUCAAAUACACGCUCUUUUUCUAACAUCUUCUUGUAUUUAGCACUAUCAGCAGCACAUUCCCACUCGCCAUCAUAGUACUGAUCUAACUCUUGCCAUAAGCCCUUCAAAAUAUUGUAGUAUUUAGUCACUCCUUGACUACCUUGUUUGGUUUCUCGAAUUCUGGUUUUCAGAUCAUAAAUCUGAGCAGAAUUUCCCAAAUCAGAAUAGGUCUCGGUGACAGCAUCCCACAAAUCCUUUGCUGUUGGCAGAAACAAGUAAGUUUGACCUAUCUCCGAUUCCAUUGAAUUCACUAACCAUGACAUGAUCAUUGAGUUGUCAGCAGCCCAAGUAUGAAACUUUGGGUCUUCUUCAGUUGGUUCUUUAAUUGAACCAGUAAGGUAACCAAUCUUCCCUUUACCUCUGAUAAACAUCUUCACAGAUUGGGACCACUGAAGAAAAUUUUGACCAUUCAAUUUAUGGAUUGUGAUCUAAAGUGAUGGACUAUCAUUAGAAACAUAACUUGAUAGUUGUAGAUGUCGUUGCAAUUGCUCUGAAGAUAACUCAGAAGUUUCUUGCUCGCUAUACUUUGAUAUUGGUAUUCAAAUAGAAUUGAAAACUAAAUCCAAGAAUCAAAGAGCGACUCUGAUACCAUGAGAAAAUUAUUGAAGAAAUAUGUAUCUCCUUUUCUUAUUUUUACAAUAGGGUUACACAAUACAUAUAUAUAUAUUCUAAACUACAUAAUGUGCUAGAGUAGGAAAGUAAACAACUAACUGCAGACCAAGAAACUAGGAAACAAACUCUAUCUAAAAAACUGAAAUUCUAUCCCUAUUUUUUUUCCUUUCUAUCCCUAUCUUUUUUCCUUAAAAAUAGGAUAGAAAACAAGUGACUUUUCCACAGCCCUUUUGGACAAAAAUGAUUUCCUGCUAAUUUUGAGAAUAAAACCAUAGACAUCUAACUUCUGAUAUCUAGUCAAUCUGGUAAAAUCUUGGCAGUUGCACUUGGGGCAUAAAUUAGUUCCACCUUGGUUUAAGGACAGAAAUUCGUCAUAUGCAUGUAUUUAUUUAUGUUUUAUACACACACACAUGCAUGUACACACAAACACUACCUUCACUUUGAAGAAAAGAUUAAAAUAACACUGCUCACAUACACAAUACUUACUAUUCUAGUUCGUGUAACUUUCUCCGGAGUCACAAACAGGUCACAGAAUUCACGUAUUAACCGCAUACUUCUAGUCAUUUCUAUUCCUCCUUCACCAUCACUUGUCCCACAAUUACAAAAAGUGAGAGGUAAUAACCAACAUAUUUGGGUUGCUCUUCGGUAAGGGGUGGGAGGUAAGGGUUAGUUGUGGAGGGCACCUAGUACAGAAUCAAGGCCAGCUGUUGGGAAUUUGAUCUCCUGUAACAUAUACUUGUUCAUCAUAAACUAUAUACUUAUUCUGCAGUCGAUGUGUGCAUAUAGCUCUUCAAUUAUCCAGUAAUAACUCACCAUCAACUUCCUGCCAUCUUUCACGGCUAAUUCAGCAGCCAUUUUUGCCUGCUUAAAGGUCAAAAGCCCAAACUAAGCAGAUGCUCCUACUCCGAUACUUAUUAUCUAACUACUACAGAACAGAUGAUACGCAUCAAGUUGUAUCAAGAGAGACACCAAGUUGUGUUUUCCAAGAGGUUCCAAAGAGGUUUUGUUUCUUUGUGUAAUUUUUAGACUGCUUUGACAACUCAUCUUAAAGGUGCCACUCAUCCAAUAUGAUGUGGUGACAGUAGUUUAGAGUUUUAAACUAAAUGCAGAGCUAAUAGUAUUUUGGAAUAUAAUCAUCCUAAGAUACUAUAACACAGGGAUUCUUACACAAAAACAACAACUUCGAUGUAGAGAGAAGAUGAUUUCACAAAAGCAGAUGUUUUGAUUUAAGUCUCCAAAACCCCCACCAAAGAAAUGUUCAACAGAUAUAGAAAUAUGAUCCACAUAUCUGUAACUUAAACUGUGAAAGUUGUUGAUGUUGUUCUAAAAUUGCCACAAUCUAUCUACCCCAUGAAUGUUUUUGGAUAAAACAACAAGCAGGACCCAAUGCCUGUUUUCUAAUAGCUUCAAAAAGGCCAAAUUGGUUUUGAAAUGUCUCCAGCUUUUCAUUUAAUAAGAGAGAGAGAGAGAGAGAAGAAUCGCUCCCCUUUCAAAUACCGUGCUCUUUUGUACCUGGGAAUUUAACUAAUUCUUGCGAAUAAAAAAAUUUAUAAAUUUGGUAAAUUAUUUAUUAAAAAAUAUUGAGAGGCUGUGCAUUAUUUUAUUAGUAAAGAUAUAGUUAUCAUCAAAUUAGUUAUAUUAAAAUAGUUUUUGACUCACGUAAUUUAUUUUUAUUAUUUUUAUAUAUAUAUUUAAUUAAUAAAUUUAUGUUAUAUUCAUUUGUAUAAAAAUGUACAGUUCUAUCCUCACUCUUAUUUUAUUUUUAUUAUUUUUUCAGAAAAUGGUAUGCGUUAUUAAGGUUAAGGGUGACAACUGGGAUCAAUAUACGGUUUAUUCGAGUGCUUAAAACCUAAUAAAUAUCCACUAACUCAUAUUUAAUUAAAAUAUAAUUAUUUUUAAAUAAAAAAAUUUAAUAUAAACUAAACAAAUUGAUUGGAUUUUGUUUCUAAAGGUACAUCAUUAGAACGUUACCUUUAAUUGAACAAAAGCACACAUAACUAGCACAUUCGCCACAAAAGCCUCAGCUUAGUGGUCGGCUUAUUAAUUAUCUUAAUAAAAUCAUGGUCAUAAAUUUGAGUCCCCGUAGGAAUUAUUAGGUUAGGUAGCUUUUUUAGACUACAAAAGCUUUUUUAGACUACUCAUUCAUUUAAUUUUCCGUUAUAUAUAUUCAUCUUUUUUAGAGGCCAAGAAGUCUUCGACAGAAAUGUGAUCUUUUUCUAGUUGCCUCCCGGUGAUGAGCUUCUCCCAAGUUUCAAUUAAUUCGCUUUGAGUGAGGAUAUUUUCUGGUGGCCUCAAAUACAAUGUCUUGUUCAGCACUCAAGGGUCAUCUAUUGUCUUAAUAGUAUAUGUGGCAACAUCAUCAAGAUGCACUAUAGAAAAAAAGAUAAUCAUUUUGUUUAAUAUGAACAUAAAUUCUUACAGUCUAACUCAUAUUAUAGUGAACGAUGCUGUUAUGUGGUGCGUGCAUGCACUAUCUAUAGUUUUAAUAUUAUUAAUAAAGAGUUAAAAGUCUUGAUUUAAUUUUAAAUUGUCAUUCCUCUAACUUCACCGUCUUCAUAGAUGCAGACUUUAUCUUUUGAAGGGUGAGGGUAGCUAUAUUUGAGAGAGGUGUCUAGGGAACCAACCAGCAAAAAACAGCUAGCAGAAACAUAAAUGACAGGGAUUUGAGCAGCCUUGAUUGCCCUUCUCACACAUGCGCUCUGCGUUCUCCCUCCCGCUCUCACUCACUCACGCCCAAAUCUCACCUCACUCACGCAUCUCUCCUUCUGACCGGUGGUUUUCUCUCUCUCGCCGUGGGUCUCAAGGCUGGCAGGGAUUUCUCGACUUGACUACUAAAACAUAAUCCAAAAACUACUAAGAGAUGUAUAUAUUACUCUGAUAUACACAAUAUGAAGAAACUGCAGUUAUAUUUCAAAUAUUAUAUGAAGGAAGAGGCUGUAUGGAUUAUCUAAAGGUGCUGAAAUUAAGAGACCUAUUGAAAAGUCAUGCAUGUGGUAAUUUUUCAAAGAGCUACCAAACAUUUGAAGAAAAAAUGGAAAGUUGGCAAAUUUGUCAAAUUUGCCAAAUGGACACCAUUGACUAUUGGCUUAGGUUAGGUGGAAUGGUAAAGGGGUUGGUGCAAUAGUGCCAUUAUUUUUCCUAUAAAUAGAUGGCACUUUUUCCAUUCUUUUGCAUCCCAAAAUUGUUAAGCUUAUAAGUUUCUAAGCUUUUGAGAGAAGUGAGAGAAGUGUGUCUGGGGAAUUUAUCUUUCCUGCAGAGUGUGAGAGUACUGGGUAUAUUUUGGGUUUCUGGGAAGUGAGAUUCGUUACUCAAAUAUUGUACUCUAUUAAUUGUUAAAUAAACAAUUAUUCUUUCUUGCCUCCGUGGAUGUAGGUUUAAUUACCGAACCACAUAAUUCUUGUGUCCUUUAUUUUUUCUAUAAUUAUUUGGUGCGCUUGAUUCCGCAUUCCAAGCACAACAAGUGGUAUCAGAGCCGAAGGUUCGUACUUGGGGGGAUACGGUACUGUUCACGUAUACGGUACUAUUCCCAUAUACGGUACUGUUCACGAAUACGGUGGAGACGGCCAUUUGUACUUGGGAGACAGUCUAUUGUAAGUAGUGUGUAUUUUUGCAUGUUUAGGAAAGUUCUGUCAACAAAGGCGAUAAGAGUCUAAGGAUUCUGGUUUUUAAUUGGGACCGAGUUCCCGUCCAGUUUCUUGGGAACUUUCCUGGUGCAUUUAUUCAUGCGAAAUUAACAUCAUAGAGACUGUUUUUCAAGUGGAAAUAGUUCGUUGAGAAAAUGGUAGAAGGUGAAACUUCCAGAAUUGGGGAGAGAUCUACCGAGACUAUUUCAGGAGACACUUCAGGUGGGAGACGAGAUUUGUCAAAUCGCUAUUCAGCACCUGUUAUAGGAGGUCAGAAGAUCGAUGUUGAAAAGUUUGAUGGGAAAAUCAACUUCGGCAUGUGGUGGCGCGAAGUUAUGGAUGCCCUUAUUCAAAUCGAUCUCGAUGUUGUUCUGAAAAAUAAAAGACACUUGUAUGAUGAAGAAAUUUGGGAUCGUAUGAAUGAAAAAGCUUGUGGUUAGAUCAGAUCUUGUUUGACCAAGGAGGUGAAAUACUUGGUGAAAGAUGAGGAGUGUGCGGUAACUUUGUGGCGUACAUUAGAGGAAAAGUACUUGGUGAAAAGUCCUGAAAAUCGCCUUCAUGCAAUGAGCCAAGUAUAUGGUUUUCGAAUGAAGCCUGGGGUGUCAAUGCACGAUCAUGUUUCAAGAUUUGAAAAGUUACUUGCUGAUUUGAAGAAUCUUGAUGAAGAUAUUAAGGAUGAAGUCAAGGCUAUGAUUCUGUUACACUCACUACCAGAGGAAUAUAGCCAUUUUGUGACUACUUUGAUAUAUGGGAAGAGUGUGAUCGUCUUCAAAGAUGUUUGCACAACAUUGACUAGCUUAGAGAUUCGGAAUAAUGAUAAAAAUUCUGAACGAGCAUCGUCUGAAGCUUUAGUGAGCAGAGAUUGGGCGAUGGAGAAACAGAAGAAGCGUGGUGGAAAGAACUCUCGAUCCAAAUCGAGAAGCAGAAAUAUAGCUCGAGAUGAGUGUGCCUUUUGUCAUGAAAAGGGCCAUUAGAAGAAAGAUUAUCCAAAUGCUCAAAAGAGAGAUGGGAAGAAACCAGCAGCAGCAAACAUGGCACGGAAAGAUGAGGGAUCUGAUUAUUCACUAAGUAUUACUCCUGCAGCAUACGUGGCUAGUUCGAGCGAGUGGAUACUUGAUACUGGAGCAACCUAUCAUUUGUGUCCCAUUAAGGAAUGGUUUACGGAUUUCAACGUAUUGGAAUCUGGUGCAGUUGUGAUGGGGAAUGAUCAACCUUGUCGCACAAUGGGGAUAGUAACAAUUCGGCUCAAAAUGUUUGAUGGAAUGGUCAGAGAACUCAAAAAGGUUAGAUUUGUUUCAGCUUUAAAGAAAAAUCUAAUUUCUGUGGGUGCUUUAGAAGCUAAAGGCUACAAGGUUACCAUUGAAGAUGGUAUAAUGAAGUUUACACAUGGGGCUAUGGUGAUUCUGCAAGGGGUUCGGCGUCACAAUCUGUACUAUUUGAAGAGAGGUACAACUGAUGAAGCAAAUGUUGUUGAGGCACACAGUGACACCACCAAGCUAUGGCAUGUACGACUAGGACAUGCUAGAGAGAAGUCUUUGCAAACUCUGAUAAGGCAUGGACUCUUAAAAGGUACCAAAACCUGUAAAUUAAAUUUUUGUGAGCAUUGUGUAGUAGGCAAGAAAACAAGGGUUAAGUUUGGUACAGCUAAUCACGAUACUCGUGAGAUCCUUGAAUAUGUUCAUAGUGAUGUAUGGGGACCAACCAAGACUGCAUCAAUUGGUGGAAGCCAUUAUUUUGUUACAUUUGUUGAUGAUUUCUCUAGAAGUGUGUGGGUGUACACCAUGCGAGCAAAUGAUGAGGUUCUAGAGAUUUUCGUGAAAUGGAAGAAAUUGGUGGAGACUCAAACUGGAAGAAAGAUCAAAGUAUUACGAUAUGAUAAUGGGGGUGAAUAUACUUCUGAUCCAUUCUUGCAAGUAUGCCAGAACGAGGGUAUUAAAAGACAUUUCACAGUGAGACAUACUCCGCAACAGAACGGUGUGGCUGAGCGUAUGAAUCGUACUUUACUGGAGAAGGUAUGGUGUAUGUUAUCUAAUGCUGGUUUAGAUAAAAAGUUUUGGGCUGAAGUUGUGAGCUACGCAAGUCACUUGGUAAACCGGUUGCCUUCUGCUGCAAUUGGAGGUAAAACUCCUAUGGAAAUGUGGUCUGGAAAGCAUGCACAAGACUAUGAUUCCCUUCGUAUAUUCGGGUGUCCAGCUUAUUAUCAUGUCAAAGAUGGUAAACUAGAUCCUCGUGCUAGAAAAGCUAUCUUUGUGGGAUUCAAAGGUGGAGUAAAGGACUUCAAGCUUUGGGAUCUCGAAGAUAAAAAGUUUGUGUGUAGCAGAAAUGUCACAUUUGAUGAAGCUUCAAUGAUGAAAGCUUCAAGUUCUCAGCAGGUGGAGAACAAGACCAAAGAGGUAUUGCUGCGGGUGGAGUUUGAUGCAACUCCAUAUGUACCAGUUAGUUCUACAUCAAAGAAGAGUUCAACUAUAGAGGUGACACCUAGAGUUGAAGAAGAGGUUGUUUCUUCUGAUGUCCCACAAAAUGAAGAAACAAUUGAUAAUGUAGAUAAUGAUGAUUUUAUAGCAACAAGGAGGCUAAGAAGAGAGAUAAAGAAACCCGGAUGGCUUACUAAAGAUAUGGUGGUAGCCUAUGCACUUCCAGUUAUUGAUGAUGACAUCCCCAACACUUUCGGUGAAGCAUUACGCAGCAGUGAAAGUGAUCAGUGGAAGUUAGCCAUGGAGGAAGAGAUGAAAUCUCUCCAUCAAAACCAGACUUGGGAACUUGUAAAGUUACCAAAAGGGAAAAAGGCUAUUGGCAAUAAAUGGGUCUACACCAAAAAGCAAGGAUCUCCGAAUAAAAUAACUCCUCGAUACAAGGCAAGGCUCGUGGCAAAAGGUUUUGCUCAAAAGGAAGGUAUUGACUACAAUUAAGUUUUCUCUCCAGUUGUAAAACAUACUUCCAUUCGUAUCCUACUUGCCUUAGUUGCAGAAUAUGAGUUAGAGUUGGCUCAAUUGGAUGUUAAGACCGCGUUCAUACAUGGAGAUUUGGAGGAGGAAAUCUAUAUGAUUCAGCCUUGUGGUUUCAAAGUUGCUGGAAAAGAGAAUCAUGUGUGUAGGUUGAUUAAAUUUUUGUACGGACUGAAGCAAUCGCCAAGGCAGUGGUAUAAAAGAUUUGAUCAAUUUAUACAAGGGCAGAAAUUCACCAGAAGUGAACACGAUCAUUGUGUUUACUUUAGAAGACUACCAGAUAGAGCUUUCAUCUAUUUGUUACUCUAUGUCGAUGAUAUGCUUAUAGCUUCGAAGAAUAGAGAUGAGAUCGAAAGAUUAAAAAAGCAACUGGCUUCUGAGUUUAAGAUGAAAGACUUGGGUGAUGCACAGAGAAUACUUGGGAUGGAGAUUCGUAGAGACAAGAAGAAUGGGAGCGUAUGGUUGACUCAAAAGUCUUAUUUGAAGAAAGUGCUAGAAAGAUUCGGUAUGGAUGACAAAACUAAACCAGUAUGUACACCUCUAGCUUCUCAUUUCAAAUUAAGCUUUUCUUCAUGUCCUAGAUCUCAAGAGGAGCGUGAUUAUAUGGCUCGUGUUCCAUAUGCUAGUGCUGUGGGUAGUCUUAUGUAUGCUAUGGUAUGCACAAGGCCCGAUAUAUCUCAAGCAGUGAGCAUGGUUAGUAGAUACAUGCAAAAUCCGGGUAAAAAUUAAUGGCUUGCGGUAAAGUGGAUUCUCCGAUAUCUGUAUGGGACAGUUGAUGUUGGGUUAUUGUUCAAGAAGGAUUGUGGUCAACAAUGUGUUGGGUAUUGUGAUUCUGAUUUCGCUGGAGACCUUGACAAGCGAAGAUCAACAACGUGCUACGUAUUCACAUUGGGUGGAGGUCCGGUUAGCUGGAGGUCGAUUCUACAAUCGACAAUUGCUCUGUCCACUGCGGAAGCAGAGUAUAUGGCAGCAACUGAAGCUAUAAAAGAAGCUAUCUGGUUGAAAGGUUUAUUAGGUGAUUUGGGAGUAAUCCAGGAGAACAUUGCGGUCUUAUGUGAUAAUCAAAGUGUGAUAUUCCUUGCGAAGAAUCAAACAUAUCACGCUCGGACGAAGCACAUAGAUGUGAAAUAUCAUUAUGUGAGAGAGAUUAUCGAGAGCGGUGUUGUGUUGUUGAGAAAGAUCGAUACCAAAGAUAAUCCAUUAGAUAUGUUGACGAAGGUAGUUUCUGGAGUUAAGUUUCAACAUUGCUUGAAAUUAAUUCAAAUCCUUCGAUUGUGUUAAGAUAUGUCCUUCGGGAAUUUUGAACUACGGUUGGCUUGAUCCCAAAUUUUGGGUACGUAGGCAGUCAUAGAGAUGCAGCCACUUUGGGGAUGAUGAUUGGUUGGUAGUCGGCUCAGAUUUGGACAAAUUUUCACCGAGGUGGAGAAUUGUUGAAAAGUCAUGCAUGUGGCAAUUUUUCAAAGAGCUACCAAACAUUUGAAGAAAAAAUGGAAAGUUGGCAAAUUUUUCAAAUUUGCCAAAUGGACCCCAUUGACUAUUGGUUUUAUGUUAGGUGGAAUAGUAAAGGGGUUGGUGCAAUAGUGCUAUUAUUUUUCCUAUAAAUAGAUGGCACUUCUUCCAUUCUUUUGCAUCCCAAAAUUGUUAAGCUUAUAAGUUUCUAAGCUUUUGAGAGAAGUGAGAGAAGUGUCUGGGGAAUUUAUCUUUCCUGCAGAGUGUGAAGUACUGGGUAUAUUUUGGGUUUAUGGGAAGUGAGAUUUGUUACUCAAAUAUUGUACUCUAUUAAUUGUUAAAUAAACAAUUAUUCUUUCUUGCCUCCGUGGAUGUAGGUUUAAUUACCGAACCACGUAAUUCUUGUGUCCUUUAUUUUUUCUAUAAUUAUUUGGUGCGCUUGAUUCCGCAUUCCGCGCACAACAAGACCCACACCAACCGACAGACCCCCGGUGAUAGAGAGAAAGUCGACUGUGAGAUGCAUUCAAGACGGGGGAAGAGUGAGAGAGAAAACUGCCCGGUCAGAAGGAGAGAUGCAUGAUUGAGGUGAGAGAUUUGGGCGUGAGUGAGUGAGGAGUGAGGGAGAGGGUGCCGCGUGUGUGGGAUGCGUACAAUGACAAUUUAUACUUACAUCAAAACGCCGCGUUCGGUGCCAUGUGUAGGGCUAACUGUGGUUUGAAUCUCACUUUGGUAAUGGAAAUGACUUUGCAAUUGACAGUUUUUGUCAAAAGUUCGCACUGCAUGAAACUAGUGUUAAUAUAAUUUAAAAAAUUAAUUUCAGUAUUAAUUUUUAAAGUUUUAAUUAUUAUAUUUAUUUUAAUAAUAGAUUUAUAUUUAUUAUAAAAAUUUUAGUUAAAUAUUUGUGUUAAAUGGAAUUUAUAAUUAAUAUAAUAGAUCUUAGGUAUUAAUAUAUUAUAAUUAUUCUAUAUGCUAUUGAAAAUCAUUUAUAUUUUUAGACGUUUAUUUUCAUAUUAAGUUUCUAUUUAUUUUAAAAUUUAGUUUAAUAUAAUAUAAGCAAGUAAAGUAUUAAAAUAUUUUUUAGUAUUAUUUAAAAUAUUAAAAUAAUUUUAAAAUAUAAGUCAAAUUUUUAAGUGAAUAUAACUAAUAUUUACAGCUAUUUGAUGGCCUCAACAAGCUAAAGCAGCAUCAAAAUUUGUGGCUCGUUAAUUUAUUUUUUCCCUUUCAAAAAGGGAAGAGGAUAAGUUUGGAAGAAUGAUUAUAUUUUUAAUAAAUUCUUUUUUAUUAUAAUACUUUUUGUCUUUAUUAAUUUAAAAAUAUUGACUCUUAUAUUUUAAAAAAUAUAAAUAUAAUAUUAUAAUAAAAUAUAACAAUAUAUAUCAAAUAUUUAAAAAAUUUAAUAUUUUAAUAUUUUAUAUUAUAUUAAAAUAAAUUUUUAAUAAAUAAAAAUAAUCUAUUAAAAUAAAGUACAAAAAUUUAAAUUAUUUUCAAUAUCAUCUAAAAUAAUUUUACUAUUAUUAAUGCAUGAAAUAUAUUAUAGUAAUUGUAAAUUUCAUUUAACUCAAAGAUUUAUUUAGAAUGUUCAUAAUAAGUCCAAAUAUAUUAUUAAAAUAAUUAUAAUAAUUUACAUUUUAAAAAUUAAUACUGAUAUUAAUUUUUAAAUUAUAUUACUCUACCAGAAAAAUUAAACUAUUAAAUUAUAUCAAUAUUUAUUAAAAAAUUUUGAAAUUAAUUCUUGUUAUAUUUUUAAUUGGAAUUUUUUCAUGUGAUAUAACCAGAAUUGCUACAAUUUUUUUCCCUAAUUAAAGAUGGAGUUAUAAAUUAUUUGUAUAAGUGUCUGUGUGGAAACUAAUGUGACAUGAAAGUAAUAGCUGAAUAACAAUAAUGGGCCGAUUUCAAUUCUUAAACAGACUUGUCCUUCAUCCCAAUUUAUUUACCCCAUUUGGGCCGGUUAUGACAUAAACAUAUUCUUGUGGAAUGAAAAACAUCAUGAGAAGAAAAUGUUUUAUUAUAAUAGAAAAAAGUGGUCCAUAAGUCUAUUCAUUACUUUUUUUAUUCAAUAUAAAUGGCUAACUUUAAAAAUGGUAAAAAUCACAUAACGCGCAAACAUAUUUUAGAUUUAUAUUUUUUAAUACUCUCCGAGUCUCUCUUUCUCUUUUUCUUUUUUUAAAUAAAUGUCAGUAUAAAAUUUAAAAAAAAUUUAGAUAUAAAAUUUGGCAAUGACCAAACAAAAAUUGCAGAGGAAACCUUGAUAUCAUUGAAAUACUGAUAAUAGACACUACAGUAUAAAUAACUUGUUGUGAUCCACUCAACUUGUAACACUUUAAUCCAUAUUCUAAAAUUUUCAUGUUUGUUAGGAUUUUUAUUAUUGAUACUACUGUAUCAAUAAAAUUAUAAUUUAUUCAUAUGGAAUGAAAACAUCAAGAAAGGACCUCUGAUGUUUAUUGUCAUAGAAAAAAGUGGUCCAUAAGUCUAUUAAUUAUUUUAUUUAUUCAAUACAAAUGGCCAACUUAAAAAAUGGUAAAAAUCACACAAUGCACAAGUAAAAUUUUACAAUUACAUUUUUUAAUUCUCUUUGAGUCUCUCUCUCUCUUUAAAAAAUAAACCUCACUGUAAAAUUAGAAAAAUUUUAGACGUAAAAUUUGACAAUCACCAAAUAGAAAACAUAGGGAAAUGAAAAUGGAGGAGCCCUAUUUUCAUUAGAAUAUUGAUCAUAGAUACUAUAAUGUAAAUGAUUUGUUGCGAUUCCUUCAACUUGUCACACUCUAAGCUAUUUUCUAAAAUUUGUAAGGUUUAUAGGAUUUUUAUUACUGCCAUCAUUGUAUCAAUAAUAUUAUAAAUUAUAUAUUCUAUUGUAAUGAAAAUUUGUGUAAUCUUAGGUAUUUAUUGUAUUAAAUUGUGUGGAUUAAUUAAGAAUAUUUUUGGAGACAAAAGAAGUGUGUGUACGUAGGAUUAAUGAUAAAAAAUUUCUAAAUAAAGGUGAUUGCUUCAUUGACAAGUACAUAUUUAUAUUCCUCUAUUAAUAUUUGGGUUGUAAACUCUAUAAUAAAGUUGGUUGGUGUGAGUGGUUCGGCACUCUCACUCUUUAAGAGAGGUCGGGAGUUCAAGCCUCGCUCUCGUAUGGAGUCACCACUUUGGCCAGCACUUUACCUCUUAUGGGCCGACCCGGUGCGAGUGGGAAUUAGUAUGGGUUGUGGUAUGGGCUUAAAGGUGUCUCCCACAGUUGGGGCCCACUCAGGACCACCUCGUGAUUCAAACAAAAAAAAAAAGUGAAUAUAUUGUGGCAAGUGAUGUGGGCAAUAUCGGAUGCGAAAUAUUGAGAGAUCAUUAACGCAUAUAUUUAUUGAAGAUGCGUAUAGAGGAAAGAGUGUAGAUCCGGCCGUAACAAUUACGAAGCUUUCCCCAAGUAUACUCAUGCUUCCUUAACUGUUUCGAAGUAUUUUUCAUAGUGUGCAGAUUUACUUUAUGGUGUCUUUAAUUCAUCUUAAAUGAUUACUUUAUUGUUUUAGGAUGCAAUGUCAUUUAUUGUGUUAAUUUAAACAAUAGAAAAAAUAAGUAACAGUAACGAAAGACUAAUUUGUGAUAUUGAAGCGUACGGGCUUAACUCAAUCCAAAAAUUAGUAAAUUAGCUCAAGAGUUAAGAGUUGUCCAAAUCUUAUAUGAUGAACCCAAGUUUAAUACACAAUUGAUGCGGGAUGUUAUUCCUAACACCUCCCGUCAUGUGUAGGAUUGGCAAAAAAACUCGGGUCAGUCCCGCCUAAACCUACGAGCUUUAUGCAUGGCUCGCAUGAUGAAGUUACGGAUAUUAACCUAAAAAUUUGAAACUUACUAUGAAUGGCCUUGCUUAAAGACUUUUGCAACUUUAAUUUAUAACAAGUAUGUAUAUCUACACACACAUAAGCUUAGAUUGCAUUUGGAUGGCUUUUUUAAUCAAUUCAAACAAUCUGAAAUUUAUCAGAUUAAUCCAAAUCUUAUAUGUAUCCAAUUUUGCCCGCCCCUACUAUAUAUAAGCCCAAGUGACUCUCUUUUACUAAUUAAUAAGAGAAUUUUUGACCUUAUAUCCUUGUUGUGGCGUUAGACUGUUGGUUAUUUUGAUUGUUUCCUACCUUCCAUUUACGCCAGCUAUAACAUUGUAUUAUCACCAUUUUAGCCAUUUAAAUGAAAUUUUAUUUUUCAUUUUAUUGUGUCAAUACUAUCAUAAUUUAUUCAUUUUAUUGUAAUGAUAAUUUGUCUAGUCUUAGGUACUUACUAUAUUAAAUUAUGUAAAUUAAUUGAGAAUACUUUUAGAGACAAAAGAAACACGUGUAUGUAGGAUUAAUAAGCGAAGAGUUGUAAAUGAAGGUGAUUGCUUCAUUGAGAGGCAUAUUAAAUAAUUAUGGAGAGUUGCUCUAUUUCGGAAGCAUAUAUUUAUACUUCCCUAUCAGGAUUUGGGGUAAGCGAGGUGCUUUAUGUAUUGCAGUAACCAAAUGUGGGCAAUAUCAGAGCCGAAAUAUUGAAAGAUCAUAACGCAUAUAAACGAUUAGUAUAUUGAAGACACAUAUAGAGGAAAGAGUGCAGAUCCGGCCGUAACUAUUAUGAGGAUUUCCUCAAGUAUUCUCAUGCUUCCUCAACUGUUCUGAACUAUAUAUUCCUCAUUGUGGGCAGAUUUACUUAAAUACCAACACAAUGAUUCAAUACUUCAAAGGUCAAGGAAAUGUCAAAAUAUGAAAUGAAAAUACUUAAAUACCCUUCUACCUAACAAAACUUAGUACUUCUAACUGCCUUAGCAGAGAAUCUAUAAAAUUAAAAAAAAAAAUUCAUCCAUGAAAAGCUUCGUAACAGAAAAACCGUCUUUCAAAAAAUAAAAAAUAAAAAAUAAAAACAGAAAAACCGACUCAUUUAUCUGCCAAUGAACCAGUCAGGACUCAUUUAAAAAAGAUUACAAAGCAAAAGUAAAUGACACAAAUUGCAUAGAUAUCUCGGAGCCGCAUCAAAGGACAAUGGUGUUAAUUUGUCCGAGUAAUAAAUUCUCCUUGGUCAAAAGCAAUUAACGAUGAAAACUUUCUUCAUUAAGGUUCUGGCCUACGUAAAAAAAAAAAAAAAAAACCACCCCAAGGUCAAAGCACAACGAUAAGUUUAGAAUUGCAGUUUUUAAUUUUUUUUAAUAAAUCAACGUGUAUAAAAAAUAGAUAAUAAUUUUAAAUAAAUUUUAUUUGAUAAAUAUAGGCAUAAAAUUUUAAAAUCACCAAACAGAAAAACAGGGGAAUUAAAACAGAGUCCCUGUUUAUCCUCUAUUUUGCUUGUUAUUAAACAGGGAAAUGAAAAGAUCACAAGCGGAAAUUUUGUUUCUGCGUUGUCUCUUCUCAAUGCUACAUGCAUUCAAAUUAAACCUUACAUAUGCUAGCAAACUAGCUACCUGCGUUUAAGUGUUAGAGUGCAAUUUAUGCACUAAUUUUGCAUUGUUUACUUCUUUUAAUAUCGAUAUUUUGCACUUAAUAAUAGUGAUUUACUUGUAUUUUAUUUUUGUAAGUGCAAUUCUAUUUAUUGGUGCUAAAAUUGGGCUACAAGAUGAUGUUUGAAGAUGAUUGUUUUCUUGGAAAAAUUAUGAGUUUCAGAAGAACUUUGUUGAUAAGGCGUGGGCGCUGGCUGUCAACUACGGACCUGUAGUUUUUAGUUUAACGUGUUUUGUCUUUUUGGUUAUUUUUGUAAUCACGAAUUUAAUAUUUAGAUAAUAUUUUAGAUAUUAGUAUUUUAUUUUAAAAAGAACUCUAGAAGAGAAUUUAAGAGGGGAAUCUAUGGUCAAAGGAAAAAAAAGAAAGGAAACCCUAGAUCUAAAUUUUUCUCUUCUCUCUAUGAAGAACUAAACCUAUUAUUCUGGUUAAAGGUUAAUGGAGCUUUGAUUCAUCAUUACUGUGAGAUCUUUCUUAUGCUUUAAUUGUUUUAUUGAUUUUUGGGUAUUUGUUUAUUCUCUAAAUUAUUGUCAUGAUUAUGUUUGUUAAUUAGAUAAUUAGCCAUUAUUUAAUUAUCAACUUAAUCUAUUGUCAAUUAAAGGAUUCAUCGUAUGAAGAUUUUAAUGUUUGUGACAAAUAGCAUAGCAGUUCGUUAUGUUAUGAGAAUAAACAAUCUAAUUUAAAUGAACCAUCGUAUGCGUUUGUUGAUUAGGAUUUGGGUCUCUCUGGUUUUUCAGGUUGUCAAUUGAUUAAAUCCUAUGAUCGUAUCUAGGGUUGUCUAUUGAUUAGGGAAAUAACCAAUGGUCGUACCUUGGUUAUCGACUAGUUAAGGAGAGAUUGGCUAUUAGAGGGUCUCAGUAGCUAUAACCGGUCUAUUCAUAAGUAGUAAUGAUUUAUAUUUGAAUCAAUGAUCAAUAGUCGAAUCAAGCUGAGUUAAUUCCUUCAACCAGAGCUUUCCCCAAUUUUAAUUUGCAUUCUUGUUAUUUUAAUUUGAUUUUUAUUAUUGUCAACAAUUCCCCCAUUUUGCAUUUUGCAUUUUAAAAGGAUUUAAAUAAUUACUAAUCUCUGUGGACACAACCCUACUCAAUCACUAUACACAAUUUAUUUAGAGUAUGUAUUUAUUUUUGCUGGCUUCGACAACCAUCAAUAAGUUCUCGAUAAGUCCAAAUAAUAGAAUAAUUGUAAAAUGUUCAAAUUCAGUAAUUAAUUAUACAUAUUUAUUUAUUCAAAAUUAUUAUUAUUAUUAAUUAUUGUCAAUAAUAUAUUAAUAUACUAAUUAAUUGUAAACUUUUUUAUCAUUCAUAACAAUGAUGAUGAUGAUGAUGAUGAUGAUGAUGAUAAAAAAUUCAAAACAUAUUAAUUAAUUAUAAUAAUAUAUUAAAUAUUUAAUUAUUUAAUAAUAAUAAUAAUAAAUGCACAAUGUAUAAAUUGAUUAGAAUAAUUAUAUUAAUUAAUCAUAAUAAUUUUUUAAUUGAGGACAAAAUAGAUAUUUUAUAGUUUGUGAGAGGGGGCAAAAUGGUCAAUCUUGGGAAUGGGGGAUUGAUUCCCACCACCUUCCUUAGGAAUCAAUCUUCCAUUCCUCAUUCCUAAUUUGGGUGGUCCCCAUAGUUCUGAUUCGGAUCCCAGCCUCCAUUUUAUGAAGUAAACAUCAUUAAGAUUUCGAUUCCGGAUUCCGAUUCCCCAAUCCAAGAAGUACAGGCACCAUUAUUGUUGAUUGGUUCAAAUGCACAAAGAGAAUGUACCAUGUAGCUAGGCGUCAAGGUUGUGCUGCACAAGUAACCUUUUUCUUUUCUUUUCUUUUUAUUUUUCUUAUUUUCCUUAAUGUAUCGGAAGAAACUGGUGCCUUUGAGAUACUACCAUGUAAAUAAGUACUUAUGGUUCAUUGAAUCUGUAACACUCGGUACCCUACAAUUGCUUUUGAAAAAGGGCUUUACUCACUUAUCGCUAAUAUUCAAGUAAGUUUGUUUCAUUUCAGAAGGUGCAAAGUUUCAAACUUGUUGUAUUGAGAUGUAACAAACUUUGGCCUUAUAUGCUUGUUGUGACGUUUGACUGUUCAUUUUGACUGUUUCCUACCUUCCACUUACGCCUGUAGCACUGUAUUAUUCACCAUUUUAGUUGUUUAAAUGAAAUUUUAUUUUGUCAAAAAUGAAAUGACACCAUUAAAAUUUAAAAAAAUAGUCAUGGAGAUCCCAAAUUUUUACUAAAGAACACCAAUAUUCCCCUUGACUAUAAUACCCUUAGCAGGUGGUAAUAAAAAAUUGACUUAAAAUUUUUUGCGAAAUGUAAAUAUGAUUUAAAUAAUUUAAAUUUUCCAAUAGACUAAUAUAUAUAAUUUAAAUAAUUAAUUUCAAUAUUAAUUUUUUAAAUGUAAAUUAAUAUAUUUGUAUUUAUAAAAUAUUUGCAAUUAUUAUAAAAAUUUUAAAUAAAUCCUUAGGUUAAUAGAUUUUACAAUAAAUAUAAUAUUUCUCAUGUAUUAAUAAUAUUAAAAUUAUUUUAUAUGAUAUUGAAAAUAACUUAAUUUAUAUAUUUAUUUGAAUAUUAUGUCUCUAUUUAUUAUAAUUUGGUUUAAUAGAAUACGAGAUUGUAAAAUAUUAAAAUAUUUUAGAUAUUGAAAUUUUAAUAUGUAUAUAUUAUUAUAUUUAUUUUAAUAUAUUUAUAUUUAUUAUAAAUUAUUAGAGUCAAUUUUUAGUUAAUAAAUUUAAAAAUAUUAUAAUUAAAAAAAAGAAUUCUUAUUGUCUGUUAUUCACAAUAUGAGGUUCUACAAAAUUAUUUCUCCAGACGGGUGUCCUUUUCUUAUUUGUAAAAGGAAAAAUAAGUUCAGGGAUCUUAAAAAAUUCUAGUCCUAUCGACCACUAUGACUAAUGGGAAACGACAUUGCAAUUGACAUUACUUUUCGCAAUAUGACAAAUUUUUGGAGGGAUACGGGAGAAUCGUCAAACGUUCACACCACACGAGAGCUUUAGGUGGGAUCGGGGAGGAUUGUCAAGAGUUCACACCACGAGAAAUUAAUGAUAGGCCUAAUUUCGCUGUCAGUUCUUUAUUUAUUUAUUUUAUUUAUUUCAUACAUUAUUAUCUUGUUGGUAUUGUUUUGUAAAGGUAUAAAAGUAAAGUAAAAUACUAGGGGUACCAUUAAGUUACAGCUGAUGUAACUUACAGUGUUUUAAAAAAUAAUAUAAAAAAUUUAAUAGCUGGUGGGAUCCACAUAUUUUUGAAGAGACUUAAGUUACAACAGUUGUAACUUAACAAAAUCCAAAUAUUUGACAAUAAUGCAUAUAAUUUGGAUUUGAUUUUUAAAAGAUUAUUUGAGCACCACCUAUCCUUAUGAUAUUAAUGUGAAUAUAUCUUAAUAUUAAAUAAUCAAAAUUUGUUUAAUUAUUAUUUGUAUUUCAUACAUUACCUAUUAGAUUUGUUUGAAUUUUACGUUCUUGCUAAUAAAUAUUUAUGUUGUCAAAGUCAAAUUCUAAUGAUUAAAAGAGCAACUAUCCCUUAAAUUUUAAUGGUGAAUUGUAUAUAGUUUUUAAGAAAGUAAGGAUAAGUUGGAUAAUUGACUUAAAUUCUAAUGAUUAAAAGAGCAACUAUCCUUUAAAUUAAAAUGUCAAUUUCUUUAAUUAUAAUUUUUUUUUCAUGUGAUAUAACCACAAUUGCUAUAGUUUUUUUAAAUAAUAAUGGGAGUUAUAAAUUAUUUAUAUAAAAUUUGUGUAGAAUCUAAUGUAACCUAAAAGUAGUUGCUGAAUAAUAAUAUUUGAAACUCUAGGUAAUUUUCAUAUGAGCCCUUUUUAUAUUCAGCAUCUUGAAUCGGGGGAAAUCCGACUUGAAUUGGCGGCUGAUUUUGGUGAUGUAGCUUUCGGUUUAUGGUUGCCUUACAGUGGCGGACGACUGAUUUACGGUCGCCGACUGCUAGGGAUUAUGGUGGUGGUGUAAAUUGACGGAAAAAGUAGAAGGUUUGGUGGCGGCGCGUGUAGGAACCACUCGUGGGUUGUCGUUUCGUGUGGUGACUGCGGGUGGCGAUCAAGGGCUGACGUUGGUCGGUUUUUGGUCAACGGAGGGCGGCCAGUUUGUUGGUGGAGGUGGCUGGCGGUGAAAGUGGCUGAAUGGUGGUGGAUAUCUUGGUGGAGCUACGGGUUUGGGUUGGUGAUUUGCGGCUGUUCAGGCGGCGGUUGAGGCAGCGAUAGCUGCGGCUUGGUCGGCGGUGGCUAGCGAGGUUUGUUGUGGUGUUGGCUGGCUGAUCGGUGGUGGUGGGCGGCGGCGGUGGAGGUUGAUGCGGCGGGUAGGGUUUUCAAAUCGGUUUUUGAUAUUUUUUUUUUUUUUUAUGAAUUUGGUGUGGAUGGGUAUAGGGUAAGAAACACUAGAUAUCAUUCUAGUACUGGACCAAGCCAACGCAAUUAAUUUACCAUCUAGUCGAAGGGUGAUUAGAUAUCGUUCUAACCCAAACGAUAAAAUGAGAUUUUUAACAACGCGUAAUACAAGAUUAGAUGAUGCUCUAAUCCAAACGACUCUACAACGACUCUAUAAGAGAGAUUUUGAUAGAUAAAUCUAGGGAAAAUUAUAAAAGAUGGGUUUUAUUUAAUAAUUAAACCUAAAGUUUUGAAAACAAUGACAAGAUAUUUUUAUUUAUAAUACAGGAAAUCUGCUUCCCUAAGAUAACCUAAAAAAGAAAAGUAAAUCAUAAUUAUAAUAGAAAUGAAAGAUUAAGAUACACACCAUAAUUGACUCAAACUAAAAUAGAAAAUCUUAAAGUAAUAAAUAUUCUAAAAUUGUAAAUUAUCUAAAAUAACAAUAAUUAACUUCCUAAAUCAUUUCUUUGGUGUAAAUCAUUUUACAUCCAACCUCGCUUUAAAGGUUUGAACCAGCGUUACCAACAACAAUGUAUCAAGUUCCAAUCUAGCUUAAGAUCAUGCUGAUACAUCUACUGAUAUCUUUAUUUGAUUAGACAAUAAUGAGUCUAUCUCAUCACUUGUUACCUCUUUCUUGAAGGCUGCAUCUGUUGAGCGAUAACCUCGUUGAAAGUUUAAAGAUCUUCCUCCAUGUUAAAUUAAAUGGGCAUUUGAUUAAGAACUUUAUCUCUAUCUCCUUCUAUCAAAUAACAACCAUCCAAAGGGAAAAAAAAAUUAAAAAAAUCCAUGGGUCACAAUAAUUUCUGGUCAGCCCACAAACCCCCCAUUAUCUGCCACUAUCAAUCAUGAAAAUGAAAAUAAAUGGCAUAUUCCCAAAAUGACGAAAGAUUUUGGGGGAUAUGGGGGAAUUGUCAAAAGUUCACACAACGCGAAACAAGUGUUACAUCCAAUUUUAUUUCGUCAUAUAAUGAUAAUAUCAAAUAAUGACAACCAUCCAAAAGUAUGAUGGGUCUUCCAAAAUUUUAAAAAUGUCGUCAACAUUUAAUUUUCAAUGCUAAAGAAAAUGAAAUGCCCAAAAAUGACACGCAAGACCCACUCACAAACUAAAUGGCCCUUGACCAUAUGUAACAAACUUUGACCUUAUGUCCCUGCUAUGGCGUUAGACUGUUGGUCAUUUUGAUUGCUUUUUACCUUCCAUUUACACCCACUGAAGCAUUGUACGAUUAACCAUUUUAGCUGUUUAAAUGAAAUUUUUAUUUUUUUCAAAAGUAAAAUGACACGCUUAAAAUUUUAGAAAAUAGCCAUGUAGACCCUAAAAUUUUAAUAAAGAACACCAAUACCCUUUUUGACUAUAGUACUUUUAGUCGAUGGUAACAAAAAAAAAAAAUGACUUCAAAAUUUUUUACUAAAUGUAAAUAUGAUUUAAAUAGUUUAAAUUUUCUAGUAGACUAGUAGGUAUAAUUUAAAUAAUUAAUUUAAAUAUUAAUUUUUAAAAUGUAAUUUAAUAUAUUUAUUUUAAUAAUAUAUUUUUAUUUAUUAUAAAAUUUUAAAUAAAUCCUUAGGUUAAAUAGAUUAUAUAAUUAAUAUAAUAUUUCUCAUGUUUUAAUAAUAUUAAAAUUAUUUUACAUGCUAUUGAAAAUAAUUUAAAGUUUUAUAUAUUUAUUUGAAUAUUAUGUCUCUAUUUAUUAUAACUUGGUUUAAUAGAAUAUGAGAUUGUAAAAUAUUAAAAUAUUUUUAGGUACUGAAAUUAUUUUAAUAGGUAUAUAUUAUUAUAUUUACUUUAAUAUCCUACUUAUAUUUAUUAUAAAAUAUUAAAAUUAAUUUUUUUAGUUAAUGAAUUUAAAAAAUAAUAUAAUUAAAAAAAGAGUCUUAUUGUCCGUUAUUCACGAUAUGAGGUUUUACAAAAUUAUUUUCAAAAGGAAAAAUAAGUUCAGGGGUUUCAAAAAAUUCUAGUCCAAUCGACCACUAUGACUAAUGGGAAACGACAUUGCAAUUGACAUUGUUUUUCGCAAUAUGACAAAAUUUUGGAGGGAUAUGGGAGAAUCGUCAAAAGUUAACACCACACAAGAGUUUUAUUUAUUUAUUUAAUUUAUUUCACACAUAUAUUGUCUUGUUGGUAUUGUUUUGUAAAGAUAUAAAAGCACAAGUAAAAUAUUAGGGGAAGUAAAGUAAAAUAUUGGGGGUGCUGCUAAGUUACAACUGCUAUAACUUACAGUUCCUUCAAAAAUAAUGUAAAACAUUUAACACGUGGUGGGACCCACAUUAUGUUUGAAUAGUCCGUAAGUUAUAGCAGUUAUAAAUUAGUAAAAUCCAAAUAUUAGACAAUAAUACACAUUAACAAUGCAUAUAAUUUGGGUUUAAUUUUUUUUAAAUUAUUUGAGUAUUACCUAUCCUUAAGAUAUUAAUGAGAAUAUAUUUUAAUAUUGUGAAGCUUUCCUCAAUUAUUCUCAUGCACCCAGACCUUAUCUGGUCAAGUUUUCUGAUUCAAUACUGACGACAGCUUCUUUGUAAAGCUCUUCAACCACAAGCAUUUCUACAAGGCAAAGGACAAGGACGUGUUGGAAUGAAUAUCAACAUGGGAAUGUCUUAUGAAUUUAGUUUAUAUUCUAAUAUAAGACAAUCAAUAAAUAUUGGAUGCAAUCUAAGGGCUAACAUUUGAUUGAUUAAUAUAAGAAAAAAAAAGGGUACAAAAAUGCAAAACAGAGCUGAUUGAUGGCCUUUAACAGUCAGUUCUAUGACAAAGUAACCACCAUAACCAAUGGAAUUAUAAGACAUCAAGAAACUUGAACUUGGCAGGAGGUCUCAUUAGCAGUAUACCUCAGAAAUUAAGACAGAGACUUUAAAAUGCAAGCUUAUGGAGCAAUUUAAGCACUGAAACUAAUAACAGUGAUGCCAAAAAAGGUGCAGGAGUACGGUAUUAGCAAUUGACCUCUGCUUUUGCUUGGACAAAGGUUCUCAUCACAAGGGACUCAUUAGUUGCCCUUGCCUCACACGAUUGGAUGCUAAGGGGGAAAAGGAAGUUUGAAUUAGUCAAUCUCAUUUCUAAUGGCAUUCACAGAGAACCUAUAAAACAAAAAAGUAAAUAAAAAUUUUCAUCCAUGAAAAGCUUAGUAACGGAAAAACCGACUCUUUUAUCUGCCACUGACCUAAUCCGGACUCAUUUAAUUAAAAAAGAAUUCAAAGCAAAACUAAAAGACACAAAUUGCAUACAAGUCUAGGAGCCAUAUCAAAGGCGUUAUAUAACUUGUCCAAUUAAUAAAUUCUCUUAGGGACCAUGCCGUGCUCACUCAUUUCCAAAGCAAUUAAUGAUAAGAACUUUCAUCAUUAAUUGAUAUGGCCAGUGUAGAAAAAAAUGAAAAACCCCUCCAAGAUUAAAGCACAAGGAUAAGUUUAGAAUUACACUUCUUAAAUUUUGGUUAAUAAAUAAACGUCUAUAUGAAAAUAGAAAAUCUUUUUGGAAUAAAUAAACGUCAAAUUUUUGUUUCUAUCUUACUACCUUCUAAAUCCGCAAUCCCAAGUACUUAGAAGUAAAUGCUACAUAGUACAUGAGAUGUUUCCCGUUCAAAUAGCUCGUCCGAUACCAUUAACAUGUUCAUCUCUCUGUAAUUGGUGUAAUUACGAGAUUGGUGGUUGACAUGGCUUUCCUUGUACAGGUAUGUAUGAUUGUUUUUUUUUUUUUUGGCACUUCUAAAUGGAUACUGUUGAAAAGCUUAAAAUUGAACUGAUAAUUUUGUUUGGAAGCUCAGAAAAUUCAUGAGAAAGUGAAAUAGAAUAUGCUGGAUUUCUUUUCUUUCCAUAACAUACAAAUGACAAACGUAGCAGUAUUUAUACUCGUUGCUUACAUCAUAAAAACAGAAUUAAAGCAAGGUACACAACUAUAACAGCAUCAAAAGCGUGCUUAACUAAUUGGCUGAGCUGGCAUAUACUUCUUUAACUAACAAUGCUGCUGACUGGACUUUAGCUCACACAUGCUUAUCGUGCAGCUACUCUUAGUUCACACGUGCUCAGUGUGCUUCCUUAACAGACACAAGGGAAAAGACAUGAUUUUGAGAUAUAACGCUUGAAUGUUCUCGGAAUGGCAUAACGCUUCGUGUGUCUCGGAGCGGCUGAUUGGUGCUGUACGUGUUUCUCAUAUAGAACUCAAGUCUGCUGUUGUCCCAAAGUUGGAACCAGAGAUAUCAUGACUCUGGUUUCAUUUCACCUCAACUGUGUUUUUUUUUUUAAUUAAAAAAAUAAUUUUUUUAGGUAUACAUACAUGUAUUUUGAUCCCAUUUUCAUGGGAAUUUUGCAUUAAAAAAUGAAGAAUAGCUAAUAGGGAAUUUCCUGAUUCUUUAGUUACUAUUUUUGGAAUGAGGGUAAUUAGUAGUAAAGUUGGUUUCUACUCGCAAACAAGUGAGCUGCUCGAUUCCCAAGUGGUAUCAACCAGUUUUCAACUUUUUAAUAUACACAAAUUGUUAUUGUUUAAUAGCUACUACUAUUAAAACUCAACAUCUUACAAAAAUACUUAAAAAAAAUGAUUUUUUCUUAUGAUGCUGUAAAAAAAAUUACGGGUUUACUUAUUUCCACGAGAUCUUGUAUAGUGUUCUUGUAUAGUGGAAUUAAGAUUGUCUUCCCGAUGGUGCAAUUCACCCUCUUCCUUUACAGUCACUUGCACUUUGUGCAGCUUUGGUGUGGAUACGAUUCCCAGGGAAAAAGUCUUCAUGUUCGGACAAUGUGUCACAAAUACUCGUUCCAAUGAUGGGAAUUCAAGAGUGUAAUUCUCCAAACAAAAGCUGGUAAGCCUUGGUAAAUCAUCAAGUUCCAAAAGUUUUAAUUCACUGAAAGCAAUACGAUUCUCCUUCACUUCUUCUCCAGCAUGUCCUACGAUUUCUUCUAAUUUUUUGCAGUUCCAUACAUAAAGAUUCACCAGACUAGUAGGAAUUCCAACCUGAAAAUAAGCAGAGAGAGUGUGUGUGUAUAAAUAUUAAAAAAGUAAAAAUGUAAGAGUAUCAUUCAACUAGGCUCAAAGUAUGUUUGAUCAUACAAUUAUACGUUUUAUGAACAUAACAAACUGUGAAAUGUCUACUAGAUAUUUUUUGUUAAACAAAAAAGGUAACAAGAUAAAUAAAUAAAUAAAUAAAAGCCAGAUAAACAAAGAUGAUAAAAAUGUAUUUACACAAUUAGUAUUAGGGACGUAGAAAGAAUUUAAGGCAAUUUCUAAAUAUUUUAGACUUAUUUUGCAUCUUGAUAUAAGUUUUUAAGCAUAAAUUUGCACAUUUCAACUAUUCCUUUAAAAAAAAACUCAACUAAAAUGCCUCUUUUUCCCUUUUCCUUGGUCCCCUUUUUUUUAUGUAUAUAUAAAAAUGGAAAAAAAAAUUUGGAAAAGACUUCCUAGUACUGUCAACAAGGGAUUGCUGUAAAGUGGAUCUUUAUUAAGUACUUCCAGACUCGAGGAAAUUUCUUUACAAUCAAGGGUCAGUUGUAAACAAUCAUGAAUUUAUGGUUAAGUAAUGGCAUAAUCAAUUCUUAACUAAACUGGAGAUAUUAAUUAAAUUUGAAGACUUUUUUUUUUUCCCAAUCGAAAUGUGAAGAACUAAGGAAAAGAGAAAUAUAUAGAUGAAUUUGUGAACUUAUAAGAUGAGUGACUAUCCUUUAAUUUUUGAAAAUCGUACUUAUUAAGAUAUGAGCAAAAACAAUUAAAUUGAAUUAUAUUAUGCUGUUGAAUCUGUUUAAAAAAAUUAUAUUGUUGAUUCUAAUGCUGGUGAACCUAAAAACUAGACUUAAAACGUAGAUUUCAGAGUGGUGGUUUGAAGUACAAUAUUUGAAAUAAAUAAUUAGUGGCUGAAUAUCAUUUGUAAACACAGAAAUGAUUAAAAAAUUGUUGAAUGUUAUUUGAAAAAAAAAAUCGAAAUGAAUACAGAAACCUUACCAAUGGAGGAAAAAUAUUCAUUAGCUUAUCACACUCUUCUAUCUCCAAAUUCUUCAAUUUCCUGAAAGACUCCGAAGCAAGCUGGUGGUGCCAUAUUGUUCUUAGGUUAUCCAUCCACACAAUAUAUAAUACCUCCAACCUAGGAAGUCGUACCUGGCAAUUAAAGAUUAAAUAACUAAUUAAUCAAUUAAUGGCAUAAUCAAUUGAUAACUAAAUUAGAGGCGGAUAUUAACUAAAUUUGAAGACUCAAGGAAAAGACAAAUCAAGUAUUGUGACUAAAAUUAUUUUUUUAAUUAAAAAAAAAAAACUUUUCAUCAAAGAGAGGAGGAGGUUGCAUUUCAGAAUGAAUAGUGUCUUCUGGUGAGCUCGUAGAGAUGAAUCUUAACAUAUUACUGCAACAACCAAUCAUGAGGUUUAGCAAAGAAGGGAAUUCAACAACUAAAUCUGAAUGAAUAUGUCCCAUAUUGGCAAAACCUUUAAUUCAAUCAACUUUCCUUCAUCUCUUUCUGACCAUCCCGUGGUGUCGACUACCCCUUCCAUUGACUCACAAUAGCUUAUCUCAAGAUGUUGGAGUUGCAAAAGGCUAUUAACCAUAGAAUAUGAAAACAGAUACUUUAGACGAUAACACCUUUCCACAGUCACUUUUGUUAAAUUUUGACGAAAGUACAUUCCUUGAUUAUGAUCGGCCCAUAAUUUUUUCAUGUUUCUUAAGUCCCUGAGAUUCAAUUCCUCUAAGCUCGGAAGAAUAACCUGCAAAGAAAACCCGUACAUUUUUGUUCCUUCAAGUACAACCGUCUAGUAUAAUAUUCUUUUGAUGAUCAAAGAUUAAUUGUGAUAAUAAAUUAAUCAAUUAAUUAUUGAACAGAAAAUUAUCACCUUUGGAGCAGGAUCAUCAUCAGCAAUGAUUUCGUUGAAUCCCAAAGAAGUUGUUGGUUUGCUAAUUGUUGCACCAAAGAAGUAAGAUUUGAAACUUGUUUUUCUAGAGAAGUAGUACUUACCUCAUUGACUCGCUUAGGUGGCGGCAGUAGAUCGUUCCUAGUGUUGAACUGUUGGGAAUUAGCAGCCAUGUUAGCAAUGAGAUUUCGGGCUGCUUCUGGUGUCUUAUCCACGAGUGCUCCUCCACUAGCGGCAUCAAUCAUACUCCUAUCCAUAGGUAGUAGAACCUCAUAAAAGUAUUGAAUAAGAAGUUGAUCACUUAUCUGAUGGUGAGGGCAACUAGCACAUAGCUUUUUGAAUCGUUCCCAAUAGUCGUAGAGCGACUCUCCAUUAUACUGUCGGAUUCCACAAAUUUCUUUUCGAAUGCUGCCAGCUUUUGAUGCUGGGAAAUAUUUCUCCAAAAAUAGCUGACGCAUCUCAUUCCAUGUAGUGACAGUACCGGAGGGAAGAUAGUACAACCAUUCCUUGGCUGAAUCCGCCAAAGAGAAUGGGAAGGCCAUUAGCUUAACUUGCUCUUCAGAAACUCCGGCUGGUUUCAUUGUGGAGCAGACCACAUGGAACUCCUUCAAGUGGUUAUUUGGAUCCUCUCCUGCAAGACCAUGAAAAGUAGGAAGAAGAUGAAUCAUCCCAGAUUUGAGUUCAAAGUUUACUUGAGGGUUUGGAUUCUCAAUGCAUAAGGGUUGUUGGUCCAAGUUAGGAGCUGCCAACUCUUUAAGUGUUCGGUUGUUAUUCUGAGCCAUUGGUUGGGGUUCUGGGCUGCUUGGNNNNNNNNNNNNNNNNNNNNNNNNNNNNNNNNNNNNNNNNNNNNNNNNNNNNNNNNNNNNNNNNNNNNNNNNNNNNNNNNNNNNNNNNNNNNNNNNNNNNNNNNNNNNNNNNNNNNNNNNNNNNNNNNNNNNNNNNNNNNNNNNNNNNNNNNNNNNNNNNNNNNNNNNNNNNNNNNNNNNNNNNNNNNNNNNNNNNNNNNNNNNNNNNNNNNNNNNNNNNNNNNNNNNNNNNNNNNNNNNNNNNNNNNNNNNNNNNNNNNNNNNNNNNNNNNNNNNNNNNNNNNNNNNNNNNNNNNNNNNNNNNNNNNNNNNNNNNNNNNNNNNNNNNNNNNNNNNNNNNNNNNNNNNNNNNNNNNNNNNNNNNNNNNNNNNNNNNNNNNNNNNNNNNNNNNNNNNNNNNNNNNNNNNNNNNNNNNNNNNGCUAGUCCCCGGCAACGGCGCCAAAAAUUUGGUAGUGUCGUUAAGGUGCACCAAAUUUAAAACCUUACCACUAAUAUAAAUAAUUAGUACAGAGCGAGUAAGGAUCGAUCCCAUAGAGACUAUGCUAGUUAUAUUUAUUAUUAACUCCAAAGCAAGAUUUAAAAUAAAAUAAUAGUAAUAGUAAUAAUAAUAUAAAUUAAUCUAACUAAAGAAAAUGCCAAUUAAAAAUAAAAGGGGGGUUUAUGAAUUUUUAACUAAAUAGUAAGAAAUAAAGAAAUUAAAAUUACGAACAAGAAUUUAAUAAAAACUCUAAUUAAAGGAGAAAGAAAUAAUAAUGAUGAAAACUUUGGUUAAAGGAUCAUUCGCCACCACCAAACAUGCACAUAAUAAAUCAAUUCUAUUAUCAAUUUAUAUUGAAACUAUCAACCAUAGACAACAAUAAGCUCUGUUAGUCUCAAUCUUUCCUUAGUGUGUCGUUAGGUAAAAUAAGCUCUUCACCUAAUCUAUAACCAUUAAAUAAUUUAAAACAAGCUCUUUAAAUUUAAGAUAAUGGAAGCAUUAAACAAAGAAAGAAAUUAGGUUGAUCUAGGCAAUAAACACACAAGCUCAGAUUAUUUAACCUAGGUUAUGUUCUCCAAUUGAAAUCAUUAAUUCCAACCUGCUACUAAUGAUUAAAAUAUCAAGACAAUUACGGAUCAAGAAUUUUAAUCUAGCAAUAAAAUUUAUUCAAGUCCUAUCUAAUUGGCCACUCAAACAAAACAAGAAUAAACCAUGAACAUUAAUUAUAGAAGAACAUAAACAAUCUCAAUUAAAUAAAUUGAAUGAUAGAAUUUAAAUUUAAUUGCAUAGCAUGUUUAGGGUUUUGAAUUCACCCUCAACCAAAUAAAAAUCUAGCCUAACAUAAUUGAAUUGGGAAUAAGAGAAUUGACAAAACCAAUCAUAGAGAUUAAUUCAAGCGGCUGCCUUUUUCUUCAAUUGAAUUCCGGCUGCUGAUUUUUUCUUCUUCUUGCGGCUAUUGAUUUUCCUCUUGCUGCCGAAUUGGAUUUGCCCUCCCAAAGUCUCUUGCUGCCCGAAUUCUUUUCCCUCUAUUGCUUCCGCUUGAUCCUAUUUAUAAUGCUUCAAUUGUGGCUUUUUUUAAAUCCUUGCCUGGAAAGAAUUAAAUUCAAAGCUCAAAACCGCCACCUCAUGCUUCAAUUAAUAAGCCAAUAAUGAUUUCCUAAAGCCAAAAGGCUUUAUUCUCUUUCCUUUCACGUGGCAACUUUUGGUUUGCAUCUUUGUUUUCCAAUUUUGCUUUCAUGUGAUGGCUUGGCUUGUUAAUUGGCUUGGCUUCCUUUUUGACUUCCAUUUUCUAAUUUUAGCUCCAUGUGCAACAUUAAUUUUGCUCGGCCCAUACAAGCUUUAAUUAAAUUUAUUUUCUAAUUCCUUCCAAUUCUUGAUCUCUUGUGCACUUUUGUCUCUCAAUCUUCAAUCAAAUUUUUUUUCUUGAAUGCUCCGAUUUAAUUUCUCUUUAAUUCCAGAAUAUACCUAAAAUAACAAAAUAAAUAAAACUAAGAUAAAAAUUAACAAAAUAAAAUAUAAUUUACUAAAUUAAAAAUUAACUAAAAUAACUAGAAUAUUUAAGACCAAAACAAGAAAAAGAUAGAGAAAUUAAUAGCAAAAUAUAUGAAAAAUAUGCACUUAUCACAAGCCUCUCAUUUUUCAAAGCUUUUGCAAGGGUAAUAAGUGCAACAGGCAAUCCUCCGCAUUUUUCAACGAUCUCAUCUGCUAAAGGUUGAAAAGCAGAUGCUUUUGCAGAAUUACACACUAUCUUUCCAAACAAUUGCAAUGCUUCUUCCUUUGAUAAAACUUCAAUUGAGAAAUCCUUCUGAGAUUUCAUAUCAUUGCGCAAUAAAUCUCGACUUCUAGACGUCAAUAUUAUUGUGCGUCUUCUCCGAUCGUCCUCUCUAUCUUUCUCAUCAACAUCCCCAUAAGGAAUUCCAACUGUAUCGAACUCAAGUUUUGUCCAAAUAUUAUCCAGUAUAAUGAGGAGCCGCUUCUCUUGCUUCAACCUUUGACACAGUCGAGAAGCUCUUUGAAAUUCAUUCUCAUUCAAGUCAAAUUCCAUGCCUAAAUCAAAAGCAAGUUUGUCUUGAAUUUUAUGAUGAUCUGGGGUCUGUGUUAUCUCAGCCAUAACGAACUUAUCGAACAACUUAUCUUCCAUCACUUGGUUUGCAACUUGUUUGACCAGCGUGGUUUUGCCCACGCCGCCCAUCCCAUAGACCCCAAUUAUGUUGACCUUGUCAUCCUUCACCGCCUCCAUAACAUCUUGAAAUACUUUCAUUCUUGAAUCAAACGCCUCGAAAUCUUUCACUUGCAUAUGUUCUGCCCGCUUUGGAGCAGGACUGUAGGAAACAUUGGAGAAGUUGCCUUUUCCCACGAGACUAGCGGCAGCUUCUGCCGCCUUUGCUGCUUGUUUACUAAGCUUGUAACGAGAAAUCAAGUUUGGGCAUAAUCCUUUGAAGCAGGACUUCUUAGCUCUAUCUUCAUCAUCAAUGAUGGAUUUUGCAACCCCUUCACUGAUGAAUUCAUCAACGCUAUGUAGCCAGUCUGUGACACCCUCAUAAAGCUCAUCCCCUUGUAGCCUAGCAUGAUUAACUGGUUGCUGCACCAUUUCUCUCUUAUAUCCCAGCUGCUUCACUUGAUCUUUUAGCUCAUCUAUGUAGCUCUGGUACUUGAACACAUAAGAUAUCUGCCGUGUAAUCGGGUUGAACAGUGACUUUGCACCUUCUGAUACACAGUUGGUUAAAAAAGCCAGACACGCUUCUAUAGCCAUUGCCGGUUGCUUAACAAUAUAUAUCUAGUUUUUGGCUGUUGAAAAAAAAAAUGGAUUCAAAUAAAUUAAAUGAACUAGCGGGGAAGAAAAAGAAAGAAACGACAACAAACAACUUUUUAGAAAAAGGUUUCAGGGGCCUGAAUGGAAAACCAACAAUUUUUUGAAGAAAGAAAACUUUUUUGGAAGAUGGAUGCAAAUUAACCAUUAAUAAUACUGCAUAAGAACACAGAAGUUAACAAUAAACAGUAACUUAAAACUCAAGAAAAUUAAAUGACAAGAUUAAGACAAACAAGAGAUAGUUUUUGUUGGACAUUAAGAAACAUCUGCUAUCAAGAUCAAAGAUUAGAAAUUAUGCUAUUGAAAGAAAUUAUUAAAGUAUUUAGAACAAACGCACCUCUUCAAUUAUCGAGGAUCACAGAGUUUAUGAGCUUCACUCUUGGCCUUCGAUUUAUAAGAAAAAUUUUAAUGAGCAAAAGAUCACUGUUAACUGCAGAAGAAUGUGAGUAAAGAGUUUAUGGGAGUAAGCAAUACAAUUGAAUUGUAAAAGAACAAGACUUAAAGCGUGCACCCCGUGUUCAUAUAAACAGAACACAUGUUCAUUUUUAACAAAGUGAUCAAUAACUCUAUUCGUUAUUUAAUUGAUAUUGUAACCAAUUCUAAGAGAAUAUAAUAAUAAUCAUUCAAUCCAUAAAUUUAGAAUUAGAUUUUUUUAACUCUUUAUUUAAAUAUAAACCUUAAUGGAAAAUUAUAAAAGUUUAGAGAUAAAAUUUUUCAAUCACCAAACGAAAAAAACAGGGGAAUGAAAACAGAGGAAUCUUGUUUUAACUAUUUUUUUCCUCAACUCUCGUUCUUAUAUUAAUAAUCUUGUUUUGAUGAUAGUGCUCGUGACUGCGGGAAAAUUUCUACUGGAAACAACUCAAUUUCGGAAGAAAACUUAAUUUUGCAAGUGAUGAAUUUGAACUCGUUGGAUUGGUUGAUUUAUGAUUGACUGAAUUUCACUUUUGCCCAAAAGAUCUUUAACCAAAGUUUAAUAGCCAUCAUGUACUCCUUAAAAGCAAUUUUUUUUUUUAGAUUUGACUGAAUUUGAACUUGUUGGAUUGGUUGUUUUUAGAUUAUUAAUAUGAGAUAUUACAACGUAAAUAUUUUCAUGUGGUUGAGCCCUAUUCUAAAAUCUGUAUAGUUAGCUUUAGAAAAAGGGCUUUUCCUGCUGAUCUGUAAUCUUCAAAUAAACUUAGAUACAAAUAAUGAAAUAAAAGACAACAAACAAGCAAUACUGAUACAAAGCCAACAGAUCAGAGUUUUUUCUUGCCUUCUUUUGUUGAAGGAUUAGAGUUUUUGGUAUUAUCAGUAAAGGUUUCAAGGAGUAAAGCCUAUAAACUUUUUUUUUGGGGGGGGCGCCGCCGCGGGGAGGGGGGGGGGGGGGAGAGCAUGCAAAUUAACCAAAAGAAAUAAUAAGAGCACAGGCUUUAACAAUGAAUACUGACUUAAAACUCAUGCAAAAUAAGUUACAAUAUUAAAACAAACCAGAGAAAAUUUUUUCUUGGAAAGUAGAUGGAACUUAUGAAAGAGCAGAUGUCAAGGAUUUAGAAAACGCGCACCUCUUUAAUUAUCUGGGAUUAGAGAGUUGGUGAGCUUCUCUAUUUAAGAACAAGUUGAAAGAGGAAAAAGAUCACUGGUAACUGCUGAGGAAUGUGUGAGAAAAGAGUUGAUGAGAGCAAUAACAAAGACCUGCAAAAGAAAAAGAAUUAGUCAUGCACCGCUUUUCUAUAUCAUGUAUUUGGUUAUUGUUGCCCUGUUGACGCAUGUUGAAGAAGAAAGCACUAGUUCACAACUCUACGUUUUCAUAUAUUCUAAAGAAAUAAUUAAGUUUUCAUAGAAUGAUACCUGUUGUGUUUGAGUAAUUUUGGUAUAUACAUUGCUUGUGUACUGUGAAAUUGAAAUGAAUAUUGAUGGAAUGACUGAAUUUCACUUUUGCCCAAAAGAUCUUUAACCAAAGUUUAAUAGCUAUCAUGUACUCCUUAAAAGCAAUUUUUUUUUUUAGAUUUGACUGAAUUUGAACUUGUUGGAUUGGUUGUUUUUAGAUUAUUAAUAUGAGAUAUUACAACGUAAAUAUUUUCAUGUGGUUGAGCCCUAUUCUAAAAUCUGUAUAGUUAGCUUUAGAAAAAGGGCUUUUCCUGCUGAUCUGUAAUCUUCAAAUAAACUUAGAUACAAAUAAUGAAAUAAAAGACAACAAACAAGCAAUACUGAUGCAAAGCCAACAGAUCAGAGUUUUUGGUACAAAGCCAAUAAAAGACAAUAAACUUAGGACCUUUUUUUCUUGCUUUCUUUUGUUGCAGGAUUAGAGUUUUUGGUAUUAUCAGUAAAGGUUUCAAGGGUCUGAGUAAAAGCCUAUAAUCUUUUUAUAAACUUUUUUUUUUGGGGGGGGGGGGGGGGGGGGAGCAUGCAAAUUAACCAAAAGAAAUAAUAAGAGCACAGGCUUUAACAAUGAAUAGUAACUUAAAACUCAUGCAAAAUAAGUUACAAUAUUAAAACAAACCAGAGAAAAUUUUUUCUUGGAAAGUAGAUGGAACUUAAGAAAGAGCAGAUGUCAAGAUCAAGGAUCAGGGAUUCUACUAUCAAAAAAAAAAAAAUUAUUCAAGGAUUUAGAAAUCGUGCACCUCUUUAAUUAUCUGGGAUUAGAGAGUUGGUGAGCUUCUCUAUUUGGCCUUCAAUAUUUAAGAACAAGUUGAAAGAGGAAAAAGAUCACAGGUAACUGCUGAGGAAUGUGUGAGAAAAGAGUUGAUGAGAGCAAUAACAAAGACCUGCAAAAGAAAAAGAAUUAGUCAUGCACCGCUUUUCUAUAUCAUGUAUUUGGUUAUUGUUGCCCUGUUGACGCAUGUUGAAGAAGAAAGCACUAGUUCACAACUCUACGUUUUCAUAUAUUCUAAAGAAAUAAUUAAGUUUUCAUAGAAUAAUUUUGGUAUAUACAUUGCUUGUGUACUGUGAAAUUGAAAUGAAUAUUGAUGGACAGAGCAAUGCAUAUGCCUAAAAAAACAUAAAGCAAAUCCUUGAACGAAUGAUUCAGGACUAAAACUUUUAUAAAAGCAAAUACCGGAAACACACAAAAAGCAUUUAAGAGAGAAACUAAACCGCAAAUAAUCGAAGUAAGAUCAAUAAUAUAUGAUUUGAUUUAUGCAUAUUCAAAAACCAAAAUAUAAAAUAAAAUACAAAAUUAAAGUUUGGUUUAUUCUUUCCACAAAAAACAGGGGAAUGAAAACAGAGGCAACUUGUUUUACCAAUUUUUUCUUCUUAAUUUCCGGCAAAAAAAAUCAAUAAACAGGGGAAUGAAAACAAAGGAACGAAAACAGAGGAAACUUGCUUUUCAGGCUAUCUUGUGACAUGAUGAUAUUGCUCGUGAAUGCAUGAAAAUUUCUAAUGCAAACAGCUCAAUUUGGGAUGAUAAGCUUAAGUUUGCAAGUGAUGCAUGAUAAUCAGAUAUUUGUGGCUUUUAAAACUCAAGAAAACUCAAGAAAAUUAAAUGACAAGAUUAAGACAAACAAGAGAUAGUUUUUGUUGGACAUUAAGAAACAACUACUAUCAAGAUCAAAGAUUAGAAAUUAUGCUAUUGAAAGAAAUUAUUAAAGUAUUUAGAACAAACGCACCUCUUCAAUUAUCGAGGAUCACAGAGUUUAUGAGCUUCACUCUUGGCCUUCGAUUUAUAAGAAAAAUUUUAAUGAGCAAAAGAUCGCUGUUAACUGCAGAAGAAUGUGAGUAAAGAGUUUAUGGGAGUAAGCAAUACAAUUGAAUUGUAAAAGAACAAGACUUAAAGCGUGCACCCCGUGUUCAUAUAAACAGAACACAUGUUCAUUUUUAACAAAGUGAUCAAUAACUCUAUUCGUUAUUUAAUUGAUAUUGUAACCAAGAUCAAGGAUCAGGGAUUCUUAUGCCUACUGAUAUUUAAACAGAGAAUUCUUUCUUCUUUUUCUCUUCAUGGAUUAGAGUUUUUGCUAGUAACAGAAAGGUUUCAAGGGUCUGAAUAAAAUCCCAGAUUUUUUUUUAACUUUGUUUUUUGUGGGAAAAUGGAUUCAAAUUAACCAAAGCCAAUAAUAAGAUCACAGACUUUAACAAUGAACAAUAACUUAAGCAAAACCAAUGACAAGAUUAAAACAAACCACAGAAAUUUUUUCUCGGAAAGUAGAUGAAAAGCAAGUAAGAACUGCUAUUAAAGGAUAUUAUUAAAGGAUUUAGAACAUGUAUACCUCUUUAUUUAUAUGGGAUCAGAGAAUCGAUGACCUCCUCUAUUCGCUUCAGAUAUUAAGUAAGAACUGCUAUUAAAAGAAUGAAUUGAUGAGAGUAAUAACAAUGAUUGCAAAAUAGGAAGACUCAAUCAUGCACCCCUUUUAUACCUGAUCAUAUUAAGAAGUCGUUAAAGAAUAACGACUAAAUUAGGAAUUAAUUCUGAAGUUCAGAAUCAAGAACAAAGACGAAGCUUUAAUAACGCAUGCAGUGAGAUACAAGAAAUGGAUCUGGUAAAAUACAUUAAAAAAAUUUGUUCAACUUCAACCUAGUUAAGCUGAUGAAAGCACUAGUUGUUGGCUCUACGUUUCAUAUGUUCUAAUGAAAUAAUUAAGUUGAAGUUUUCAACGAAUAAAUACCUGUUUCGCUUGAAUAGCUUUGGCAUAUACAUUACUUGUGUCCUGUGAAAUUGAAAAGGUUAUUGAUUUACAAAGCUUAUUAGUAGAGAAAAGCUACGUAAGAUGCCUGAUAAAAGAUAAAGCAAGAGCUUGAAUGAAGAAUGACAUUUUAGAAAGAAACUAAAGUGUAAUCAUCAAAGUAGGAUCAAUAAUGUACCACUUUCCUUGCAAAUCUGGUGGGUUUUCUGAAUAGAUUUUUACAUUAUUCUAUUUAACCAUUUUGGGUUUACCCUAAGCAUUCUUGGUUGGCAUUGUCCUGUAAUCUGCGUGCCCUGGAUACGUGUGAGGGAAAGAUGAGGGUAGAUAUGCAAUUUCAAGAAGCGAUUUGCUUGCAUAAUUCAAUGCAUGGAAAGAGAUGUACCUGACCAGAAAAAAAAGGGCACCAUCCAUAUCUGAGCUUGACUUUUUAGAUGGAUAAAUAUUCUUAUUACUGUUGAUAAUGGAGAAGGGUUCUACUUUUACUUUGCCAUCUUUGAUAUAAAACAGCAUGAUUCCUUUUUAUCAAACACUUGCCUAAGUCUAUUUUUUAUUUUUCUUAUUUUCAGAAAGAGAUUAGCUUAAUUUAAAUUAUAUUCAAGUACAAAGUGUUAUACACUCAUAAAACGAGAAAUAGGCAUGUAUUGAUCACGCGCAAUCUAGUUUUUUUUUUUUUUCUUUUUUUUUAAUCCAGUCUUCUUAUUAAAAAAAAAAGAAUUUAUUUGCUUUAUUUUAAAUUAUUUUUUCAUGCGGUAAAUGCAAUACUGAGUAAUGGGUGAGCAAAAUAUUUACAGGCACACCCCCUUUUAAUGAUUUCGUACUAAAAUUAAAAAUUGACGAUUCCAUGAUAAAGUUCAAAGAGUAAAUGAAGACCCAUAAAUGUUUUUUGGUCAUGAGCAAUUUUUGAGUUGGGACAGCACUCGUAUGAAAAAAAAUAGUUUUUUUUUUUCUUUAAGCAUGAGGAUAUUAAUUCUUUUUUUAUAAAUCAGCGUGAAUAUAAAAUUAAAAAAAUAGUUUUGAAUAACUUCUUUUCUUUUUUCAUAAAUAUAGAUAAAAAAUUUUAAAGUCACCAAACACAAAACCAGGAAAAUGGAAAGGAAGCCCCUGUUUCUCCGCUGCUGCAAGCACAAAUUCGGUUUCUACAGGAGUACCUUCUAAAUGCACCAUUUGUAUUGCUUUGUUUCCACGUAAGCUAACGGAAUUUGAUGAAGACAAAAUAGAUAUGAGUCGUGCUAUUCACACCCCUCGAUAAUUCUCUCAAAAUCCCCUUUCUAAUUAUACCGCCUUGAAUAAUUUCAAAACUGACUUUUCCUCUUAUAAUACCACCUUCAAUUCCCUUAAUACCCUUGUUCGCUAUGAAAAUAAGGAAAAUGCCUACAUAAAAAGCUGGCUCUGAUAAUCUACCUGAAUUUACAUUAGAAAAGAGUGGACUUUGAGAAAUAAGAAGACAAUAUAGGGAAUUUUACCAAAAUAAUCCAUUUUUAUAUACAGGGAAUGGUAUUUUCUAAUAUAAGGAGGAGUGGAGAAAUUAAAUUUAGCAAAAUAAAGAACCUCCAUCGAGAAGCAAAAAUGAUGAUAUCUUUGUCGUGAAGAGAUUUCAAUUCAAUUGCAUACAUUGACGAAACAUUAAAUACGGAAAAAACAAAAAAGAAAUAAUAGAACAUGGGGAUUUCGAGAACUUCUAAAGAGAGAAAUGUAUUUAUAAGCAUUGAAAAUUAGCUCAUUAAAUUUGACAGAAUAAUAUACAAUCUCACUGUUGGCCAGAAAAUAAUAGUAAGAACUUGUGAACAUAUAUAAUCAAUUGCUUAUUACUUAAGCUUUUUCUCCGUUAUUUUGAAUGGGUGCAAAGAGGAGAAGUUUUGUACCCAAAUUCCAACUCGAAUUGUGUAGGCUGCUUGCAAGAGCUUCAUUAGAUUUUUAUUUGUCUUUUAAUAGUGCUACUCGAUAAAUACAGCUAGCUAUCUGUCCUUUUUGUUACUGGACUAUAGAUCAAUUGACAGUUGAAGUUAUAUUAAUUUGUUGUACUGGAAUUGAAGCUUGUAUCUUAGCCAUUUCGUGAAGUGUCAAAUAUAUUUUUAAUUUCCUUAAAAUUGUUCAAAAUAUGUUUACACUUUUAAAGUCACUAUUAUACAUGAGUGCCCUAAAAUCAUUUCCUUAAAAUUGUUCAAGUGGGAUCCUAGUUCUCUAUGGCAGUUGAAGAGGUAAAUGCGCAUAGAGCUAUGCUCUAUCAUAGGCCUCGGCCACUAUAAGAAAUUUGAUUUUUUAAGACGAUAUUUUUUACAACAACUUUAAAUUUGGUCACAAAAUGGUAUUUAUUGUGACAAAUUUUUUAAAUCGUAGCUAAUAAUCUUGUCCUAACUUAUAUUUUUUUUUGUAACCAAUUAUUUUUAUUUUGAGACUUGUUCAUUGGUCAUUAAUUAAAUUUUUUUAUACCAAAAAUUAUUUUAGUCACCAAAAGAUAUAUUUUUUUGGCGCAAAAUCUUCCCUCCAAAAGUGAUUAUUUUGAGACAAUAUUUCACUAUUUAUGACAAAAUAAAUAGUCAUGAAAUAUAAUUAUAGGCGACCAAAUUAUUUGGUAACUAAAAGAGGGGUGUAAAAUUAACUAAACAAUCUAUGACACAAAAUAUUAGUAGCCAAAAUUAUUGUUCUUUUGGCAUAUUUUAAGACCAUUUUUUUGGUCAUAUAUAAUUACCUACAGUGACAAAAUUAAAAAAUAGUCGUUGAAUGUUUUAUCUUGAAUAAUUUUAUAUUUGAUAACCAAUUUUUUUUUCUUUUUGAGACAUAUUACUUGGUCCCUAUUUCAACUUCUUUUUGACUAACUUUAUAAUAGUCACAAAAGACAUUUUUUUUUUUUUUGGCAUAAAAAGUCUGUCCAAAGUUAGCUCUUUUGGGACAAUAUAUAAUCUUUUAUGACAAAAUAUAUAGUGGCGAAAUAUAAUUAUUUUUUACAAAGUUAUUUCGUAGCUGAAAAAGAGGUGUAAAUUUAGUUAACCUAUUUGUGACAUAAAAUAUUAGUCUCCAAAACUAUUAUGCUUUUAGCCAAUUUUAAGACCCGAUUUUGUUGUCAUGGAUAAUUACCUAUUUUCAAAAAACUAAGAGAUAGUAAUCAAAAGUUUGUCUUGAUUGACAUUGUAUUUUAUGAGCAAAAUAUUUUGUUUCAGUGACACUUUACUUGGUCUCUGAUUAGACUUGUUUGUGAUGAUCAAUAGAAAUAUAUAAUAACCACUAAAUUUUUUUGGAUUAAAUUUUAUAGAUACUAUUAAUUAAGUUGUUGACGAAAAUGAUCGAACCAAUACUAAUAUGGGAUACCAUCAACAGCCGUAAUACUUAUGAACCGAGAAAUUAUAAUAUGUAGUGAAAAAGUUUUAACAGUAGUCCCUAGUAUUUAGAAUUAUUUUGACUACUUUAUUUAUUUCCAAAACAUAAAAUUCUCAACCCAAAAUUCCCCGCAUUGUGUUUUAUUUUGUCUCCUCACUCAGUUACUCUUAUUAACUCACGGCUUGACAAAAAAAAGAAAAAAAUUCUCACAGCUUGAUGUUCUCCUCUCUUUAAAAAUAAAAAUCCCCAGUUACUCUGCUCAAACUCGUUAAUAUUUGUUUCCACCACCAAAGCAGCCACUCGUAUCUUUUAUUAAGCAUAACGUUUUUCUUAAAACCUAAUUGAUCAUUCUUUAACGUCUCCAGGAUUAUAUUUGGCACGCUAUUUUUCUCCUUCAAUUGAAUAGAAGUCUAGAACCUUUUUUUUUUCGCAAUUCACUUUUGCUGUGUUUCGUGGUUUGGACUAAGAUCAUGACAAUUAUUGAACGAUGGGGAUAAAUAUCAAAGAAGGAGCUUACAUGCCCUAUAUAUCUCUCUUUGGAUGAAUAACGAAUGUGAGCUUUCAAAGUACAGAGAUUUACAUGUUUUAAUUGUCAUUUACAUUGCUGCAUGCCAAUUGCUUGAUAAAAUACUGCAACAAAUACGCAUUCUCGAUUUUCUUAUAAAUUUAUUUUCUUAAUCUGAAAAAAAUUGAAUGUUCAGAGAAUUUUGAAGGUUUUGGUGUAUGCAUUAAUAUUUCGAUUCUAUUUAUGUUGUUUAACUAAUGAAGAUGAUACAUCUAGCCUCUUUUUGCCCCUUGUUGUUUUUAUUCUUGUGCUUUAUAUACGGUUCAAGUGUGAUACACUUUAGUUUUUCUCAAGUGUUUGUUAGUAUUUCCCGAAGCAAAAUUUGUCACAGACUUUGAGUUCAAAAGUUGAAAUCAUAACUAACAUACUUCGAUUUUUUAUUUUCCUUUUUUCUUCGGUAUCCUUCUAUAUGGCAUUGGUUGAGAAAUUGGUGUACUUAGAUCGUAAUAUUCUGUAGAAAUAAGCCAAUAUUUCAUUACGUACAUUGUUUAAUAUGAUGAGUAUUGUAUAGAAGUUUUACAUAUAAGCUCCUUAUAUAUUAUGCAUUAUGUUUUUAUCAUAUUGUUGCUUGGAACUUUGAAGGAUUGGCCACAGGGCUUUAGUCCUACAUGGACAUUUUAUAUUUAAUAGCUGGUUAGGCAUUUUAUUUGAUGUUAUUUGGACUUGUAGGUGUUAAAAGUUUUGUUCAGUAAUUUUAUAAUUCAGAUUCCCAUUGUGAUAAGAUAGCAAUUUUUUGUGUGUCAGAUUCUGUCAACUGAUAUUUAGCUAAAAUAUCUCACUAACCCCUAUUGGUUAGGUAUUAUUUUAAAUCACAUACUUGAUUUUUAUUUUCUUUUUAUCUGUGGAAUCCCAUGUAUCAUUCAUAAGAAACAAGCUAUUAUAUAAUCUAUUCUUUAGAUCCAUUUAUAUGUAGUGAGCACUCUGAUUUCUAUUAUUUGAAUUUUUUGCUACUGUUACUACUCUUUCGGCCCUUCAAAUAGGGGUUAACAGAAAUGGUGAGUAUAUUAAUACAAAUUCAAACUUUCUUUUUCUAAUUUUAUCCAAAAUAACCUACUAUUUUAUUUUAAUUUCAAACUUUUGUCAUAGUCUAAUGGGCAGUUGUCUUGUCAUUAUUUGGUUUCAAGUAAGAAGAGAGAAAGUUAGUGAGAGGAUGAAAAUUUUGCAAAAACUUGUUCAUAGCUAUGGUAAUUAAGUAGUUUGAGUUCUUUUUUUUGUUGUUUUCUAUGUUGGUUUUGGAUCAUUGUAGUUGCUGAUUGUGAUUUAUUGUCGCCUAUGGUUGCUGACUUUUGUUUACUGUGGCUACUUUAUUAAAGCAAUUUUGGAUAUUGAAGUUUAUGGCCAACUUUUAUUAGACACUUCUGACCUUUAUCGAUAUAUUUUCUGAACCUUUACACUUAAGAUGUGUGUGUGUGUUUUUAAAAAAUACAUGUGAAUGAAAUAGUACUUGAAAUAAUAUAUUUUCUCAACUUUUAUUAGAUAUAGUGAAAUAGUACUUGAAAUAAUAUAUUUUCUCAACUUUUAUUAGAUAAUUCAAAGUAUAUCCCACUUAUUAUCGAUAUAUUUGCUCAAGUCUCAUGUGCAACAUGUGAAUGAAAUAGUACUUGAAAUAAUAGAGACUUUGUUUUAUGACUCAUAUUUUUACAUUUCUUUGCAAGGAACCAUACUUAAUUGUACCUAAUAGAAGAGAUAUCUUUUCACUAUAUAGUCUUAGUAUAAAAAGAUACAUCUUCUAUAUAAGGCACAAUUGAUGGGACAUAUCUUUAUACUAAGACAUCAUUCAUAUUUAUCACACAAUAAUAGAAACUGCAAUGGUAGGUGGAAUAUUAUGAAGUCAAAAUUGAGAACGACAUUAAAUCAUGAAUUCUUUAUGUGUUUACUCGAAUGCCUGACAGUAUUUAGUUCAAUUAACACAGAUUGGAAAUCCAAAUGAUUGAAGAGUUGUAUGAGUUCAAGUUCAGUAUUUAAUUACUAUAUAAUUAUACAUAAAUGUGGAUUUUGCAAGCUUGAACCCAUGUGUGUUAGCCCAUUUCGGCCCAAUAAACAUAUUGUUCUGGAUAAAAAAUAUCAGGGGAUCUCUGAUGUUUCUUUGGUUUAACAUAAAUUUAUUCCUAACUCUAUAACCAUGCAUUAUUUAGACAAAAAUUUUUGCAAUCACCAAACAGUAAAACAGAGAAAUAAAAACGGAGGAGCUCUUUUCUAAAACAGAAGUAGGUGUUUUGUCUGAACGUACCACUUUCUGUUUAAUUAUUAUGUUUACGGAAUAGAUUUUUUUUUAUUAUUCUGUUUUAUGUUUCCGUCUUUACCCUAAGCAUUCUUGGUUGGCAUCGCUGCAUUGUCCUGUAAUCUGUGUGCCUUGGUGAGGAGGGGAAUGGAUAACUGUGGUGCUGGAUACGUGAGAGACAAUGAUGAGGGUAGAUUUGUAAUUGCCAGAAGCGAUUUGCUUGCAAUAAUUCAAUGCAUGGAAAGAGAUGCCUCUAACAAAAAAUGGGACUAUCCAUAUCUGAGCAUUAGAGCUCUACGUCUUAGAUAAAUAAAUAUACUUAUUAGUAUUGUUUUUGCAUAUAUCUUUCACAAAAUUAUUGUAUUCGCUUAUAUAGAGAGGACGAUUUAGAUAAGUUUCAACUAAAAAUUGACAAUUCCAUGAUAAAGUUAAAAAUCACCGAAUAAAAAACUGGAAAAUCCCCUGUUUCUCCUCUGCUUUCUUUUGAUUAUUAUUAAAAAGGGGAAUUAAAAAAUGAGUUGCAAGCACAAAUUUUAUUUCUACAGUAGUACCUUCUAAAUGCACCAUUGUUUGAUACAUUAAAAUUAAACAUUACUUAUGCUAGUAUAUCGGUACUUCACAUGUCCGUUCUUCAUUAAUGUAUAUUCAUUUACACCCAAGCUACCUGUCAGUUUUGCGAAAACUGAAUUUAAAGGUGUGGCUUAAAUUAAAAUAAUAAUCAGCCUCAUAGAAUACAGAGAAAAAAGAUAAUUUAUCACAAUCAUAUCCUAAUGCAUCAUAAAUUUAGAUUAUUUAAUUACUGUUAGGAAAUCUGCUUAGAUAAGGCGCACACUACAAAUUCUAAAUUAAAUUCCUAAUUAACAAUAAAAGAUAGACCCUAUUAAUCGUCCACCAGGUACCUUGUAGCCUGCAUCAUAAGUUUAGAUUUAAAUUUUUGCAAUUACCAAACGGAGAAACAGGGGAAUGAAAACAAAGGAGCCCUAUUUUUUCCAUUUUUGUCCCCCUUAACUCUUGUCCUUAUACAAAUAUUUUUCCUUGGAAUUUCAGGCAUACGAAAAAAUAUUGAAAAUUAUUUAAAGCAAACAGGUGGAUGAUAACAAAAAUAUAUUUAAUUAACCAAAUCAAGACACUAUAUUGGUCGUCAAUGUUUCGGCAUCACUGUCUUCUUCAGAUGUUACUUGUUUUUCACAUUUAUUUUGCGCUGUUGUGGAUUAAUAUGGUUCUGCUGGGUGCACAUUUUUACGUGCUACUGUAUUUUCUCUCAGUCCUUUUUAAAAGAACAUACACCCACAUACUAUGUAGAGUGACCUUUUUUAAUGAGGAAUCUGUCAUUUUAAUAAAAUGAAGAAUAAACUAAAAGGUAGAAGUACACGAACUCUAAUGCAAUAUACCUUUUCUUUUCUUUUACCUUUACUAUAAGAUAGGGAAUGAUAUAAUUGAUAAUGGAACUUGGGGUCAGAGCAGCGGUGUAAUUUUGAGAGGAUUUACAAGAUGGUAAGUGCAAUAAUUAACAGGCUCAUUUAAUAUAUCAAACUGCUAGAUAAUUGUACUAGUUAAACAUAAUUUUCAGAGAAUCUUUUUAAGGGUUUAUUUAUUAAUAUUUUGUUUCUUUCCAGCAUGAACACUUUGUUUUGACACGUGCUUAACAACCUUCAACGAACUGGAACAACCUUCAUCACAUGCUUCCUCACGUGAUUACUUAAAUUGAUAUGUAAAACGUGCUCCAUCCAUGUCGUUUCCACUAAAUCGUUUUUUGUUAAGAAUCAGCUGAGCAGCACGUGAGCUAAUGAAGCUUUUACGGCUUCAAAACGCAGCCGUUUCUGGGAACCAAACUUGAUUCAUCAUCUCACAACUACAGAUGAAUUAUCGAAGUGGCUGAUUGGUGCUGUACGUGUUUUUCGUAUUGAACUCAACUCUGCUAUAAUACAUGCGUGCAUCUGAUACAUGCACAAAAACCACCACUCCCACUCCCACUCCCACUCCCACGCCCUCGCGUCACGCGCCUUACCACUCCCUCGCCUCACCUCACCUCUCUUCUUGUUCCACGGCCAUCAACGGCGGCACGAGUCGGCAACGAUCAACUGCGGCUGUAAAUUGACCACAAUCAUCUCUCUCUCUCGGCUUUGCUCAAAUUUGGCCGAUCUAUGCGCUUGCUUAAGCUUGGCCGAUCUAUGCUUGCUCAAUUACUCUUCCUAUAUUCAGUCGGAGUCAACUGUUUGACAAGAGUCGAAGUCCAAGGUUCUUUUUUACAGGAUUUGAGCUACUUCUUUUAUUCUUCUUCCAUGUUCACUGAUACGAAGCUUUGAUGUGGUGUUCUGAGAGCGGGUGGAAUUUGAGAUUCUCCUUUCUUCUCUAUAUGAAGGUGCUUGUCAUGUGUCAAGAAAAAUAAAAUUAUUUACAAAAGAUUAUUUUAAGGAGAUUUAUUAUUAUUCGUGGAUCGGGAAGCUCAAAAAAUUUUCUUAUGUAGACUCAAAUCAUUUCUAUAGGGCGAAGCAUAUGAAUGAUACAUAUUAUCUUUUUUUGGCCUUAUGUAUUGUUAUUUGCAGUGUGAUUUGGUCUAGCUUAAGAGCUUAAGCUUGCAGGCUGGAUUUGUCUGACAUGGAACAAUUUAAUUUGUUCAUCGUGAUGUUUAUAUCCAUUUUGUACUACUAUCAAUUUCAAUCAUGGCUAAUUUUUAUAUGUAUUUCUCGUGGACUCUCAGGUUCAGUGCACAAGAGGAUGAAGACGAUGGACACCCAAAUUUGAUGUGGAGAACAACUAUUGCAAAUGGUCCUUGAUUUACUUCUCCAAUUGACUUGAAUUGGUUUGACGCAAUUUAUAGUGUAUUUUUGUCAUCUUUGUAUGACUGGCAGGUCGUCCUGAUUUGGUACAUGACUGGACACAGGAAUUGGACUCAUAUUUUUCAAACCAGAAUGCCAACAAUCAAGCAUUUUCUUUUGAAAGCACUGGCGUCUUCUUCAGUGCCAAAAAGGUUAGAGAUUUUCUGUAUCCUGUUUUGUAUUUGAUCAGUUUAGCAUGUGGGUGGCAAUCAAGAAAAGUUAUUAUAACAUUUUUGUGUUCCCGAAAAACUGCUGCUGAUGUGUAGUGCAGGAAAUGAAUUGUUUGUGACUUCUUUUUAUUUGUAUUCUUUCUUUUUUCUUUUCUCCCCAACAGAAUUACGUAUUUCUGAAGAGCUUCUUGAAGUUGAUUACCAUGUAUGCCACUUUCUUUACUCUAUGCUCAGGAUGUGAUUUUGUUUAGGUCAGAACCAUCAUCUAAAGUUUACUUAAUGCUGCCGAGAAGCUGUAGUAGAGCAAUGAAGGCUGUUGGUGUUAUGAAGGCCAGCUGUGAAGAAAUAUUUGAACUUGUAAUGAGCAUGGAUGGGACACGAUACGAGUAUGCUUCUUUUCUAUUUUUUAUUUUUAGUUACUUUAACAUAAUCAAGACUAUAUUGGCUGUCUGUGUAAGCUGAGUAUUAUAUUUCCUCUUGUAUGCUGUGAAAUUCACAUUGUCUCCAGUCCCGAUUCUGUAUGUGCCUUUUUGAAUAUAUUUAAUUAAUCUGCAUGGUGCUUUCUAAAGAUUAUUACAAACUUUUGUUGCUUAAGUAUAUGAAGAAUGUGGAAAUGAAAAUAGCUUUUGAAGUUUGAUGGAUUGCUUCAUUAAUAAAGAAAGACUAGGACUCAUUUUUAUAACUUUUCUCCACUUAGCUAAUGGUAUUUGAUGAAGACAAAAUAGAUGUAGCUAUCUAUAUUUUUUGUUGCUGAACUAUAGAUCAAUUGAUGGUUGAAGUUAGUUAUAUUAAUUUGUUGUACUAGAUUAAAGCUUGUAUCUUAGCCAUUUCAUGAAGUGUCAAAUACGUUCUUUCCUCUUUUUUUUUUUUUUCGAAACAUGUUACACUUUUGAAGUCACUAUUACAUAAAAGAGUGUUCUAAAACAGGAGAAGGCGUGCUGCCUGAAAUUACCUGUUUCCUAGCAAAUCUAGCUGGUUUGCGAAUUAGAUUUUAACAAGUCUCUUGGCAAGGUUUGCUAGUAAUGUGUUCAAAUUAUUCUAUUUAAUUUUACUGUCUGUACCCUAAUAAUUCUUGGUUUGCACCAUUGCAUUGUUCCAUAAUCUCUGUGCGUUGGCUUAUAAAGGCCAGCAAGGCUGAUCAUUUGUCGAAUAGUUAUUUCCAUGAAAUUCCUAUCAAUUUGACUCAGUAUUUAGAGGUCUUGAAGAGGGCAGUGUACUAGACAUGGAUUUCUACCUCUUUUGGUUGUACAAUUGUUGUAUUUCUUGGCCAUCAGAUCUUUUUUAUGUACCUUUCUCAAAGUUCUUGCCGCACGUACACCGUUUUUCAUGUUUUGUGCAGGUGGGAUUGUAGUCUUCUGUAUCGCAGCUUAGUUGAAGAGGUAGAUGGUCAUACGGCUAUUCUCUAUCAUAGGCUUCAGCUGGACUGGCUUCCAAUGUAAUAGUCUCUUGAUUCAAUCAUCUCAUUUAUGCUUUGGUCAGAAUAGAACAUUUAUUGUUCUUCUUUCCCCUUUCCUCUCUUCUGAUGUAAUAUGUGAGGAAAUUACCUAAAAUUUCUGUAUCCCAAUGUAAUUGUUGGCAUUCAGAAAUAAAAUAAAUACACCGUCUUGUUUUUCCCUCGGUUCAGUCCUAAGUUCUCUUUGGGCCUUCUGCAAGUUUUUAAACAUACUGUGACAGUAAAAAAUCUAGUGAUUGAGAUCAUUUUGAUGAAUUUAAUUUUAAUUCUUAGCUGAUACUUUUUCUGGAAUUUUUUUCUUAUGUUUCCUCAAUAUGACUUAAAUAUAGGGCUUAGUCAUGGAUCAUGCACCAGAGUGAUGGAAGCACCCCUUGUUUAUUAGGAAAAGCAGUUGAUUGUAACUAUAUCCGCGGUCCUAAGUAGUUAGAAGUAAAUGCUCUUCGAAUUCCUAUAGUACAUGGGAUGUGUUCCCUUUCAAAUAGCUUGUUCAAUACCAUUAACAUGGUUUAACAUUGUUCAUCUUUCUGUAGAUUGAUGUUGACGUGUUCUUCUAGAGUUGCUAAUGGAGUUUUGGGCCUUGUAAUUGGUGUAAUUACGGCAUUGGUGGUUGACAUGGCUUUCCUUGUGCAGGUAUGUAUGAUUGUUUUUUUCCCCCACUUCUAAAUGACACGAGGGAAGAGACAUGAUUUUGAGAUAUUGUACUGCAAUUUGCAUAUUUGCAUACUUGAAUAGUAACUCAAGAAUCAUUUUCAGAAUGGUAUAAUGCUUCGUGUAUGCAGGCAAAUACUACAGAUGAAUUACCGGAGCGGCUGAUUGGAGCUGUACGUGUUUCUUAUAUAGAACUCAAGUCUGCUAUUGUCCCAAAGUUGGAACCAGAGACAUCAUGACUCUGGUUUCAUUUCACCUCAACUGUUUUUUUUUUAAUUGAAAAAAAAAAUCAUUUGUUUUAGGUAUGCAUACAUGUAUUUUGAUCCCGUUUUCAUUGUAAUUUCUCAUUUACUUUGAAAGAAAGUCACUGGUGUUUUCGAAUAGGAAUUUUGCAUUAAAAAAUAAAGAAUACUUAAUAGGAAACUUAAUAAUUCUUUAGUUACUAUUUUUGGAAUGAGUGUAAUAGUAUUGAAGUUGGUUUCUACUCGCAAUCAAGUGAACUACUCGAUCCCCAACUGCGACCGCACUAAUUGUCAUUGUUUAAUAGCCUACUACUUUUAAAACUCAACAACUAAAAAAAUGAUUUUCUUAUGAUGCUGUGAAAACAUUUAUGGGUUCACUUAUUUCCACAAGAUCUAUAACAUGGUCUUGACUUCACGAAAUUCUUUUAACUUAAAGGGUUCUGGUCUGAGAAAGUUAAUUUGACGGAUUAAUUCCUUUUAAUAAUGGUCGAGUUAAUUUUACUAUACUCGUAAAACUAUUAUUAUUCUGAUAAUGCCACAAAUGUUAUGAUGUUUUCUUCAGCCAAUAAUCUUCUAUUAGGACUAGUUAGAAAUCAAAUGCUUAAAACACCAAUUGAAUGAAUAAUGCAGAAGUUUAAACAGUAUCUAAUUGAAAAUUACAUGAAGCAUGAAACAUCAAUUCAAGUCCUUCCUUAAACAGAGAAUGCAUCAAACAAAUCCAAAGUGUCUUGCAUGUCUGUAAAUAAUUGUAAAUGCGUUUAGAUUAUUCAAGUACAGGAGAACAAGCAAGUUGAAUCAUGUACAAGAGGUUGGCCUGGUUCGAGAUAGCUUCUUCACAGUACCUGAAGGGUUGGCUCAAUCUUUUCUUUAGAAUUCUGCACAUUUUGUAAUUACUCGUGUAAGCAAGCAUACAUUACAACCAUAAUAAUAAUAAGGCAAGAGUAAUGAUACGACCACAGCCUCUUGUGCACAAAUAAUAUUGUACAAACUAAUAUGACAUAAUAUGAUUGAUUAAACAAAAACAUAACAUGACCCUCAUAAUUUAUUUAUUAUUAUUUUAUAUUUUCAGUCAAGCAAUCAUAUUAUGCCACAUUAAAUAGAAAUAAUUUACUAGAUAGUGCCAACACUUCAUUGAUACUCACCAUUUCAUUGAACAAUUUUUUUAUAGUGUCAUUGAGGUUGCCUUCCCAACAUCCUUCAUCAUCACCAUCUUCAUCUUCGGUGGGUUUCACUUUGUUUAGCUUUGGUGCGUCUACGACUCCUGGAGAGAAAAUCUUCAUCGUUGGGCAUUGUCUCACAACUACGUGUGCCAAGGACGGGAACUCAAGAGCGUAAUUACCCAAACUAAAGCUUGUUAGGCUUGGCAAACAAUCAAUUCCCAAGUACUCCAAUUUCCUGAAAACAAUGCAAUCUUCCGCUUCUUCUCCAACCUGCGACUGUAUAAUUUCUUCCAUCAUUUUGCAAUCAGUUAUCUUCAUUCUUUCAAGAUUCACUAGACUUUCAGAUGUUGAGAGUGUCAAUAAAUUUAUCAACCCAUGACACUUCGAUACUUCCAGAGUCGCAAGAUUUUCCAAAUGCCACAAAGCUGGUACUAAUUUCUGCAACUUACUACAUUCAAAUAUUUCUAGACUUUUCAAGUUUGCAAACACUUUGUUGGAUUCGGCAUUUUCCUUCCAGAGAUGCUGCACUUUGUGUAAUCCAGAUAGCUUUAACUUCAUCAAUUGAGGGAAUGCAACCUGAAAAUCAACAAAAUUAAGUUGUAAAUGAAAAUAUGUAUCCAAUCUCUACAGUCUUCCCCUACAUAUUUUAUGGACAAGAUUAAUCACGGCAUUUUAUAUUUUAUUUCCAAAUUAGUAUGCUUUGCAGUAGGAUCCCAAAUAUAAGUAUCAAAUCGAUUACCCUUUGAAACACAUAAAUGAAAUCUGAUCAUAAAUCCAAUAUGAAUUAGCUAGGAAAACAAAGAUCUAACACGCAUAAUUUAUGCGAUAUAGUUCAUCACCUCCUGUCACUAGGCAUCUAAUUAAUUUGAGACAUUUUUUUAAUUCAUACUAUAAAGUUAGUUAAUAACUACAAUUAUAUUGUUAAAUCAGAUAUAAAUUAAGACGACGUGCAAAAAGAUAAGUCAUUAAAUUUGAUUUGAUUCUAAUGAAAUUACAUCUAUGCGAAUGAAAGUGAAGGGAAAAAUAAUAAUAAUGAUUACCUUUUUAUCGAAGAGAUGUUGUAUUUGAUUAGCUACCAAGAGGUUCUCUUCUGAUUUUAAUUUUUGAGCUUCCUUAUUAUCUGCUGUCAUGUGCAAUACAGAUGUAGAAUUGGAUAUGAAUGUUUCCAUGUCAGGGCAAUUCUCAAUAGUUAGAUAUCUCAACUCAGGCAGUUCAAUUAUAUUCCCAGUGAAGUUGCAGAAUCUUUUGAGUUUUGGAAGAUCAAUGAGCCUUAGAUUGGAAAGCUUAGGAAACAUGGGGCCUAUAUGUUCUUUGUCAGCAUUUAGCUCUUCCAAACGAAGCACCUCUUCUAGUGAAUCACAAUUCCUCACUUCCAGCCGUCGCAAAUUGUUCAAGCAUCGUAGCAGAUUGGCAGGAAUAGCACUCGACAUAUUCGUGCAGUCAUCCACCACCAGCCGUGCUAAAUUGUUGAAGAAGCUGACAGGCAGUGCUUGGCCAUGCCAUAUUUCUUUCAAACGUGGAAAAUGUGAGAGUUGCAAAUACCAUAUGUCACGGAAUCCAAUCUGCACAAACCAAAACAAUUGCACCGGAUAUAUACAAUUUUUUUUUUGAAAGGCAUUAUAUAUAUACACAUUAAACUUACAUGUUUUGUGUUUUAACUUCUAAAAAUAUAUAUACAAGACCGGGGUAUAUGCUUAAAUGUGCAAUUGCAGGGGAGAUGCAUAAACAAUUUGGGUGAAUCGAUUAACACAUACCAUUUCUUUGUAAUACUUUUGCAUAAUGGAAUUAAGGUUAUUGCCUUCCCAAUGGUGCAGUUCACCCUCUUCCUUUUCAGUCACUUGCACUUUGCAUGGCUUUGGAAUGGAUAAGAUUCCCUGAGAAAAAGUCUUCAUAUUUGGACAACGUAUCAUAGAAACUCGUUCCAGUGAUGGGAAUUCAAGAGUGUAAUUCUCCAAACAAAAGCUGGUAAGCCUUGAUAAAUAAUUAAGUAUCAAAACUUUUAAUUCGCUGAAAGCAAUACGAUUCUCCUUCACUUCUUCUCCAACAUGUCCUACGAUUUCUUCUAUUUUUUGGCACUUCGAUACUUUAAGAUUCACCAAACUACUAGGAAUUCCAACCUGAAAAUAAGCAAAAGUGUGUGUAUAUUAAAAAAGUAAAAAUGUAAGAAUAUCAUUCAACUAGGUUCAAAGUAUGUUUAAUCAUACAAUUAUACGUUUUAUAAAGAUAACAAACCAUGAAAUGUCUACAAGAUAAUUUUUUGUUAAACAAAAAAAGCAACAAGAUAAAUAAAUAAAUAAAAGCCAGAUAAACAAAGAUAUUAAAUGCAUUUACACUAUUUAGUAUUAGGAACGUACGAAGAAUUUAAGGCAAUUUCUAAAUAUUUUAGACUUAUUUUGCAUCUUGAUGCCAGUUUUUAAACAAAAUUUGCAAAUUUCAACUAUUCCUUUUGGGAAAAAAAAAUCAACCAAAAUGCCGCUUUUUCCCUUUUCCCUUGGUCCCUUUUUUUUAUGUAUAUUUAAUUUUGGAAACAAAAUUAAAGUGGAUCUUUAUUAAGUACUUCCAGACUCGAGGAAAUUUCUUUACAAUCAAGGAUCAGUUGUAAAUAAUCGUGAAUUUGUGGUUAAUUAAUGGCAUAAUCAGUUCGUAACUAAACAAGAGAUAUUAAUUAAAUUUGAAGACUUUUCUUUUCUUUUUUUCUUUUUCCAAUCGAAAUGUGAAGAAUUAAGGAAAAGAGAAAUAUAUAGAUGAAUUUGUGAACCUAUAAGAUGAGUGACUAUCCUUUAAUUUUUGAAAAUUGUACUUAUUAAGAUAUGAGCAGAAACAAUUAAAUUGAAUUAUAUUAUGAUGUUGAAUCGUGAUUAAAAAAAUUAUAUUGUUGAUUCUAAUGCUGGCGAACCUAAAAAAUGGACUUAAAAUGUAGAUUUGAGAGUGGUGGUUCGAAAUACAAUACUUGAAAUAAAUAAUCAGUGGCUGAAUAUCAUUUGUAAACCCAAAAAUGGUUAAAAUAUUGUUGGAUGUAAUUUAAAAAAAAAAAGAUUCGAAAUGAAUACAACGACCUUACCAAUGGAGGAAAAAUAUUCAUUAGGUUAUGACACUUAUAUAUCUCCAAAUUCUUCAAUUUGCUGAAAGACUCCGAAGGAAGCUGGUGGUGCCAUAUUUUUCUCAAAUUAUUCAUCCAGCUAAUAUCUAAUACCUCCAACCUAGGAAGUCGUACCUGGAAGUUAAAGAUUAAAUAACUAAUUAAUCAAUUAAUGGCAUAAUCAAUUGAUAACUAAAUUAGAGGCGGAUAUUAACUAAAUUUGAAGACUCAAGGAAAAGACAAAUUAAGUAUUGUGACUAAAAUUAAUUUUAUUUAUUAAAAAAAAAACCUUUUCGUCAAAGAGAGGAGGAGGUUGCAUUUCAGAAUGAUUGGUGUCUUCUGGUGAGCUCGUAGAGAUGAAUCUUAACAUAUUACUGCAAUUACCAAUCUCGAGGUUUAGCAAAGAAGGGAAUUCAACAACUAAAUCUGAAUGAAUAUGUCCUGUAUUGGCGAAGCUUGUCAGUUCUGUAAGCCAAUAGAGCUGCAGGGAGUGUAGUUUAGGAAAAACCUUUAAUUCAAUCAACUUUCCUUCAUCUCUUUCUGACCACCCCGUGGUGUCGACUACCCCUUCCAUUGACUCACAAGACCAUAUUUCAAGAUGUUGGAGUUGCAAAAGACUAUUAACCAUAGAAUACGAAAACAGAUACUUCAUACGAUCACAACUUCUCACGUACAGCUUUGUUAAAUUUUGACAACAGUACAUUCCUUGAUUAUGAUCGGCCCAUAAUUUUUUGAUGUUUCUUAAUUCCGUGAGAUUCAAUUCCUCUAAGCUCGGAAGAAGAACCUGCAAAGAAAAGCCGUACAUUUUUGUUCCUUCAAGUACAACCGUCUAGUAUAAUAUUCUGUUGAUGAUCGAAGAUUAAUCGUGAUAAUAAAUUAAUCAAUUAAUUAUUGAACAGAAAAUUAUCACCUUUGGAGCAGUAUCAUCAUCAGCAAUGAUUUCGUUGAAUCCCAAAGAAGUUGUUGGUUUCUCCCUGUCGGGUCCUGUAAACAAACAAAAACAAUAUACAUAAUUAAUCUUUGUCGUUGUCUUUUUUUUUUCAAAAUAAUUGAGGCGAAGUCCAUAAAUCCACCAACACUUAAUUUCAACACUUACCAACAGUCAUUUCCAGUUUAUUGCAGGAAGCCACUUUGACCUUUUGAAGCCGCAGUAGGUUUCUGGCUAUGGAAAAUGAGAAAAGAUGCUUCAAUUUAUCACAGGAUUCUACUUCUAUAAUCUUUAAGUUGCUGAAAAAUUGAUCUUCUCUGAGUUGGCUGUGGCAUAUGGCCUCCAAAUUGAUCAAUUUAUAGAGAGACAAUGACUCCAGCAAGGGGAAGACUUUGCGAUGAACCCGUCCAACUGAACCGACAAUGUGUAAAAUCUCAGAACACCUUUCUACCCAAAGAUGCUUCAAUCGUGGAAAACCUUCCCCAUCAUCUAAUUCAUGAACAACAUUCUGAACACCCGUCAGUUCCUCUAGACGGAUAUCUUCAGUUAACUUCAGCAACAUUUUCAUCCCAUAAUUCUCCAAAAGAGUGCUAACAUUUUCUAACCCAUGGAGCUGCACCAAUCUUGAUGUUUCAGAAUUAGCGCGCCAGAUGCCCCACGCUUCUCCUAUACAUAUCCUAUAUCUUGGCAAUUCGACAAAGACCAAAUCCUGCGGCAGCAUUUGGGCAUCCUGAACUUGUAUCUCCAAAGUAGUUAGCUUUGACAGCCCCUUCAAUUCAGCAAGACUGGCGUUACUUCCUCCUUCAACCUUAUCCCACUGCGGAAAGCUGUCACCCAUAUAUAGUUCUUCCAAUCGAGAAAAUUUUGAUAUGACAUUUGGUGCUAUCACUACAAGGCUGCUACAAUUGCUCAAAUCUAGCAAUUGUAACUGCGCCAAUUGACCAAUUUCAAGUGGCAACUGCUUAAUGUCGGAAUAUCGAAAGCUAAGAAUCUCUAAUUUCUUUAGCUGUCCAAUUGCCGCUACAUCUUCUAGUUGGCACCAGUCUAAACACAAUGUUUGAAGGUUAAUGAGGUGACCAAGUGAUGAAGAUAAUGAAGAGAAAUGAAUUCCGCUAAGACUUAAAACUUUGAGAUCUUCCGUCCCUUCAAAAAAGAGGUGUGAAAUUUCCAAAUAGCUAUCACCAUUUGCAAGCAACAGUAAUAACUUGAGUUGGGGACAUUCCAACCUUUCGGGAAGCUCUUGAAUAUCUCCAUAAGGUAUAGAAAUAGCAAUUGCACCUUUCUGUAUGAUCUUUUCUAUCUCUUCCUUCAAGUUGGUAACAUUUGGGAUACUAAACAUGAGCUUCUCUGAGGCAAUUGAUACGGCAACAACAUGAAUGACGUCAUGCAUUUUAACUUCAUCUUCAGCAUCGCCGUCCAACAAUAAGCAUGAAGCUUUGAGAUUGUCGAUCAAUGCGUCCACUCUAUUCCUUGCAUUUUCCAAUGUGCGAACAUUUUUAAACAAACCCUUACCAUAUCUCAACAAGGAAGCAACUUGUAUAGGAGUACCUUCACCAAAUAGAGUACAAAGAAGGAACAAAGAUUUUGCUUCAUCACUUUCCAAGAAGUUGUAACUCAAUUCUAUGGAAGAGCAGACAUUUGCAUCCAUUCCAUGAAUUUCUCUUGGAUUAGAAUUUCGCAGCUGAGUCAACGCAUCCUUCCAAACGGGAAGCUUCUUAUUUUUCAGAGCAUUUGCAACUGUACUCAGUGCAACAGGCAAUCCUCCACAUUUUCCAACAAUCUCAUCUGCUAAAGGUUGAAAAGCAGAUGCUUUUGCGGAAUUGCCCACGAUCUUUUCAAAAAAUUGCAAUGCUUCUUCCUUUGAUAAAACUUCAAUUAGGAAAAUCUUCUGAGAAUUCAUAUCAUUGGUCAAUAAAUGUUUACUUCUAGACGUCAAUAUUAUCGUGCGUCUCCUUAGAUCUUGCUUUCUAUCUUUCUCAUCAACAUCCCCAAAAGGAAUUCCAAUUUCUUCCAACCCAAGUUUUUUCCAAAUAUUAUCUAAUAUAAUGAGGACUCGCUUCUCUUUCGUCAAUCUUUGACAAAGUUGUUUUGCUCUGUGGGGUUUGCUAUCAUUCAAGUCAAAGUUCAAGUCUAAAUCGGAAGCGAGCUUGUCUUGAAUUUUCUGAACAUCUGGGUUCUCUGUUACCUCAGCCAUAACGACCUUAUCGAACACCUUAUCUUCCAUAACUUGCUUUGCAAUUUGCUUGACUAGCGUGGUUUUACCCACGCCGCCCAUACCGUGGACCCCAAUUAUGUUGAGCUUAUCAUUCCUCAAUGCCUCCACAACAUCUUGAAAUAAUUUCAUUCUUGAAUCAAAGGCCUCGAAAUCUUUCGCUUGCAUAUGUUCUGUACUCUCUGGAGCAGGACGGUGGGAAACACUAGAGAAGUUGCCUUUUCCCACGAGACUAGCGGCAGCUUCUGCGGCCUUUGCUGCUUGUUUACUAAGUUUAUAACGAGAAAUCAAGUUGGGGCAAAAUCCUUUGAAGCAGGACUUCUUAGCUCUAUCUUCAUCAUCAAUGAUGGAUUUUGCAACCCCUUCACUGAUGAAUUCAUCAACGUUAUUAAGCCAGUCUGCAACAUCCUUGUAAAUCUCAUCUCUUUGUUGAGUAGCCUCACGAACGGGUAUUCCCACCCUUUCUCUUUUAUAUUCUAGCUCCUUCACUUGAACUUUUAGCUCAGCUAUGUAGCUCUGGUACUUGAACACAUAAGAGAUCUGCCGCAUAAUCGGUUCGAACAAUGCCUUUGCACCUUCUGUUACAAUGCCGGAAAAAGUAGUGGAAACCAGGUCUGCAGCCAUUGCCUAGCCUGUUGCUUUCAUACAUACAUACAUACAUAUAUAUAUAUAUAUAUUAGCUGUUGGAAAAAUUAGAUUCAAAUAAAUUAAAAUGAACUAGGGGAAAGACGGAGAAAGAAAUGACAACCAACAACUUUUUAAAAAAAGGUUUCAAGGGCCUGAAUGGAAAACCAACAAUUUAAAAAAAAAAUUGUAAGAUGGAUGCAGAUUAACCAUUGCUAAUAUUACAUAAGAACACAGAAGUUAACAAUGAACAGUACGUAGAAAAUUAAAUGACAAGAUUAAAACAAACAAGGGCUAUUUUUUCUUGGACAAUUGUACCUAUUUAAUUAUUAAAGAGUUAAUGACCUUCACUGCUGGCCUUGAAUAUAUAAGAACGACCAGAAGAUGAAUAUUAACUGCAGACGAAUGUAAGUAAAGAGUUCAUGAGAGUGAGUAAUACAAAUGAAUUGUAAAAGAACAAGACUUAAGUGUGACCCCAUCUUUUGUUUUAUUAUAUAAAUAGAACACAUGAUCAUUUUUAACAAAGUGAUCAAUAACUCUAUGCGUUAUUUAAUUGAUAUUGUAACCAAUUUUAAGGGAAUUUAAUAAUAAUCAUUCAAUGCAUAAAUUUAAAAUUAGAUUUUUUUAAUUCUUUAUUUAAAUAUAAAUCUUAAUGGAAAAUUAUAAAAAUUUAGAGAUAAAAUUUUUCAAUCACCAAGGAAAAAAAAUGGGAAUGAAAACAGAGGAAUCUUGUUUUACCUUUUUUUUUUUUUCCUUAACUCUUGUUCCUAUACAAAUAAUCUUGUUUUGAUGAUAGUGCUCGUGACUAUGGGAAAAUUUCUAAUGGAAACAACUCAAUUUCGGAAGAUAAGCUUAAUUCUGCAAGUGAUGAAUUUGUUCAAUUGACUCUGUACUUGAACUCGUUGGAUUGGUUGAUUUACGAUUGACUGCAUUUCAAUUCUGCCUAAAAGAUCUUUUUAAUAGCUAUCAUGUACUCCUUAAAAGCAAUCAUUUUUAGAUUUGACUGAAUUUGAACUUGUUGGAUUGGCUGUUUUUAGAUUAUUGAUAUGAGAUACUACAAUGUAAACAUUUUCAUGUGGCUGAGCCCUAUUCUAAAAUCUGUAUGUUGCUUUAGAAAAAGGGCUUUUCCUACUGAUAUUUAAUCUUCAAGUAAACUUAGAUAUAAAGUAAAUCAAAUAAAAUGACAAACAAGCAAUAUAAUAAAAGACAACAAACUGGCAAUAUUGAUACAAAGGCAACAGAUAUUAAACUUUAGGACAUUUUUUUCCUAGCUUUCAUUUGUUGGAGGAUUAGAGAUUUUGGUAUUACCGGAAAGCUAAAAGGUUUCAAGGGUCUGAGUAGAAACCUAUAAUCUUUUUAAAAACUUUCUUUUUCUUUUUUCUUUUUUCUUUUUUUGGGGGGGGGGGGGGGGGGGGGGGGGGAAGAAUGCAAGUUAACCAAACGAAAUAAUAAGAGCACAGGCUUUAACAAUGAACAAUAACUUAAAACUCAUGCAAAGUAAAUUCAAUAUUAAAACAAACCAGAGAAAUUUUUUUUCUUGGAAAAUAGAUGGAAAUUAUGAAAGAACAGAUGUCAAGAUCAAAGAUCUACUAUACACAAACACACACAUUAGAGGAUUUGGAAAAUGUGCACCUCUUUAAUUAUCUGGGAUUAGAGAGUUGGUGAGAUUCUCCAUUUGGCCUUGAAUAUUUAAGAACAACCUCAAAGAGCAAAAAGAUCACCGGUAACUGCCGAGGAAUGUGUAAGAAAAGGGUUGAUGAGAAUAAUAACAUUGACUUGCAGAAGAAAAAGCAUUAAUCAAGCACCCCUUUUUUAUAUCAUGUAUUUGGUUAUUGUUGCCCUGUUUACGCACGUAUAGGAUAAUUAUAUGCAAUCUUUUUUUAAAAAUCCACAUGCACUUUAGGGCUUCUUUCAUAAAAGCAGAUACCGGAAACACACAAAAAUCAUUUGAGAGAGAAACCGAACAGCAAAUCAUCAAAGUAAGAUCAACAAUAUAUGAUUUGAUUAAUGCAUAUUCAAGAACAAAACAAAAAUAAAUAAAUNNNNNNNNNNNNNNNNNNNNNNNNNNNNNNNNNNNNNNNNNNNNNNNNNNNNNNNNNNNNNNNNNNNNNNNNNNNNNNNNNNNNNNNNNNNNNNNNNNNNNNNNNNNNNNNNNNNNNNNNNNNNNNNNNNNNNNNNNNNNNNNNNNNNNNNNNNNNNNNNNNNNNNNNNNNNNNNNNNNNNNNNNNNNNNNNNNNNNNNNNNNNNNNNNNNNNNNNNNNNNNNNNNNNNNNNNNNNNNNNNNNNNNNNNNNNNNNNNNNNNNNNNNNNNNNNNNNNNNNNNNNNNNNNNNNNNNNNNNNNNNNNNNNNNNNNNNNNNNNNNNNNNNNNNNNNNNNNNNNNNNNNNNNNNNNNNNNNNNNNNNNNNNNNNNNNNNNNNNNNNNNNNNNNNNNNNNNNNNNNNNNNNNNNNNNNNNNNNNNNNNNNNNNNNNNNNNNNNNNNNNNNNNNNNNNNNNNNNNNNNNNNNNNNCCCCAGGGGAAAAUCUGGAAUUCCUUUUUUUAAUUUUUUUUUUUUUAAAAAAACCCCACCGGAAAUUCUUAAAAUUUGGAAAAAAAAAUUUUGAGUCCCUUAUUCUGGGGGGGGGGGGGGGGGGGACGAAAACAGAGGAAACUUGUUUUACAUUUUUUUGAUCUUAACUCUUGUUCUUAUAUAAUAUUUUCCCUGGGAUUUCAGGCAAACCAAACAAAAAAAAAAAAAUUCAAUAAAGAGCAAGUUGCUCUAAUUGAUUUAUCUUGUUUUUCAGGCUAUUUUGUGACAUGAUGAUAUGUAAUGCUCUUGAAUGCUAGAAAAAUUCUAAUGCAAACAUUUUUGCAAAUGACGAAUGUAAAUAACUUUUUUUGAUUAAUUGAAUCUCUAAUACUCUUACCCUAUUCUAAAAUUUGUAGGUUGCUUCAGAAAAAAAGGGUAUUUCUCACUCAUCUUCAAUCCUCAAGCACAAUUAGAUUAAAAGCAAAUCUAAUAAAAUAACAAACAAAUUAACAAAAAAAAGAAAAAGAAAAAAAACAAUGUUGAUCUUGAGACAAUUGAUACUUAAACAGAGAAUUCUUUGUUCUUUUUUUACUCCCCCUGGCUCGAGGAUUAGAGUCUUUCUUUGCUAUUAACAGAGAGGUUUUAAGGGUCCGAAUAAAAACCCGCGCUUUUUUUAAAAACUUCUUUUUUUUUUUUUAUUGGGGAAGAUAGAUUCAAAUUAACCAAAGCUAGUAAUAAGAACACAGGCCUUACAAAUGAACAAUAACUUACAACUCAAGCAACAUAAAUAAUAAGAUUAAGACAAACAUGAGAUUUUUUUCUUCGAAAGUAGAUGGAAAUCAAGUAAGAACAGCUAUUAAAAGAAAUUACUAGAGAAUUUAGAACAUGUGUACCUCUUUAAUUAUUUGGGAUCAGAGAGUUGAUGAGCUCUCUAUUCGCCUUGAAUAUUAAGAACUGGUAUUAAAAGAAAUUAUGAAGAACAAUUUUAGUGAGCGAUAGAUCACUGUUAACUUCAGAGGAAUUUGUGAGUAAAAAGCUGAAAAGAGCCGUAAUAAUGAAUUACAAAAGAAGAAGACUUAAUCAAGCACCCCUUUUAUACCCGAUUUUUAAGAUUUAGUCUUGAAGUUCACAAUCAAGAACAAAGACGAAGCUUUAAUAAAGCAUGCAGUGAGAUACAAGAAAUGGAUCGGGCAAAAUACCUUACGAAGCGUUUCAUAUUUUCUAAUGAAAUAAUUAAGUUGAAGUUUUCGACGAAUAAAUACUUGUUGUGCUUGAAUAAUUUUGGCAUAUACGUUACUUGUAUCCUGCGAAAUUGAAAAGCACAUUGGUUUAUUAGAGCUUAUUAGGAGGGAAAAGCUUUGUAAGAUACCUGAUAAAAGAUAAAGUAAAAGCUUGAAUGAAGAAUGACAUUUUAGAAAGAAACUAAAGUGCAAUCAUCAAAGUGGGAUCAAUAGUGACUUGAUAUUUCAAUUGUUCUGUCCACAAAUGAUGCUUCGUUAUUACUAAUUCCAGAUGGACAUUAUUAGAAAAUGAUCUUAUGUUUAACAGAAAAAUAAAAACUCGUCAUCAUACAAAACAGCGUGAAGAAAUCUUCAAUUUGAUUAUUAUAAAAUAAUAAGUUUCAUUACUAGAUUAUGCGGACAUUAAUGUUAGAGAUUUGAUCAGAUUAUCAUAUAAUUUACUAAACGCUUUGAGAAGAACAAUAAUUAAUUUUUAAAAAAUUGAAAAAUAAAUUAAAUAAAGAGUACACGCAAAUAAUGUUACUUCCAAUCACCAAACUGAAAAACAGGGGAAUGAUAACAGACGAGUCCCUGAUUAUCCUCUCUCUCUCUCUCUCUUUUUCAAUCUCUCUCUUUGAUAUCCAUAUCUGAGCAUCAGAGCUUGACAUCUUUGAUAAAUAAAUAUGCUUACUGGUACUGUUUUUGCAUAUGUCUUUCACAAAAUCAUUGUAUACGCUUACAUAGAGAAGAAGAUUCAGAUAACUUUCAAAAUCUGAAUCCGCCUGAUGGACAGGCUUGACCACACAGCCCCGAGACAAGGAAGUCCAAGCAACUAAUCUAAACCGUUCUCCUUUAUUAGCUAGAUUUAGUAUUUGGGUUCUUUAUGUAAAACGACACUAUGAUCUUGAAAUUUUGAUUUAAUUAAUAAAUAGUUAAAUUCUUAAUGUUUCAGGAGUAGAUACAUAGACUCUCUUCUAAUUUUAGUCAUUACAAACAAUGCCAUUGUGCGGUUAUACUAUUGCUUCUUUUAUGAAACCAUUCUCACCAUCACAUAGAUCUUGGCAUAUAGAGUCUCAUAAUGUCAUCAAAUAAUUUUUUUUUUUUUUAAAAACAUAAAAUAUGAUACAUGUAUUCAUUUUUUUUCAAAUUAGGGUGUAUUAUUCUUAAAACUUAAGUGUUCUACUUAUAAAUAUCUUGAAGGUGUGAGUGUUUUCUUUUCGUAAACAAACCGUAAAAGAAAAAGAGGAACAAUAAUUUUUUACUUAUCCUUAGAGAUAAGAUUCAAUCGGGAUGUGAGUAAGUGUGUUUUUCUUUUUUUAUUAUGCUAAAUUAUCGAGUCACAAAGCAUAUUGAUUCAAAAGUAUAACUUUAUACUGAUGAUAGAUAAUUUCAAAACAAUGGAAUGAAAACAGAGGAGCUCCCCCCUCCCCCACCCCAAUCCCCGCCCCCCCCCCCCCCCCCCCCCAAAAAAAAGUUCUUCUUCUUUUAUAUAUUUUUCUUGGAAUUUUAGGUAAAAGAAAAAAAAAACUGAGAUUGAUUUCAAGGGAACAGGUGGAUAAUAACUAAAAUACUUAUUUUUAUAUAUUUGAUAUGUGCGCUCACUAUUAAUAGAACUUAUUAGAUACUACAACUUAAAUAACUUCCCAUGGUUGAUUGAGGGUAUGUUUGAGAUUUCCUUUACUUUCCAAGAAUUAAUUUCUACCUUGAUUCUGAACAAAAAAAUAAUUUUACAAAUAAUCUAUUAGGGUGUUUGGUAAAUGAUGAUUAUUUGACAAUCAAUUUUUAAACGGUUUACUAUACAAAUCUGGUAAAUGAAAAUUAAAAGUGUAAAAUGUUCAUGUACAAUGACAAAAAUGUACUUGUUUACUUGUUUGUAAUUUAUUUAGAAUAUUAUUAUUUAAAUCUUUUUUUAUUUACAAGAUUUUUUAAGAGCAUAUUCUAUUUUCUUUAUUACAUAUUUAAAUAAUUUUUUAUUAACUAUUUUAAUUUGCAAUAAAAUUAACUUCAAUAUCUUUUUAACUAAAAAAUUUGUUAUGUAGUUCGUGAUAUAACAAAUACUAACAUAUCAUUAGUUUGAUUAAUAAAUUAAGUGCAAAAAAGAAAAUGCAAAAAUUUAAUCUUUAUAUAAACUUUUAUGUACAUAAAAUCAUUGUAAUCAAACUAGUUCAUAGAAAUAUAAUAUUAUAUACAUGUGUGUAAAAAAAAAAAACAUAUGACCAUAAUAUUAUCCACUCAUUAAACUUGCUGCACUAUUAUUUCUCAAUCUCUCCAUCUCUCGACCUUCAAGAACAUUACUACCAUAAUCUUCUUCUUCUUGAAUCCAACCUCUAUUUCCUCAUCAUCAACAAUGCGACCAAUUUGCCUUGAUAGCCUUUCAACUAGAAUAGAGUUGGCAGUAGAUAUUUUAGUACUCUCAAACUAUGCCCAAACAGGGUCACCAGUGAUUGUUGUAUUAAAAGACAUUCUAUUUAAUUUUCCUCUGACUCUGGGUCGAUACCUUUUAUGCAAAAUCUAUUUACUUAAGGAAUUUUCUACACAUGUCGAUAUCAUAUUAAAGUGAAUUCAGAUCCUAUAUUAUUGACAUUAAAAUUUAGCCGAAUAGUAAAAAAUUUCCCUUUUUGUUUGUCACACAACCAUAUAGUCCCAUUUUUGGUUAUAAGCUCACAAUAUGUAAGGGAAAUGAAGAUCUAUUAAAACUUUCCCAUAAUAUUAAACAUUAAACAAUAUCAACAUUUUGUGCAUAUGGUGCCUCAUCAACAAUUUGAUGUUCAUUUUGUUGCUCGGAGGAAUAUGACUACCUAUUAAUUAAUUAGCAAGAAUUGCGUUGCGAGUCCAUGUUUUUGUCGUUUGGAUGGAGGAUGUGCCAUCUUUUUAUUGUAGAUGCUUUGUAAGGCUUUUGAUUUAAUGAUUUAAUGCAGUCAAUUAACAAAAGCUUACAUAUAUUAUUAUGUAGUUGCUGAGAUGUCUGUUCUUGAUAAAGUCGAUUUAUUUACACCCAAGCCAACGGAAUCAAAGCCUUUUCGUUAAUAAUAUACACGGUAAUUGUUUUUGUUAAAUUGAUUUCUGGCUAACAAGAUAUUUGAAAGCAUUUAGGUAGCGUUUACAUUUUGCGUUGGAGUGAGAAUCGUGAGAAAUGAGAAUCCUGGGAUUAGGAGUGUGGAGUGGGAGUCGAAGUAUGUUGUUUACUUACACUGAAAUGGAAGUAUGGAAUUGAAAUCAGAAUCCAAUUUAUUUGUUUACAUUGUCUUAGAUUGUGAGUAAUGAUUUUAAAUUACAGCUUUACUCUUAAAGAAUUAUAGUUAUUAAUUACAAAAUUAAUAAAAAUUAUAUUUUUAAAUUAAUAAUAAUUAUUAAUAUUCUUAACUAUGUAAAUCACAAUUAUUUUAUUAAUUUUAAUUUUAAUUAUAUAAAUAAAAAAUUAUUAAUAACAACAAUACAAAUGAAACAUUAUUAUUGAUAAUAUAGUACAAAAUUAAUUUUUUUAGAAUAAAAUAUUUAUUAUUAUUAAUUACUAAUAUUAAAUAAAUAUAAUAGUAUUAUUUUUAAAUAAGUAUAAUAAUAUUAUAUUUUCAAAUAAAAAUAGAAUAUAGUAAUAUUAUUAAUUCUUUAUGAAUAUAAUGAUAUUAUUUUUAAGUAAUUUUAACUUAGAAUCAAUGUAAAUUAUUAUUUUUAACCAAAAAAUUAAUAUUAUUUUAAAUAUGUUUAAUAUUAUUAUUUUUAAUAAAUUUAAUUUAUAAAAUAAUAAAAUAUUAUUAUUUAAAUAAAUAUGAUUUUACUUAUUUUAUUAAAUUUAAUAAAAUAAAUAUGUUUAAUAUUAUUAUUUUUAAUAAAUGUAAUUUAUAAAAUAAAAUAAUAAUAUAAGUUAAAUAAAUAUGAUAUUAUUUAUUUUAUUUUAUUAAAUAUAAGGGUGAAAAAGGAAGAGAGGCGAGUGAAUUUCCACUCCCACCUUCCUCCAUGGGAGUGGGAAUCUCACUCCCCCACUCCAAAAUUAGGUGGGAUCCACGGAGUGGAAUUCUCACUUCCCCUUUGAAAAUUGUAAGUAAACACUGGAGUAAGAGGAAUCCACACUCCUCACUCUCACUCCAAAAAGUAAACACUAUAUUAAAGAAGUCAUUGACUUAUAAGAAAGCCAUGAUUAAAUACACGGCGAAGCAUGUGAGCUCGUUUUUCAAUUUCUUUGAUCACUCAUAAGUAGGGGUGGGCAAAAUCGGAUUCGGAUUGGGUUCGGGUUGAUUUGAUCAAUUUCGGAUCAAUCGGGUUGGGGAAAAAAUCAUCCGAACUCAAUCCGAAUUAUUAACCCGAUCCAAUCCGAUCCGAAUAUAAUUCGGAUCGGAUUGGAUCGAAAAUUCGGAUUAAUUCGGAUUAGAUUCAGAUUUAAAAGCAUUCGGGUUAUAUAUCCAUUCUAUAUUUCUGGGUUAAUUUCAGAAGCAAUCAAGUAAAACAAUCAACCUUUUCUCAAGAUAUAGUUUUGUUUUAAGCUUUUUAAAUUAAAUUAUUUAAAACAAUAUAGUCAAUACCACCAAAAACUUGGUGACAGUGAAUGUGGAGGUGAAUUUAGUUGUAGCAGUUGUGGUAACCGGUGAAGCUAGUGGCAGCAAGCGGUAGCAGUCGAGGUGUAGUAGAUUCCAUCGGCACGUUGCGGUUGCAGCGAUGGCUUAGCUUUGAACGAUCGCGUCGGUGACUGAUGGCUGCUGGUUCACGCAGUUGCAUCUCCGAUUUGCUGGCUGCUGCUUCUUGCGGUUGCAUCUCCGAUCUGCUCGCCGCUGCUUCGCUGACAUCUCCGAUCUCCGAUGGUUUGGCUUCGCACGAUCACAUCGGUGAUUGCUGGCUGCUGGUUCGCGGCUUCGCGCGGCCGCAUCUCCGGUCUGCUGGUUGCUGCUUCUUGCGGUUGUAUCUCCAAUCUGUUGGCUGCUGCUUCGUUGUUUGGCAUCUCAACAUUUCCGAUCUCCGAGGCCAAACCUCUAUUUGUGUGUGACCGUGUGUGAUGUGAGUGUGUGUGUGUGCACUUACAGAUUAUUUUAAUUUAGAUCUAAGAUUUGCUUUUUGUGUGGUGUGAAUCCGAUUUUGUUGUGUUUGCCACUUUGUUAGUUUGUUACACAGUUUUUUUUUUAAGCCAACCCGAUCGGGUUUUCGGAUCGGAUCGGGUUUCAUCCGAUCCGAUCAUGAUCCGAUCGGGUUGGCAAAGUUACAUCCGAUUGGAUUUUGUUAACAAUCCGAUCCGAUCUGAACCCGAUAUUUUUUGGGUCAGAUCGGAUCGGAUCGGGUCGGAUAUUUUGCCCAACCCUACUCAUAAGCUUUUCUAUACCACUCACUAUAUCAUCCUUUUAAGUCAAUUUCGACUGAUCAUCAGAGAUCAUGCACCCCACCUUGAGAUGAUUGAUCACCAAUUUGGCAUUGUAACGUUGAUCACCUCUAAUUGCCCAUGCUAAAAUUGAGACCCCACAGCCAAUUGCUUCUACAGUUGAAUUUUAUCCACAGUGAGAUAAAAAUCCACCUAUUAAUUGAUAACUCGGCAUCAAUAAUUGUGGUGCCAUUCCAUCUAUUAUCAAACCCUUUUUACCGGCUUUACUAUCUAAACCACUAUGAAAAUAAGCUGGUUAAAUGACGUGGAGGAUCCAAUCUAUUUACAUCAGUUUGAAUUACCUAAAUAAUCGGUGGAUUUGAUGCUUCUAAAUCAUUGGCUAAUGUUGAAUAAUCAUUUAAGGUGGGACCCAUUUCGGUACCAAAUGACAUGUAUAACACUGAUCCACAUGAUUUCAAAUCUAACCAUUGAAUGAUCUCAUCUUUGGUCAUGUUAGAACUCCGCCGGUUGGUUCUCAUCUCACAAUCACGAAGCACUGAACCGGUCGAUUUGUAAAAUUGUUCAGGUAACAAUGGGCCCACUCCCCACACUAGCAUCAACACCAUCGAUCCCUCCACUUGCUUCAUCCAGUGUGGUUGAUCACUCGGUUCUGAUGGACCUAUUUUCUCUGAACCGGGUGCACCUCACAAAGGUUGUGGGCCACCAGGAAGGGACCCGUGAGGCCUGCGUUUAAGAUCUGAUUGGAAUAAAGCAACAUCCUUGGGUAACCCAAGAAGUAAAUGGGCCUCUCCCGGUUUGGCAUCCUGGAUGCGAGCCUGCCACAUGGCACACUCCACAGCUGCUGAGCAAGCAUCAGAAGUGAAGAACCCAACAAUGGGAACUUCAAAAUUCUUGAAAACAUCAGCCGUCCAGCCCAUCAUAACGCCGAUGACUACGCAAACAGGUCGGCUUUCGGGUUCCGGGUUGAAAGGAGGUUUCGAAGACCCUGAAGCAUUUGGUUGUGCAUGACAACAUGGAGGUAAGAAGGAGGCGAUGGUAGUAGUGGAGAUGAGGAGGGUAUUUCGGUAAUUUCACAUAGAGGGUAUUGGUGAAGAGAGGAAGGGGUGAUGCUGGUGGUGGAAACGUGAGAGGGAAUAAUGAGGGUAGAUUUGUAAUUACGAGAAGCAAUUUGCUUGCAUAAUUCAAUGCAUGGAAACAGAUGUCCCUGACCGAAGAACGGGACAAUCCAAAUCUCAGCCUCAGCAGCAUUCGCAACAGAGCUUGACAUCUUUUAUGAAUUAUUUGAGACUUAAUUGUUAUUGACUGCUUUUGCCAUCUUUCAUAAAACAUUCUUUGUUAUAUAUUCAAGUAAAUAAAUUUAUCGUUUAAAAUUAAUUUUUCAUGUGGUAAAAGCAAUACUAAAUAUGGGGUGGAGAGAAUAAUUUGUAGGGCAUACCCCCACCAUUUAUUUAAUUUCAUUAAAAAAGAAAGAAAAGAAAUAAAGGCUUGUUCAACAUUCAAUUAAAAUUAACAAUUCCAUGAUAAAAUUACUUGAGAAUAAAAAUUUUUAAAAAAAAAGUAACUCAAAAACGAGGAAUUUUUGAGUAACUGAAGAACCAUAGAUGUUUUUUGGUCAUGAGCAAUUUUUGAGUUGACACAGAACUUGUAUAAAAAAAAUAGUUUUGAAAACUUCUUUUCUUUUUUCGUAAAUAUAGAUAUAAAAUUUUAAAAUCACCAAACACAAAACCAGGAAAAUGGAAGGAGAGCCCCUGUUUCUCCUAUGUUGCAAGCACAAAUUCGGUUUCUAAAGUUGUACCUUCUAAAUGCACCAUUUGUAUUGCUUUGUCUCCACUUGAGCUAACGGAAUUUGAUGAAAACAAAAUAAUUGAACGAUAGGGAUAAAUAUCAAAGAAGGAGCUUACAUGCCCUAUAUAUUCUCUUUGGAUGAAUAACGAAGGUGAGCUUUCAAAGUACAGAGAUUUACAUGUUUUAAUUGUCAUUUACAUUGCUGCAUGCUAAUUGCUUGAUAAAAUACCGCAACAAAUACGCAUUCUCGAUUUCUUAUAAAUUUAUUUUCUUACUCUGAAAAAAAUUGAAUGUUUAGAGAAUUUUGAAGGUUUUGGUGUAUGCAUUAAUAUUUUGAUUCUAUUUAUGUUGUUUAACUAAUGAAGAUGAUACAUCUAGCCUCUUUUUGCCCCUUGUUGUUUUUAUUCUUGUGCUUUAUAUACGGUUCAAGUGUGAUACACUUUAGUUUUUCUCAAGUGUUUGUUAGUAUUUCCCGAAGCAAAAUUUGUCACAGACUUUUAGUUCAAAAGUUGAAAUCAUAACUAACAUACUUCGAUUUUUUAUUUUCCUUUUUUCUUCGGUAUCUUUCUAUAUGGCAUUGCUUGAGAAAUUGGUGUACUUAGAUCGUAAUAUUCUGUAGAAAUAAGCCAAUAUUUCAUUAUGUACAUUGUUUAAUAUGAUAAGUAUUGUAUGGAAGUUUUACAGAUAAGCUCCUUAUAUAUUAUGCAUUAUGUUUUUAUCAUAUUGUUGCUUGGAACUUUGAAGGAUUAGCCACAGGGCUUUAGUCCUACAUGGACAUUUUAUAUUUAACAGCUGGUUAGGCAUUUUAUUUGAUGUUAUUUGGACUUGUAGGUGUUAAAAGUUUUGUUCAGUAAUUUUAUAAUUCAGAUUCCCAUUGUGAAAAGAUAGCAAUUUUUAUUGUGGGUCAGAUUCUGUCAACUGAUAUUUAGCUAAAAUAUCUCACUAACCCCUAUUGGUUAGGUGUUUUUUUUAAUUCACAUACUUGAUUUUUAUUUUCUUUUUAUCUGUGGAAUCACAUGUAUCAUUCAUAAGAAACAAGCUAUUAUAUAAUCUAUUCUUUAGAUCCAUUUAUAUGUAGUGGGCACUCUGAUUUCUAUUAUUUGAAUUUUUUGCUACUGUUACUACUCUUUCGGCCCUUCAAAUAGGGGUUAACAGAAAGGGUGAGUAUAUUAAUACAAAUUCAAACUUUCUUUUUCUAAUUUUAUCCAAAAUAACCUACUAUAUUAUUUUAAUUUCCAACUUUUGUCAUAGUCUAAUGGGCAGUUGUCUUGUCAUUAUUUGGUUUUAGGUAAGAAGAGAGAAAGUUAGUGAGAGGAUGAAAAUUUUGCAAAAACUUGUUCAUAGCUAUGGUAAUUAAGUAAUUUGAGUUCUUUUUUUUUGUUAUUGUUUUUUAUUCACUUUUUCCUGUCUUAAAACAAAUAACGAGUUUUUGUGUUUUUAAUAUUUCUUAUAAACUUCAUGUUGUUUGGUAUAAAAUUAGGUAAUUGGAAAGGUCUCAUGUUGGAUGAAAUUAUCAAUUAUGUGCAGUCCCUACAAAAUCAAGUGGUCGUCAAUGUGUCAGCAUCACUUUCUUCUUCAGAUGUUACUUGUUUUUCACAUUUAUUUUUCUCUCAGUCCUUUUUAAAAGAACAUACACACACAUACUAUGUAGAGUGACCUUUUUUAAUGAGGAAUCUGUCAUUUUAAUAAAAUGAAGAAUAAACUAAAAGGUAGAAGUACACGAACUCUAAUGCAAUAUACCUUUUCUGUUCUUUUACCUUUACUAUAAGAUAGGGAAUGAUAUAAAACUGUUCGAUAAUAGUAAGUGAAAUAAUUAAAAGGCUACUGUUCUAGCUCAUUUAAUAUAUCAAACUUUUCUAGCUCAUUUAAUAUAUCAAACUGCUCGAUAAUUGAAUUGGCCUAGUUAAACAUAAUUUUCAGAUAAUCUUUUUAAUGGUUUAUUUAUUAAUAUUUUGUUUCUUUCCAGUAUGAACACUUUGUUUUGACACGUGGUUAACAACCUUCAACGAACUCGGAACAACCUUCAUCACAUGCUUUCUCACGUGGUUACUUAAACUGAUAUGUUAAACGUGCUCCAUCCACGCCGUUUCCACUAAAUCAUUUUCUGUUAAGAAUCAGCUGAGCAGCGCGUGAGCUAAUGAAGUUUUUCGUAUUGAACUCAACUCUGCUAUUUUCCCAAAGCUGGAAAGCAGAAACAUCAUCCCUUUGGUUUUAUUUCACCUCAACCUUUUUCUGAUCCCAUUUUCAUUGUAAUUUCUCAUUUACUUUGAGUGAAAGUCAUUGUUGCUUUCGAACGAGGUUUUGCAACUAAAAAGGAAAAUGGGGCGGCUACAAUACAUGCGUGCAUCUGAUACAUGCACAAAAACUGACCAUUGGAUUAAAUGGAGUGAUCUAAUGGCUGAGAUUUGUUUCAUUAUUAAGCAAUAAAAAAAUUUGAAACAACCAGAAACCUGUAAAACCGGUCAUUUGGUUUAAGGUAAAAAUAUAUAAAUGAAAAAAAAAAAAAAAAACCCACCACUCCCUCGCCUCACCUCUCUUCUUUUGGGUUUAGUAUUGCUGCUUUUAACAUAAUUGACCUAUGGCCCAAAUCAUUUCUAUAGGGCGAAGCAUAUGAAUGAUACAUAUUAUCUUUUUUUGGCCUUAUGUCUUGUUAUUUGCAGUGUGAUUUGGUCUAGCUUAAGAGCUUAAGCUUGCAGGUUGGAUUUGUCUGACAGGGAACAAUUUAAUUUGUUCAUCGUGAUGUUUAUAUCCAUUUUGUACUACUAUCAAUUUCAAUCAUGCCUAAUUUUUAUAUGUAUUUCUCGUGGACUCUCAGGUUCAGUGCACAAGAGGAUGAAGACGAUGGACACCCAAAUUUGAUGUGGAGAACAACUAUUGCAAAUGGUCCUUGAUUUACUUCUCCAAUUGACUUGAAUUGGUUUGACGCAAUUUAUACUGUAUUUUUGUCAUCUUUGUAUGACUUGCACGUCGUCCUGAUUUGGUACAUGACUGGACACAGGAAUUGGACUCAUAUUUUUCAAACCAGAAUGCCAACAAUCAAGCAUUUUCUUUUGAAAGCACUGGCGUCUUCUUCAAUGCCAAAAAGGUUAGAGAUUUUCUGUAUCCUGUUUUGUAUUUGAUCAGUUUAGCAUGUGGGUGGCAAUCAAGAAAAGUUAUUAUAACAUUUUUGUGUUCCCGAAAAACUGCUGAUGAUGUGUGACUUCUUUUUAUUUGUAUUCUUUCUUUUUCUUUUCUCCCCAACAGUAUUAUGCAUUUCGAAGAGCUUCUUGAAGUUGAUUACCAUGUAUGCCACUUUCUUUACUCUAUGCUCAGGAUGUGAUUUUGCCAAGCAUUAAAAUGGUUUAGGUCAGAACCAUCAUCUAAAGUUUACUUAAAGUUGACGGAUUAAUUCCUUUUAAUAAUGGUCUAGUUAAUUUUACUAUACUCAUAAAACUAUUCUUAUUCUGAUAAUGCCACAAAUGUUAUGAUGUUUUCUUCAGCUAAUGAUCUUCUAUCAGGACUAGUUAGAAAUCAAAUGCUUAAAACACCGAUUGAAUGAAUAAUGCAGAAGUUUAAACAGUAUCUAAUUGAAAAUUGCAUGAAACAUGAAACAUCAAUUCAAGUCCUUCCUUAAACAAAGAAUGCAUCAAACAAAUCCAAAGUGUCUUGCAUGUCUAUAGCAUGACAAAAAAGUUGUAAAUGCGUUUAGAACCAAAUUAUUCAAGUACAGGAGAACGAGCAAGUUGAAUCAUGUACACGAGAUUGGCCUGGUUCGAGAUAGCUUCUUCACUGUACCUGAAGGGUUGGCUCAAUCUUUUCUUUAGAAUUCUGCACAUUUUGUAAUUACUCGUGUAAGCAAGCAUACAUUACAACUCUUGUACACAAACAAUAUUGUAUAAACUAAUGCGACAUAAUAUGAUUGGUUAAACAAAAACAUUACAUAGCCCUCAUAAUUUAUUUAUUUAUUUAUUAUUAUAUAUUUUCAGUCAACCAAUCAUAUUAUAUUACAUUAGUUUCUAUAAAAUAAUUUUCUAAAUAGCACCAAAACUUAAUUGAUACUCACCAUUUCAUUGAACAAUUUUUUUAUGGUGUCAUUGAGGUUGCCUUCCCAACAUCCUUCAUCAUCAUCAUCUUCUUCAUCAUCAUCUUUUUCUUCUUCGGUGACGUUCACUUUGUUUAGCAUUGGUGUGUCUAAGACUCCUUGAGAGAAGAUCAUCAUUUUUGGACACUCUCUCACAACUACUUGUUUCAAGGACGGGAAUUCAAGAGCGUAAUUACCUAAACAAAAGCUUGUUAGGCUUGGCAAACAAUCAAGUCCCAAGUACUUUAAUUCCUUGAAAACAAUGCAAUCUUUCGCUUCUUCUGCAACCGGCGACUGUAUGAUUUCUUCCAUCAUUUUGCAAUCAACUAUCUUCAUUCUUCCGAGAUUCACUAGAUUUUUAGAUGCUGAGAGCGUCAACACAUUUAUCAACCCGUGACACUUCGAUACUUGUAGUCCCCACAGAUUUUCCAAAUGCCACGAAGGUGGUACUAAUUUUUGCAACUUACUACAUUCCGAUAUUUCUAGCCUUUUCAAGUUUGCAAACGCUUUGUUGGAUUCGUCAUUUUCCUUCCAGAGAUGCUGCACUUUGUGUAAUCUAGAUAGCUUUAACUCCUUCAAUUGAGGGAAUGUAAGCUGAAAAUCAACAAAAUUAAGUUGUAAAUGAAAGUAUGUAUCCAAUCUCUGCAGUCUUCCCCUGCAUAUUUUAUGGACAAGAUUAAUCACGGCAUUUUAUAUUUUAUUUCCAAAUUAGUAUGCUUUGCAGUAGGAUCCCAAAUAUAAGUAUCAAAUCGAUUACCCUUUGAAACACAUAAAUGAAAUCUGAUACUAAAUCCAAUAUGAAUUAGCUAGGAAAACAGAGAUGCGACAAGCAUAAUUGAUAUAGUUCAUCACCUCAUGUUACCAGUCAUCGAAAUAAUUUAAGACAUUUUUUUAAUUCAUACUAUAAAGUUAGUUCAUAACUGUAGUUGUAUUGUUAAUUCAUAUAUGAAUCAAGAUGACAUGCAAAAAGAUGAGUCAUAAAAUUUGAUUUGAUUCUAAUGAAAUUACAUCUGUGCGAACAAAAGUGAAGGGGAAAAUAAUAAUAAUAAUAAUAAUAAUAAUAAUAAUCACCUUUUCAUCGAAGAGGGGUUGUACUUGAUGAGCCAGCAAAAAGUUCUCUUCUGAUGUUAAUUUUUGAGGUUCCUUGUUAUUUGUUGUCACAUGCACUACAGAGUUGGAUAUGAAUGUUUCCAUAUCAGGGCAAUUCUCAAUAGUUAGAUUCUCCAACUCAGACAGUUCAAUUAUAUUCCCAGUGAAGUUGCAGAAUCUUUUGAGUUUUGGAAGAUCAAUGAGCCUUAGUCUGUUAAGCCUAGGAAACCGGGGGCCUAUAUGUUCUUCCUUAGCAUUUAGCUCUUCUAAAUGAAGCACCUCUUCUAUUAAAUCACAAUUCCUCACUUCCAGGCAUCUCAAAUUGUUCAAGCAACGUAGCAGAUUGGUAGGAAUAGCACUCGACAUAUUCGUGCAGUCAUCCACAGCCAGUUGUCGUAAAUUGUUGAAGAAGCUGACAGGCACUGCUUGGCCGUGCCAUAUUUCUCUCAAGCGUGGAAAAUGUGAGAGUUGCAAAUGCUCUAUGUCACGGAAUCCAAUCUGCAUAAACCAAAACAAUUGCACUGGAUAUAUAUAAAUUUCUUUUUUUGAAAGGCAUUAGAUAUAUAUAUACAUUAAACUUACAUGUUUUGUGCUUUAACUUCUAAAAAUAUAUUUACAACGCAGGUGUAUAUGUUUAAAUGUGGUAUAGUGGAAUUAAGCUUAUUGCCAUUACUUCGUAAUGGUGUUCGUAACACCAUUACUUCGUAAAGUGAAUCGAUUAACACAUACCAUUACUUCGUAACACUUUUGUAUAGUGGAAUUAAGCUUAUUGCCUUCCCAAUGGUGUUCACCCUCUUCCCUUUCAGUCACUUGCACUACGUAUAGCUUUGGUGUGGAUGAGAUUCCCCGAGAAAAAGUCUUCAUGUUCGGACAAUGUGUCAUAGAAACUUGUUCCAAUGAUGGGAAUUCAAGAGUGUAAUUCUCCAAACAAAAGCUGGUAAGCCUUGGUAAAUCAUCAAGUUCCAAAAGUUUUAAUUCGUUGAAAGCAAUACGAUUCUCCUUCGCUUCUUCUCCAACAUGUCCUAUGAUUUCUUCUAUUUUUGCACAGUCUGAUACAUCAAGAUUCACUAGACUAUUGGGAAUUCCAACCUGAAAAUAAAGAGUAGCAUUCAACUAGAUUCAAAGUAUGUCAAAAUCAUACAAUUGUUUUAUGAAAAAUAACAAACCAUGAAUGUCUACUAGAUAUUUUUUGUUAAAGAAAAAAAAGAAAAAAUAAAAAUAAAUAAAUAGAAGUCCAGAAAAACAAAGAUAAUGAAAAUGCAUUUACACUAUUUAGUAUUAGGAACGGAGAAAGAAUUUCAGGUAAUUUUUAAAUAUUCUAAAUUCAUUUUUCAUCUCGAUGCUAGUUUUUUAAAAUUUUUAAUUUUCAAACAUGCCUAUUUUUAAAAUAACUAAACUAAAACGCUGUAUUUCCCUUUUUUUUUUUUUCCCGAUAUUCAUGCUUUUAAAAAUGGAAAACAUUUCUGGAAAACACUUCCCAACGCCAUCAACAUGGGACUGUUAUAGAGUGAAUAUUUGAGGAAUUUUUUAAUCAACGGUCGAUUCAAAAUGACCAUCAUGAAUUUGUGCUUAAUCAAUGGCGUAAUCAAUUCAUAACUAAACUAGAGAUAUUAACUACAUUUGAACACUUUUCUUUAUUUUUUUUUAAAUCGAAAUUUGAAGACCCAAGGAAAAGAGAAAUAUAUAUGAAUUUGUGAGCUUAAAAGCUGAGUAACUAAGUAUCUUUUAAUUUCUAAAAAUCUUAUUUAUUAGGAUUUAAGGAAAAAAACAAUUAAAUUGAAUUAUAUUAUGCUGUUAAAUCGUGUUUAAAACAAUUAUAUCGUUGACUUUAAUGCGGGUGAACCUAUAAAUUAGAUUGACAAUGCAGAGUUCAGAAUGGUGAUUUGAAGUACACUACUUUUUUGCCCUCCUGAUGUUUGAAGUAAAAUACUUGCAAUAAAUAAUUUGUGAAUGAAAAUUAUUUGUAAACACAAAAAUGAUUAAAAUAAUUGUUGAAUGUUACUUGAAAUAAAAAUUCAAAAUGAAUAUAGCAAUCUUACCAAUGGAGGAAAAAUAUUCAGUAGAUUAUUACACCCAGAUAUCUUCAAUUUUUUCAAUUUGCUAAAAGACUUCGAAGCAAGCUGGUGGUGCCAUAUUUUUCUCAACUUAUCCGCCUCACUAAUAUGUAAUACCUCCAGACUUGGGAGUCGUACCUGAAGUUAAAAAUUCAAUGCAAUUAGAGAUGUAUAUUAAUUAAAUUUGAAGACUCAACGAAAAGAGAAUUUAAAAAUUCAAUGAAAAAAAACCUUUUCAUCAAAGAGGGAUUGAGGUUGCAUUUCAGUGUGAAUGACGUCUUCUGGUGAGGCAAAGCUACUUAGUUUUGGAAGCCAAUGGAGCGACAGGUAGUGUAGUUUGGGAAAAACCUUAAAUUCAUCUCUUCCUCCUAACGUCGUGGUGUUGACUACCCCUUCAAUUGACCGGCAAUUACGAAUCUCAAGAUGUUGGAGUUGCCCAAGACUAUUAACCAUAGAAUAUGAAAACAAAUACUUCAGACGAUGACAACUCCACACGGUCACUUUUGUUAAAUUUUGACAACAAUAUAUUCCCUGAAAUUGAUCGGACCAUAAUUUUUUUAUAUUUGUUAAACUGACAAGUUCCAGUUCCUCCAAGCGUGGAAAAGUAACCUGCAAAGAAAAACCAUACAUUUUUGUUCCUUCAACUACAACUUCUAAUAUAAUAUUCUUUCGAUGAUUGAAGAUCAAUCGUGAUAAUAUAUUAAUUAAUUAAUUAUUAAACAGAAAAUUAUUACCUGGUGAACAGGAUCAUCCUCUGCAUUGAUUUCUAUGAAUCCCUGAGUUGUUGUUGGUUUCUCCAUGUCGGGCCCUAUAAAUGAACCAAAACAAUAUAUAAUAAACAUCCGUUGUUUUUUUCCCCAAAAAAAGAAAAAGAAAAAAAGAAAGAGUCAAUGUCAAUAAUCCUACCAAUAAUUAAUUUCAACACUUACCAAUAAUCAUUUUCAAAUCAUCGCAGUCUUCCACUUUUACUUUUUGAAGCCGCAAUAGGUUUUUGGCCAUAGAGAAUGAGAAGAGAUACUUCAAUUUUCGACAGGAAUCUACGUUUAUAAUCCUUAAGUUGCUGAAGGAUUGAUCUUCUCUGAGUUGGCUGUAGCAUAUCGUCUCCAAAUUAGUUAAAAACAUAAGAGACAAUGCCUCCAGCAAGGGAAAGACUUCGCAACGAACCCUAACUGAACCGACAAUAUGUAAAAUCUCAGAACAGUCUGUUACGAGAAGACGCUUCAAUCGUGGAAAACCUUCCCCAUCGUCUAAUUCAUGAACAACACUUUGAACACCCUCCAAUGUUUCUAGCCAGAGAUCUUCAGUUCUCUGCAGCAACAUUUUUGUCCCAUCAUUCUCCUGAAGAAUGCUAACUUUUUUUAUCCCCUUGAGCAUCAUCAAUCUUGAUGCUUCAGAUUUGACGAGCAAUGGGUCAAACUCAUCUUCGGGCCCAUCUCCUAUACGUAUCUUAUAUCUUUGCAAUUCCACAGAGACAAAAUCCGGCGGCAGAAUUUCGGCAUCCGGAACUUCUAUCUCCAAAGUAGUUAGCUCUGUCAACCUCUCCAAUUCGACAAGACUGGCAUUACUUCCUCCUUCAACCUUCUCCCACCCUGAAAAACCGUUACCCAUAUACAAUUCUUCUAAUUGAGAAAAAUUUUUGGAUAUGACAUUUCGGUGCUAUUCACCUUCAAGCCCACCAAACAAUUGCUCUCAAAUCUAGGAAAUUGGUAACCGCGGCCAAUNNNNNNNNNNNNNNNNNNNNNNNNNNNNNNNNNNNNNNNNNNNNNNNNNNNNNNNNNNNNNNNNNNNNNNNNNNNNNNNNNNNNNNNNNNNNNNNNNNNNGCGAGGCUGAGAAUCUCUAUUUCUUUAGUGUCCCAAUUGCGCUAUAUCUGCUAGUCGCACCAGUCUAAACACAAUGUUUGAAGGUUAAUGAGGCGACCAAGUGAUGAAGGUAAUGAAGAAGAGCCAAUUCCAGGAAACUGUAAAACUUUGAGUCCUUCCAUCCCUUCAAAAAAGUGGUCUGAAACUUGCAUAGGGCCAUUACCCUCCGUAUACAACAAAAAUAACUGGAGAUUGGGACAUUGCAACCUUUCAGGGAGCUCUUGAAUAUCUCUAUGAGGUAAUGAAAUAGCAAUUGGAUCUUUCUGUAUUGUCUCUUCCAUCUUUUUCUCCAAGUCAGCAACAUUUGGAACAUUAAACAUGCGCUCCUCUCUGGCAAUUGAUACGGCAACAACAUGAAUGACGUCAUGCAUUUUAACUUCAUCUUCAGCAUCACCGUCCAACAAUAAGCAUGAAGAUUUGAGGUUGUCGAUCAACCGAUGCACUCUACUCCUUGCUUCUUCCAAUGUGUAAACAUUUUCAAACAAACCCCAACCCACACCACAUCUCAAUAAGUCAGAAACUUGUAUGACAUUACCUUCACUGUAUAGACUACAAAGACGGAACAGAGAUUUUGCCUCCUCACUUUCCAAGAAGUCAUAACUCAAUUUUAUGGAGGUGUACACAUUUGCUUGCAUGCCAUGAAUUUCUCUAGCAUCCGAUCUUCUUAGCUGAUUCAAUGCAUCUUUCCAAAAGUAACUAUCCUUAGUUUUCAGAGCAUUUGCAACUGUACUCAGUGCAACAGGCAAACCUCCGCAUCUUUCAACGAUCUCAUUUGCUAUACUUUGAAAAGCGGAUAUUUUAGUUGAAUCACCCACUAUCUUUUCAAAUAACUGCAAUGCUUCUUUUGGUGGCAAAGCAUCGAUCGGGAAAUUUUUCUGAGAAUUCAUAUCAAUGCGCAAUAAAUCUCGACUUCUAGACGUCAAUAUUAUUGUGCAUCGUCUCUGAUCAUCCUUUGUAUCUUUCUCAUCAACAUCCCCACAAGGAAUUCCAACUUUUUCGAACUCGAGUUUUUUCCAAAUAUUAUCCAAUAUAACGAGGACCUGCUUCUCGUUCUUCAAUCUUUCACGUAAUCGAUCUGCUCUUUCGAAUUUAUUCUCAUCCGAGCCAAAUUUCAUGCCUAAGUCAAAAGCAAGUUUCUUUUGAAUUUCCUGAUGAUCUGGGGUCUGUGUUACCUCAGCCAUAACGACCUUGUCGAACACCUUAUCUUCCAUAACUUGCCUUGCAACUUGCUUGACUAGCGUGGUUUUACCCACGCCGCCCAUCCCGUAGACCCCAAUUAUCUUGAGCUUAUCAUCCUUCAACGCCUCCACAACAUCUUCAAAUACUUUCAUUCUUGAAUCAAAGGCCUCGAAAUCUUUCACUUGCAUAUGUUCUGCCCGCUUUGGAGCAGGACGGUAGGAAACAUUAGAGAAGUUACAUUUUCCCAUGAGACUAGCAGCAGCUUCUGCGGCCUUUGCUGCUUGUCUACUGAGCUUGUAACGAGAAAUCAAGUUUGGGCACAAUCCUUUGAAACAGAACUUCUUAGCUCUAUCUUCAUCAUCAGUGAUGGAUUUCGCAGCUCCCUGACUGAAUUCCUUGACGCUAUUAAGCCAGUCUGCAACAUCCUUAUAAAUCUCAUCUCCUUGUUGAGUAGCCUGAUGAACGGGUAUUUCCACCCUUUCUCUUUUAUAUCCCAACUGUUUCACUUGAUCUUUUAGGCCAUCUAUGUAGCUCUGGUACUUGAACACAUAAGAGAUCUGCCGUAUAAUCGGUUUGAACAGUGACUUUGCAUCUUCUGAUACGAUGCUGGAAAAAGCAGCCAGACCCACUUCUGCAACCAUUGCCUGUUGCUUAACAAUAUAUGUAUAUAUAUGAAUAAAAUGAAUAAAAAUGUCAAAGAAAGGAAUACAAAUAAAUUAAAAUGAACUAGAGGGAAAGACAGAGAAAGAAAAGACCGCAAACAACAUCGCGAUAUUGAUUUUGAACCAACUGAUACAUAAGUAGAGAAUUUCUUUUUCUAUCUUAAGGAUCAGAGGUUUUGCUAUUAACAGAAAGGUAUCCUUUAAGGAAAGUUGAUGGAAAUUAAGAAAGAAUGGCUAUCAAGAUCAAGUAUUCUGCUACUAAAAAUAAAUGAUAUGACUUAAGAAAAGUAAAUGAUAUGAUUAAGAAAAACCAGAGAAUUUUUUCCUAGGAAAGUUGAUGGAAAUUAAGAAAGAACCGCUAUGAAGAUCAAGUAUCAGAGAUUCUGCUACUAAAAGAAUAUUACAGGUUUUAGAACAAGUGCACCUCUUUACCUGUCUGGGAUCAGAGUCGAUGAGCUGCUGUAUUCACCUUGAAUAUAGAAGAAAUAUUACAGGUUUUGACUAAAGAGGAAUGUGAGGAACGAGUUGAUGAGAGUAAUAACAAUGAAUUUCCAAAAGAAGACGACUUGAGCAUUAAGCAUGCACCCCCUUUAUCAAUCAAAUAUUGGUACGUAUGUACGUAGGGACCAUUAUGCGUAUAUGAAGUCCAUUAGUUGCAAUCAGAAACCCUGGCCCAAUUUAAUUGACACUCGAUUUUUGAUAAGAAGAAGGCAAGGAUAAGGACAAAGUCAAUCAAUCACCAACAGUAAUUACUUCAAUCUUUGUCAAUCUACUUAAAUUGUCGAUCAACAUGAAAAUUGUUUAAAUUGAUAUUUGUAAAUCAAUCAAUUUUCUAGUUACUAUGAUUAUAACGUUUCACCUUUCAUAUUGGAUUUUAUCUUUUCGAAAGUUUUCAAAUAUGAGUGUCAAUAAUUAUUGAGACUCCAAGCCGUGCUCUCAAGAUCGUGCUGACAAAUCACUAUUGACUUUGUUUAUGCAAAAUUCAAAGAAAAAAAGUUAUGGUUUUGUAUUGCCAGCCCUGCUACUUUUUGUUUUUUUCAUUUGUAUUAUUUACGAAUUAUUUUUUAACAGAAACAUGAGAACUCAUCAUCGUAUAAAAUUGCAUGAAAAAAUCUUCAAAUUUAUAAAAGUAAAUUUCAUUGACAGAUUGUGGAUAUGUUAGAAAGAAUAAGGAUAAGAAUGAGUUAAGAAAUAAUAUAUAUAUAUAUAUAUAUAUAUAUAGAUAGAUAGAUAGAGAGAGAGAGAGAGAGAGAGAGAGAGAGAGUGAAAGUAAACAAUGUUUUGGUACAUUUGGUAUUGUUUUCAAAAUAUUUUGAAAAGAAAAAUUUUCAAUUAUCCAUCUAAGAAUUAUCUUAUUAUCCAAAAAGUUAUAAAAAUUUAAAAAUAUUUAAUUUUAUACCCAUUAUUACAAUGUGUAUCAACUGUUUACUAAAAAAAUAAAGUUACUCCUAAAACAUAAUCACCACUACAAUUUUGUGUUCGGUUCUAUUUUGUCACUUUGAACGAAUAACUUUAUAUUUUUAACAGAUGUUUCAUACAAAUUGCAUACAUUGGAUGUAAAAUUAAAUAAAUUUAAAUUUUUAUAAUAAUUUUAAUAAUUGAAUAAACUUUGAGUAAAUGACUGAUAAUUUCUCUUUUAUAAGCUACAAGAAGUUAAAAAGAAAAAAGAAAAAAUAGGAUGAUAAUUUCUCUUUUAUAUGCCUCAGAUGAUUUAUUGUUUCGGGUCUAAGAUUUUAAUUAUUCAACUUAAAAGAUUAAUAUAUUAUAAAUUAAUUAAUUAAAUAAUCAUUAAGCAACUAAAUUGGGUCCCCUGGAUGUCAAUUCCUUUAAUAUUGACGCAACUAUUUUUUUCUGGCAAAUAAUUAUUAAUGCACUGACGGAACUUUUGCAUAUCUACACAGCGAUUUUAAAUAUUACUGGUAACUGCUGAGAAAUGUGCGAGAAAGAAGUUGAUGAGAGUAAUAACAGCGACUUGCAAAAGGAAAAGACAGAAUCAUUCACCCCUUUUUGUAUCACCUAUUUGGUUACUGUUUCCCUGUUGACGCAUGUAUAAAUUUGACUGGUUUUUCUGCACUUUUUUGGCUGUUGCUUAACAAUGUGUGUGUGUAUUUGCUGUUGAAAAAAUUGGAUUCAAAUAAAUUAACUGAAAGAUUAGAGUUUUGACUAUUAACUGAAAGGUUUCAAGGGUAUGAAUGAAAAGCAACAUUCUUUUUUAGAAACUAUUUUAGAGGAGAGAUGCAAAUUAACAAAUGCUAAUAACAAGAACACAGAAGUUAACAAUGAACAGUAACUUAAAUCAAGAAAAUUAAAUGACAAAAUUAAGACAAACAAGAGAUAUUUUUUUCUUGGACAUUAAGAAAUAACUGCGGUCAAGAUCAAGGAGAUUAUGCUAUUAAUAGAAAUUAUCAAAGGAUUUAGAACAAGUUCACCUCUUUAAUUAUCCGGGAUCAGAUAGUUGAUGAGCUUCUCUAUUUAGCCUUGAAUAUUUAAGAAUAAUUUUAAAGAGCAAAAAGAUCACUGGUAACUGCUGAAAAAUAAGUGAGAAAAGAGUUGAUGAGAAUAAUAACAAUGAAUUGAAUAAAAAAAGGACUUAAUCAUGCACCCCCUUUGCAUAUCAUGUAUUUGGUUACUGUUGCCUUGUUGACGCAUGUAUAGAAUAAUUACAUGUAUUAUUAUAAUUUUGGAUUCGAUAUCCUUGUAUUAGUGUCUAAGAUUUUCAUGAAGAAUUAAACUUGGAAUGACCAAAAGAGGAAGCUGCAGUGUAUUGUUGGACCCAAUUAAGUUGAAGAAAGCACUAGUUCACAACCUUACGUUUGGAUAUAUUCUAAAGAAAUAAUUAAACAGCAAAUCAUCACAUGCACUUUAAUGAUUUGAUCUAUUGUUUUCAAAAGAAAUUGCAAUUAACAGUUUUUGUCAAAAGUUCGCACAGCGUGAAACUAGUGUUAGUAUAAUUUAAAAAAUUAAUUUCAGUAUUAUUUUUUAAAAUGUUAAUUAUUAGAUUUAUUUUAAUAAUAUAUUUAUAUUUAUUAUAAAAAAUUUAGUUAAAUAUUUGUGUUAAAUAGAAUUUAUAAUUAAUUUAAUAUAUCUUAGGUAUUAAUAAUAUUAUAAUUAUUCUAUAUGCUAUUGAAAAUAAUUUAAAUUUUUAGACAUUUAUUUUAUAUUAAGUUUCUAUUUAUUACAAAAUUUAGUUUAAUAUAGUAUAAGCUUGUAAAGUAUUAAAAUAUUUUUUUCAUUUUUUUUAAAAUAUUAAAAUUAUUUUAAAAUAUAUAUAUUAACAUUGAAGCUAAUUUUUUGAGUUAAUAGAGCUAGUAGGUGUUAUAGUAAAAAAGAGUAUCUUAGUAUCUCUUAUUGAAAAUAUAUAGAUCUAUAUAAUCAUUUUUUCAAAUAUUGAGAUGUAGAAAAAUAAAUUAAAAAAUUUUAAAUUUUAAUAUGGCCAUCGUAGGGUUAGAAUCCCCGCUCCAACCCGAUUUGGAGAUUUAUGUUUUUAAAAAAAAAAAGAACAAAGAAAAAAUACACACCCGACCAAAUCAAGCACCUCAUCAAAUCAAAAAUAAAAAAGGAAAGAAAUUAAUGGCUUGCAUGCAAUUUUGGAUCUGAAAUUAAAAUUACAUAAAAAUUAAGGCUUACGUACCUUAAUAUUUACAGCUUGUUUGAUGGCCCCAACAAGUUUAAGCAGCAUCAAAAUGUUGUGGCUCCUUAAAUGACAACAUCGACUUGUUUGACAGCUCCAACAAGGCUACGAUGAUCAGAAGAUGAGCCCUCAAUCAACAAGGCUAAGAUUGGCUUCUCUAUCCUCUGCCGACAUGUCCUCUUCUCCCAACAACCAGCGCCUUGCUCUUUGUCAUUUUUCCUCUUGUUAGUUUUCUUCUACAUAUAAUUAUUACACUGGGAAGUAUACACACACUUCUUUUCUUUUUAUAGUACCUUACUAUUAUAUCUUUACAAAACAAUAUCACCCUAAGACAUAUAUGUAUGAAAUAAAUAUAUAAGGAACGGACGAAAUAAAAUUAGAUCUAACACUAGUUUCAUGUGGUGUGUGAACUUUUGACAAUCCUCUCAUACCCCAACAAAAACUUUGUCAUAUUACAAAAGUUAUCACGACCAUAGACUUUUCAAUUGCAUAUUGGAAUUGCAAUGUCAUUUUAUUAUAGUAAUGUCAUUUCCAUUAUUCAUAGUGGCAGACAAUGGACAUCACGGGACACGGCUAGAAGUUAUCACGACCAUAGACUUUUCUAAUUUAUGAAAUAAAUGAAAUUAGAUCUAAUUCUAGUUUCAAGUGGUGUGAACUUUUGACAAUCCUCCCAUAUCCUAACAAAAGCUUUGUCAUAUUGCGAAAAUACCUUUUCAAUGUUUCAAUUGCAAUGUCAUUGCCAUUAUUCAUAGUGGCAGACAAUGGACAUCACGGGACAUGGCUAGAAGUCUAUGUUACGGCUUCUGUAAGUAACAGCAGCCAAUGGGGAACUUCCAUGGGGGCUAUAGGAGAGAGAAAGAGGUCCCAAUACAAGUGUUAGAGUACAAUUUAUACACUAGUUUUGCAUUGUUUACUUCCCUUAAUAUCGAUGUUUUGCAUUUAAUAAUAAUGAUUUACUUGUGUUUUACUUUUGUAAGUGCAAUUCUAUUGAUUUGUGAUAGAAUUGAGGUAUAAGAUGAUGUUUAAAGAUGAUUGUUCUCUUGGAGAAAUUUAGAGCGUCAGAAGAACUUUAUAGAUAAGGCGUGGGCGCGUGCUGUCAACUGCGGACCUGCAGUUUUUAGUUUAAUGUGUUUUGUAUUUUUGGCUAUUUUUGUAAUUACGAAUUUAAUAUUUCAAAUAUUAUUAUUUUAUUUUAAAUAGAACUUUAAAAGAGAAGAGAGAGAGAGUAUUUAAGGGAGGAAUCUAUUGUGAAAAAGGGGGGAUUUUAAUUGGAGAAAAAGAAAGAAACCCUAGAUCUAAUUUUUCUCUUCUCUCUAUGAAAAACUAAACUUAUUUUUUCUAGUUGAAGGUUAAUGAAUUUUUGAUUCAUCACUACUGUGAGAUCUUUCUUAUGCUUUAAUUGUUUUAUUACUUUUUGGGUAUUUGUUUAUUCUCUGAAUUAGUUUCAUGAUUAUGUUUGUUAAUUAGGUAAUUGGCCACUAUUUAAUUAUCAACUUAAUCUAUUGUCAAUUAAAGAAUUCAUCGUAUGACGAGUUUAAUGUUUGUGACAAAUAACAUAGCAGUGAGUUGUGUUAUGGGAAUAAACAAUCUAAUUUAAAUGAAUCAUCAUAUGUGUUGAUUAGGAUUUGGGUCGCUCUGGUUUUUCAGGCUGUCAAUUGAUUAAAUCCUAUGAUCGUAUCUAGGGUUGUCUAUUAAUUAGGGAAAUAUCCAAUGGUCGUACCUUGGUUAUCGACUAGUUAAGGAGAGAUUGGCUAUUAGAGGGUCUCAAUAGCUAUAACCAGUUUAUUCAUAAGUAAUAAUAAUCUAUUUUUGAAUCAAUGAUCAGUAGUCGAAUCAAACUGAGUUAAUUCCUUCAACCAAAGCUUUCUCCAAUUUGAAUUACAACUUUAAUUUGCAUUUUUGUUAUUUUAAUUUGAUUUUUUAUUAUUGUCAACAAUUCUCCCAUUUUACGUUUUACGUUUCAAAAGAAUUUAAAUAAUUACCGAUCUCUGUGGACACAACCCUGCUCAAUCACUAUACACAAUUUAUUUAGAGUAGGAAUUUAUUUUUAUUGGCUUCAACAACCAUCAACAAGGUGAUGGAAAUGGGAAAGUUCGAAGCUGUUACUUUCAGCUUCUGCACCGUAGCCAUGUCCCACGGGACAAGGCUAGAAGUUAUCAUGACCAUAGACUUUUCUAAUUUAUUUUUUCCUUUCAAAAAGGGACAAGGAUAAGUUUGGGAGAAUGAUUAUAUUUUUAAUAAAAGAAUUCUUUUUUAUUAUAAUACUUUUUGUCUUUAUUAAUUUAAAAAUAUUAACUCUUAUAUUUUAAUAAAUAUAAAUAUAAUAUUAUAAUAACAUAUAACAAUAUAUACAAAUAUUUAAAAAAAUUUAAGAUUUUAUUAAAAUAAAUUUUAUAAUAAAUAAAAAUACAUUAUUAAUAUAAUUUUAAUAAUUUGCAUUUUAAAAAGUAAUACUGAUAUUAUUUUUUAAAUAUUAAUUUUUUAAAUUAUAUUACUCUACCAAAAAAAAUUAAACUAUUAAAUUAUAUUGAUAUUUAUUACAAAAUUUGCAAUUAAUUCUUAUUAUAUUUUUAAUUGGAAUUUGUUCCUGUGAUAUAACAACAAUUGCUACAGUUUUUUCCCUAAAUAAAGAUGGAGUUAUAAAUUAUUUGUGUAAGUGUCAUGAAAGUAAUAGUUGAAUAACAAUAAUGGGGCUUUAGGCAAUUUUUUUUAUGAGGUCUUCUUGCAAUUUCAACACUUAAACAGACUUGUCCUUGAUCCCAAUUUAUUUACCCCAUUUGGGCCCACGAUGAGAUAAAUAUAUUCCUGUGAGAUGAAAAACAUCAGGAGAAGAAAAUGUUUUAUUAUAAUAAAAAAACAAGUGGUCCAUAAGUCUAUUUAUUACUUUUUUUAUUCAAUACAAAUGGCCAACUUAAAAAAUGAUAAAAAUCACAUAACGCACAAGCAAAAAUUUAGAUUUACAUUUUUUAGUUCUCUCCGUGUCUCUCUUUCUCUUUUUUAAAAAAAAUAAAUAAAUGUCAGUGUAAAAUUAGAAAAAUUUUAGAUAUAAACUUUGGCGAUGACCAAACAAAAAUUGCAAGGGAAAGAAAAUAGAGGACCCUUGAUAUCAUUAAAAUACUGAUCAUAGACACUACAAUAUAAAUAACUUGUUGUGAUCCACUCAACUUGUAACACUUUAAUCCAUAUUCUAAAAUUUGUAUGUUUGUUAGGAAUUUUAUUAUUGACAUUACUGUACCAAUAAAAUUCUAAUUUAUUCAUAUGGAAAGAAAACAUCAAGAAAGGACCUCUGAUUUUUAUUAUAACAGAAAAAAGUGGUCCAUAAGUCUAUUUAUUAUUUUAUUUAUUCAAUACAAAUUGCCAACUUAAAAAAUGGUAAAAAUCACAAAAUGCACAAGUAAAAUUUUAGAAUUACAUUUUUUUUAAUUCUCUUUGAGUCUCUCUCUCUCUCUCUUUAAAAAAUAAACCUCACUGUAAAAUUAGAAAAAAUUUAGACAUAAAAUUUGACAAUCACCAAACAGAAAAUGUAGGGAAAUGAAAAUGGAGGAGCCCUAUUAUCAUUAGAAUAUUGAUCAUAGAUACUAUAAUGUAAAUGAUUUGUUGUGGUUCAUUCAACCUGUCACACUCUAAGCCAUUUUCUAAAAUUUGUAAGGUUUAUAGGAUUUUUAUUAUUGGCAUCAUUGUAUCAAUAAUAUUAUAAAUUAUAUAUUCUAUUGUAAUGAAAAUUUGUGUAAUCUUAGGUAUUUAUUGUAUUAAAUUGUGUGGAUUAAUUAAGAAUAUUUUUGGAGACAAAAGAGGUGUGUGUACGUAGGAUUAAUAAUAAAAAAUUUCUAAAUAAAGGUGAUUGCUUCAUUGACAAGUACAUAUUUAUAUUCUCUAUUAGUAUUUGGGUUGUAAACUUUGUUUAUAAAGUGAAUAUAUUGUGGUAAGCGAUGUGGGCAAUAUCGGAUGCAAAAUAUUGAGAGAUCAUUAACGCAUAUAUUUAUUGCAUAUAGAGGAAAGAGUGUAGAUCCGGCCGUAACAAUUAUGAAGCUUUCCCCAAGUAUUCUCACGCUUCCUUAACUGUUCCAAAGUAUUUUUCAUAGUGUGCAGAUUUACUUUAUGGUGUCUUAAUUCGUCUAAAAUGAUUACUUUAGUUCUUUUGGGAUGAAAGGUCAUUUAUUGUGUUAGGAUUAAACAAUAGAAAAAAUAAGUAAUGGUAACGAAAGACUAAUUUGUGAUAUUGAAGCAUACAUGCUUAACUCAAUCCAAAACUUAGUAAGUUAGCUCAAGAGUUAAGAGUUGUCCAAAUCUUAUAUGCUGAACCCAAGUUCAAUACUCAAUUGAUGCAGGAUGUUAUUCCUAACACCGCCCGUCAUGCGUAGGAUUGGCAAAAAAACUCGAGUCAAUCCCGCCUAGACCUGCAAGCUUUAUUUAUGGCCAGCAUGAUGAAGUUACAGAUAUUAACCUAAAAAUUUGAAACUUACUAUGAAUGGCCUUGGUUAAAGACUUUUGUAACUUUAAUUUAUAACAAAUAUGUAUACACACACACACAUGUUUAGAUUGCAUUUGGGUGACUUUUUUUAUCAAUGCAAACAAUAUCAAAUUUAUCGGAUUAAUUUGAAUCUGAUCUAUAUCCGAUUUUGCCCGCCAUAAGCCCAAGUGACUCUCUUUUACUAAUUAAUAAGGGAAUUUUUUGACCUCAUGUCCUUGCUGUGGCAUUAGACUGUUGGUCAUUUUGAUUGUUUCCUACCUUCCAUUUACGCCAGCUGUAACAUUGUAUUAUUCACCAUUUUAGCCAUUUAAAUGAAAUUUUAUUUUUGUCAAAAAUAAAAUGACACCCUUAAAAUAAAAAAAAAUAGUUAUGUAGACCUCAAAUUUUUAAUAAAGAAUGUCAAUACCUCUUUUAACUACAAGAUUCGUAGUAGAUGAUAAAAAGAAAAUUAACUUCAAAUUUUUUCAUUAAAUGUAAAUCUGAUUGAAGUAGUUUAAAUUUUUCUAGUAGACUAAUAUAUAUAACUUAAAUAAUUAAUUUCAUUAUUAAUUGUUAAAAUGUUAACCAAUAUAUUUUUAAUUUAUUAUAAAAAUUUUAAAUAAAUCCUUGGAUUAAAUAGAUUUUACAAUUAAUGUAAUACUUCUGAUUUAUUAAUAAUAUUAAAAUUAUUUUAUAUGAUAUUCAAAAUAAUUUAAACUUAUAUAUAUAUUAAUAUUAUGUCUAUUUAUUAUAAUAUGGUUUAAUAUUAUACGGGAUUGUAAAAUAUUAAAAUAUUUUUCAAUAUCCAAUUAUUUUAAUAUGUAUAUAUCAUUACAUUUAUUUUAGUAUCAUAUUUAUAUUUAUUAUAAAAUAUAAAAUUAAUAAAAUUAAAGAGUAUUGCAGUAAAGUAAAAAAGAAAAGUCUUAUUAUCUCUUAUUCACGAUAUGAGAUUCUACAAAAUUAUUUCCCGAAACGGGUGUCCUUUUCUCAUUUUCAAAAGAAAAAAUAAAGUAAGAAUAAGUCCAUGGGUUUCAAAAACUUCUAGUCUUAUCCCGGGACUACAUUGUCUGCCACUAUAACUAAUGGAAAUGACAAUACAAUUGACAUUGCCUUUCGCAACAUGACAAAUUUUUGGUGGGAUAUGGAAGAAUUGUCAAAAGUUCACGCCAUGUGAGAGUUUUUGGUGGGAUGUGGGAGGAUUGUCAAAAGAUCACACCACAUGAUAUAACCACAAUUGCUAUGGUUUUUAUUUUUUAAAUAAUGAUGGGAGUUAUAAAUUAUUUAUAUAAAUUUGCGUAGAAACUAAUGUAACAUAAAAGAAGUAGCUGAAUAACAAUAUUUGGUGCUUUAGGUAAUUUUUAUAUGAGCCUUUCUUUUAUUUAGCGGCUCUAGUGCUUAAACAAACUUGUUCUCGAUCUUAUAACAGAAAAGGCAUCCCAUUUAAGCCUAUGAUGACAUAAUUAAACAUAUUCUUUUGUGACGAAAACAUCAAGAGAAGACAUCUCAUGUUUUAUUAUAACAGAAAAGAAGUGGUCCAAACGUCUAUUCGUUAUUUUAUUUAUUCAAUAUAAAUGGCCAACUUUAAAAAAAUGAUCAAAAUCACACAACACUCAAGUAAAAAUUUAGAAUUACAUUUUUUAAUACUCUCUAAGUCUCUCUCUCCUGCCCCCCCCCCCCCCACCCCGUCCCCUUUUUUGAAAAAAUAAACCUUAGUGUAAAAUUAGAAGAAUUUUAGAUAUAAAAUUAGAAGAAUUUUAGAUAUAAAAUUUGGCAAUCGCUAAACAGAAAAGCAGCGGAUUGAAAAUAAAAAAACUCUAUUACCAUUGGAAUAUUGAUUAUAGACAAUAUAAUAACUUGUUGUGGUUCAUUGUAGCACUCUGAGCCAUAUUCUAAAAUUUAUAGGUUUGUUAAGGCAUUUAUUAUUGACAUUAUUGUGUCAAUACUAUUAUAAUGAUAAUUUGUCUAGUCUUAGGUACUUAUUAUAUUAAAUUAUGUAAAUUAAUUGAGGAUACUUUUAGAGACAAAAGAAACACGUGUAUGUAGGAUUAAUAAUCGAAGAAUUGUAAAUGAAGGUGAUUGCUUCAUUGAGAGGCAUAUUAAAUAAUUAUGGAGAGUUGCACUAUUUCGGAAGCACAUAAUUAUACUUCCCUAUCAGGAUUUGGGGUAAACGAAGUGCUUUAUCUAUUGCAGUAAGCAAUGUGGACAAUAUCAGAGGCGAAAUAUUAAAAGAUCAUAACGCAUAUAUUGGAGCCAUUUAUCUUCCGCAACUGUUCUGAACUAUUCUUCAUUGUGGGCAGAUUUACUUAAAUACCUGCACAAUGAUUCAAUACUUCAAAGGUCAAGGAAAUGUCAAAAUAUGAAAUGAAAAUACUUAAAUACCCUUCUACCUAACAAAACUCGCAGAGAAUCUAUAAAAUUAAAAAAAAAAUAUUCAUCCAUGAAAAGCUUCGUAACAGAAAAACCGUCUUUCAAAAAAUAAAAACAGAAAAACUGACUCAUUUAUCUGCAAAUGAACCAAUCGGGACUCAUUUAAAAAAGAAUACAAAGCAAAAGUAAAUGACACAAAUUGCAUAGAUAUCUAGGAGCCGCAUCAAAAGACAAAGGUGUUAAUUUGUCCAAGAAUAAAUUCUCCUAGGUCAAAAGCAAUUAACGAUGAAAACUUUCUUCAUUAAGGUUCUGGCCUACGUAAAAAAACAGAAAAAAACCACCCCAAGGUCAAAGCACAACGAUAAAUUUAGAAAUGAAGUUUUUAAUUUUUUUUUAAUAAAUCAACGUGUAUCAAAAAUAGAUAAUAAUUUUGGAUAACUUUUUUUGAUAAAUAUAGACAUAAAAUUUUAAAAUCACCAAACAGAAAAACAGGAGAAUUAAAACAAAGUCCCUGUUUAUCCUCUAUUUUGCUUGUUAUUAAAAAGGGAAAUGAAAAGAUUGCAAGCGGAAAUUUUGUUUCUGCGUUGUCUCUUCUCAAUGCUGCAUGCAUUCAAAUUAAACCUUACAUAUGCUAGCAAACUAGCUACGCUGCAUGUAAGUUCUCGAUAAGUCCAAAUAAUAGAAUAAUUGUAAAAUGUUCAAAUUCAGUAAUUAAUUUUAUUUAUUUAUUUAUUCAAAAAUUAUUAUUAUUAUUAAUUAUUGUCAAUAAUAUAUUAAUAUACUAAUUAAUUGUAAAAAAAUUUAUCAUUCAUAACAAUAAUAAUGAUGAUGAUGACGAUAAUAAUAAAAAUUCAAAAUAUAUUAAUUAAUUAUAAUAAUAUAUUAAUUAUUUAAUAAUAAUAUAUUUAAAAUAUAUAUAAAUUGAUUAGAAUAGUUAUAUUAAUAAAUUAUAAACAUAUAUUAAUUAAUCAUAAUAAUUUUUUAAUUGAGGACAAAAUAGAUAUUUUAUAGUUUGUGAGAGGGGGCAAAAUGAUCAAUCUUGGGAAUGGGGGAUUGAUUCCCACCACCUUCCUUAGGAAUCAAUCUUCCAUUCCUCACUCCUAAUUUGGGUGGUCCCCAUAGUUCUGAUUCGGAUCCCAGCCUCCAUUUUAUGAAGUAAACAUCAUUAAUGAUUUCGAUUUCGGAUUUCGAUUCUCCAGUCCAAGAAGUAAAGGCACCAUUAUUGUUAAUUGGUUCAAACACACAAAGAGAAUGUACCAUGUAGCUAGGCGUCAAGGUUGUGUGGCACAAGUAACCUUUUUCUUUUCUUUUUAUUUUUCUUGUUUUCCUUAACGGAUCAGAAGAAAUCGGUGCCUUUGAGAUACUACAAUGUAAAUAAGUAUUUGUGGUUCAUUGAAUCUGUAACACUCGGUACCCUAAGGUUGCUUUUGAAAAAGGGCUUUUCUCACUGAUCACCAAUAUCCAAGUAAGUUUGUUUCAUUUCAGAAGGUGCAAAGUUUCAAACUUUUUGUAUUGGGAUGUAACAAACUUUGGCCUUAUAUGCUUGCUGUGACGUUAGACUGUUCAUUUUGAUUGUUUCCUACCUUCCACUUGCGCCACUGUAGCACUGUAUUAUUCAUCAUUUUAGUUGUUUAAAUGAAAUUUUAUUUUUGUCAAAAAUAAAAUGACACCAUUAAAAUUUAGAAAAAUAAUCAUGUAGAUCCCAAAUUUUUAAUAAAGAAUACCAAUAUUCCCCUUGACUACAAUACCCUUAGCAGGUGGUAAUCAAACAAAUUGACUUAAAAUUUUUUACGAAAUGUAAAUAUGAUUUAAAUAAUUUAAAUUUUCCAGAAGACUAAUAUAUAUAAUUUAAAUAAUUAAUUUCAAUAUUAAUUUUUAAAAUGUAAAUUAAUUUAUUUGUACUUAUAAAAUAUUUGUAAUUAUUUUAAAAUUUUAACUAAAUCCUUAGGUUAAAUAGAUUUUACAAUUAAUAUAAUAUUUCUCAGGUAUUAAUAAUAUUAAAACUAUUUUAUAUGACAUUGAAAAUAACCUAAAUUUUUUAUAUAUUUAUUUGAAUAUUAUGUCUCUAUUUAUUAUAAUUUGGUUUAAUAGAAUACGAGAUUGUAAAAUAUUAAUAUUUUAGAUAUUGAAAUUAUUUUAAUAUCUAUAUAUUAUUAUAUUUAUUUUAAUAUCCUAUUUAUAUUUAUCAUAAAUUAUUAGAGUUAAUUUUUUUAGUUAAUAAAUUUAAAAAUAUUAUAAUUUAAAAAAAGUCUUAUUGGCCGUUAUUCACGAUAUAAGGUUCUAAUAAAUUAUUUCUCUAGACAGGUGCCAUUUUCUUAUUUUCAAAAGGAAAAACAAGUUCAGGGCCUCGGGGGUUUCAAAAAAUUCUGGUCCUAUCUAUCACUAUGACUAAUGGGAAACGGCAUUGCAAUUGACAUUGCUUUUCGCAAUAUGACAUAUUAUGGAGGGAUAUGGGAGAAUUGUCAAACAUUCACACCACGCGAGAGCUUUAGGUGGGAUAGGGGAGGAUUGUCAAGAGUUCACACCACAAGAAACUAAUGAUAGGUCUAAUUUCGUUGUCAGUUCUUUAUUUAUUUAUUUUUUUUAUUUCAUACAUUAUUGUUCUUGUAAAGGUAUAAAAGUAAAGUAAAAUACUAGGGGUGCUGUUAAGUUACAACUGAUGUAACUUGUAAUUUUUUCAAAAAUAAUGUAAAAAAUUUAAUAGGUGGUGGGACUCACAUAUUUUUUAAGAGACUUAAGUUAUAGUAGUUGUAACUUAACAAAAUCUAAAUAUUAUACAAUAAUGCAUAUUAAUAAUGCAUAUAAUUUGGGUUUGAUUUUUAAAAGAUUAUUUGAGUACCACCUAUCCUUAUGAUAUUAAUGUGAUUAUAUCUUAAUAUUAAAUAAUCAAAAUUUGUUUAAUUAUUAUUUGUAUUUCAUACAUUACAUAUUAGAUUUGUUUGAAUUUUAAGUUGUUGCUAAUAAAUAUUUAUGUUGUCAAAGUCAAAUUCAAUAGCUACAAAAGCAGAGAUAAUGGUAUUGUAUAUAGUUUUUAAGAAUGCAAGGAUAAGCUGGAUAAUUGACAUAAAUUCUAAUGAUUAAAAGAGCAACUAUCCCUUAAAUUAUAAUGUUAAUUUCUUUAAUUAGAUUUUUUUUUUCAUGUGAUAUAACCACAAUUGCUACAAUUUUUUUUUAUAAUAAUAAUGGGAGUUAUAAAUUAUUUAUAUAAAAUUUGGGUUGAAACUAAUGUACCAUAAAAGUGGUUGCUGAAUAACAAUAUUUGAAACUUUAGGUAAUUUUCAUGAGUCCUUUUUAUAUUCAGCAACCUGAAUUGGGGAAAAUCCGACUUGAAUUGGCGGUUGAUUUUGGUGAUGUGGCUUUUGGUUUAUGGCGGCUUUACUGUGGCGGAAGACUGGAUUUACGGUUGCCGACUGCUAGGGAUUAUGGUGGUGGUGUAAAUUGACGGAAAAAGAAGGUGUUUUGGUGGCGGCGCGUGUAGGAAGCACUCGUGGGUUGUCGUUUCGUGUGGUGACAGAGGGCGGCGAUCAAGGGCCGAAGUCGGUCAGUUUUUGGUCAACGAAGGCCGGCGAGUUUGUUGGUGGAGGUGGCUGGUGGAGAAAGUGGCUGAAUGGUGGUGGGUUGCUUGGUGGAGCCGCAGGUUUGGGUUGGUGAUUUGCGGCUGUUCAAGCGGCGGUUGAGGCAGCGAUGACUGAGGCUUGGUCGACGGUGGCUAGUGAGGUUUGUGGUGGUGUUGGCUGGCUGAUUGGCGGUGGUGGGCGGCGGUGGGGGUUGGUCUGACGGGUAGGGUUUUCAAAUUUGUAAUUUUUUUUUUUGAUGGAUUUGGUUUGGAUGGGUAUGGUGUAUCUAGGAAAGAUGUGUGAUUCGCACAGAAUUGCUUUGAUACCAAUUGAUGGAGCGAGCGUAGCGGAAGUGGAAUUGAUAAGGUAAGAAAUACUAAAUAUCAUUCUAGUACUGGAUCAAGCCAACACAAUUAACUUACGCUUUAAUCAAAGCGUGAUUAGAUAUUGUUUUAAUCUAAAUGAUUCAAUGAGAUUUUUAAUAACGCGUAAUACGAGAUUAGAUGACACUCUAAUUUAAAUAACUCUAUAAGAGAGAUUUUGAUAAAUAAUACUAGAGGAAAUUAUAAAAAAAAGAGUUUUAUUUAAUAAUUGAAUUUGAAGUCCUGAAAACAAUGACAAGACAUCUUUAUUUUUUUUAUUACAGACAUCUUUAUUUAUAAUAAAAGAAAUCCACUUUCCUAAGUUAACCUAAAAAGAAAAUUUAAAUUAUAAUUAUAAUGGAAAUAAAAGAUUAAGAUACAUACCAUAAUUGACUCAAACAAAAAUAGAAAACCAUAAAAUAAUAAAUAUUUUAGAAUUAUAAAUUAUCUAAAAUAACGUUAAUUAACUUCCUAAAUCACGUCUUUGGUGUAAACCAUUUUGCAUCCAACCUUGCUUUAAAGGUUUGAACCAACGUUACGAACAACAAUGUAUCAAAUUCCAAUCUAACUUAAGAUCCUGAUACAUCUACCGAUGUCCUUGUUUGAUUAGACAAUAAUGAGUCUAUCUCAUCACUUGUUACCUCUUUUUUGAAGCUGCAUCUGUUGAAGUGAUAGCCUCGCUUAGAGUUUAAAGAUCUUCUUCCAUGUUAAAUAAAGUGGGCAUUUGAUUAAAAAACUUUAUCUCUAUCUCCUUCUAUCAAAUAACGAAAACUAUCCAAAGGAAAAAAAAAAAAUUAGAAAAGUCCAUGGGUUGCAAUAAUUUAUGGUCUGUCCUCGGACCCCAUUAUCUGCCAAUAUCAAUGAUGAAAAUGAAAAUAAAUGGCAUCUUCCCAAAAUGGCGAAAGAUUUUUAGGAGAUAUGGGGAAUUGUCAAAAGUUCCCACAACGCGAAAUAAGUGUUACAUCCAAUUUUAUUUCAUCAUAUAAUGAUAAUAUCAAGUAAUGACAGCCAUCUAAAAGUAUAAUGGGUCUUCCAAAAUUUUGAAAAUGUCGUCAACAUUUAAUCUUCAAUGCUAAAGAAGAUGAAAUGCCCAAAAAUGACAUGCAGGACCCACUCACAGACUAAACGGCCCUGACCACAUGCAACAAACUUUGACUUUAUGUCCCUGCUGAGGCGUUAGACUGUUGGUCAUUUUGAUUGCUUUUUACAUUCCAUUUACGCCAUUGUAGCAUUGUACUAUUUACCAUUUUAGCUGUUUAAAUGAAUUUUUUUUUCCAAAAAUAAAAUGACACCCUUAAAAUUUUAGAAAAUAAUCAUGUAGACCCCAAAAUUUUAAUAAAGAACACCAAUACCCUUUUUGACUAUAGUACUCUUAUGGUAGCCACAAAAAAAAAAUGACUUCAAAAUUUUUUACUAAAUGUAUAUAUGAUUUAAAUAGUUUAAAUUUUCUAGUAGACUAGUAUGUAUAAUUUAAAUAAUUAAUUUUUAAAAUGUAAUUUAAUAUAUUUAUUUUAAUAAUAUAUUUAUUAUAAAAAUUUUAAACAAAUCCUUGGGUUAAAUGGAUUUUAUAAUUAAUAUAAUAUUUCUCAUGUUUUAAUAAUAUUAAAAUUAUUUUAUAUGAUAUUGAAAAUAAUUAAAAAUUUUAUAUAUUUAUUUGAAUAUUAUGUCUCUAUUUAUUAUAAUUUGGUUUAAUAGAAUACGAGAUUGUAAAAUAUUAAAAUAUUUUUAGGUAUUGAAAUUAUUUUAAUAUGUACAUAUUAUUAUAUUUAUUUUAAUAUCCUACUUAUAUUUAUUAUAAAAUAUUAAAAUUAAUUUUUUUAGUUAAUAAAUUUAAAAAAUAUUAUAAUUAAAAAAAAGAGUCUUAUUGUCUGUUAUUCACGAUAUAAGGUUCUACAAAAUUAUUUUCAAAAGGAAAAAUAAGUCUAGGGGUUUCAAUAAAUUCUAGUCCUAUUUGCCACUAUGACUAAUGAAAACGACAUUGCAAUUGACAUUACUUUUCGCAAUAUGACAAAUUUUUGGAGGGAUAUGGGAGAAUCGUCAAAUGUUCACACUACGCGGGAGUUUUGGAUGGGAUUGGGGAGGAUUGUCAAGAGUUCACACCACAAGAAACCAAUGAUAGCCAUAAUUUUGCUAUCAGAUCUUUGUUUAUUUAUUUUAUUUAUUUCAUACAUUGUUGUCUUGUUGGCAUUGUUUUGCAAAGAUAUAAAAGUAAAAUAAACUAUUAGGGUGCUGCUAAGUUAAGCUGUUGUAACUUACAAUCCCUUAAAAAAUAAUGUAAAAAAUUUAACACGUGGUGGGAUCGACAUAUGUUUGAAGAGGCUUUAAGUUACAGUAGUUGUGACAUAGCAAAAUCCAAUUAUUAGACAAUAACGCACAUUAACAAUGCAUAUAAUUUGGGUUUGAUUUUUUGAAAAAUUAUUUGAGUAUUAACUAUCCUUAAGAUAUUAAUGUGAAUAUAAUUUAAUAUUAAAUAAUCAAAAUCUGUAUAAUUAUAAUAUAUAGUUCAUACAUUGCAUGUUUAAUCAAAAUCUGAUUGCUUUUUACCUUCCAUUUACGCCCACUGUAGCAUUGUACUAUUCACCAUUUUAGCUGUUUAAAUGAAAUUUUUUUUUUUUCAAAAAUAAAAUGACACCCUUAAAAUUUUAGAAAAUAGUCAUGUAGACCCCAAAAUUUUAAUAAAGAACACCAAUACCCUUUUUGACUAUAGUACUCUUAUGGUAUUCACAAAAAAAAAAAAUGACUUCAAAAUUUUUUACUAAAUGUAAAUAUGAUUUAAAUAGUUUAAAUUUUCUAGUAGACUAGUAUGUAUAAUUUAAAUACUUAAUUUUUAAAAUGUAAUUUAAUAUAUUUAUUUUAAUAAUAUAUUUAUUAUAAAAAUUUUAAACAAAUCCUUGGGUUAAAUAGUUUUUAUAAUUAAUAUAAUAUUUCUCAUGUUUUAAUAAUAUUAAAGUUAUUUUAUAUGAUAUUGAAAAUAAUUUAAAAUUUUAUAUAUUUAUUUUAAUAUUAUGUCUCUAUUUAUUAUAAUUUGGUUUAAUAGAAUACGAGAUUGUAAACUAUUAAAUAUUUUUUGGUAUUGAAAUUAUUUUAAUAUGUAUAUAUUAUUAUAUUUAUUUUAAUAUCCUACUUAUAUUUAUUAUAAAAUAUUAAAAUUAAUUUUUUUAGUUAAUAAUUUUAAAAAAAUAUUAUAGUUAAAAAAAAGAGUCUCAUUGUCCGUUAUUCACGAUAUGAGAUUCUACAAAAUUAUUUUCAAAAGGAAAAAUAAGUCCAAGGGUUUCAACAAAUUCUAGUCCUAUCUGCCACUAUGACUAAUGGAGACGAUAUUGAAUUGACAUUGUUUUUCGCAAUAUGACAAAUUUUUGGAGGGAUAUGGGAGAAUCGUCAAGCGUUCACACCAUGCGAGAGCUUUAGGUGGGAUAUGGGAGAAUUGUCAAGAGUUCACACCAAGAGAAAUUAAUGAUAGGCCUAAUUUCGUUGUCAGUUCUUUAUUUAUUUAUUUUAUUUAUUUCAUACAUUAUUGUCUUGUUGGUAUUGUUUUGUAAAGAUAUAAAAGUACAAGUAAAAUAUUAGGGGAAGUAAAGUAAAAUAUUGGAGGUGCUGCUAAUUUACAGCUGCUGUAACUUACAGUUCCUUCAAAAAUAAUGUAAAAAAUUUAACACGUGGUGGGACCCACAUUAUGUUUGAAGAGGCCGUACAUUAUAGCAGUUGUAAAUUAGUAAAAUCCAAAUAUUAGACAAUAAUACACAUUAACAAUGCAUAUAAUUUGGGUUUGAUUUUUUAAAAAAUUAUGUGAGUAUUACCUAUCCUUAAGAUAUUAAUGAGAAUAUAUUUUAAUAAUAAAUAAUCAAAAUCUGUUUAAUCAUAAUAUGUAAUUGAUACAUUGCAUGUUAGAUUUGUUUGGAUUUUAAGUUGUUGCUAAUAAAUAUUUAUGUUGUGAAAGUCGAAUUCAAUAGCUACAAAAGCAGAGAUAACGGUAUUUUAUGUAGUUUUUAAGAAUACAAGGAUAAGACCAUAACGCAUGAGAUAAUGGUAUUUUAUAUAUAUUAAAAGACCAUAACACAUGUAUUUGAGCCAUUGAUAUUGAAGACACAUAUAGAGGAAAGAGUGCAGAUCCGGCCCUCAGUAUUGUGAAGCUUUCCUCAAGUAUUCUCAUGCACACAGACCUUAUCUGGUCAAGUUUUCUGAUUCAAUAUAAUCAAUUUCCGCGCAGUACUGACGACAGCUUCUCUGUAAAGCUCUUCAACCACAAGCAUUUCUACAAGGCAAAAGACUAGGACGUGUCAGAAUGAAUAUCAAUAAGGGAAUGUCUUAUGAAUUUAGUUUAUAUCCUAAUAUAAGACAAUCAGUAAAUAUUGGACUCAUUAGUUGCCCUUGCCUCAGACGUUUGGAUGCUAAGGGGAAAAAGGAAGUUUGAAUUAGUCAAUCUCAUUUCUAAUGGCAUUCACAGAGAACUUAUAAAACAAAAAAAUUAUAAAAAAAAAUUCAUCCAUAAAAAGCUUAGUAACGGAAAAACCGACUCUUUUAUCUGCCACUGACGAAAAAAAAACUGAAGUAUCAAAUAGAUAAAGAUUUUAAUUUUUUUCUUGGAAAAACUAAUAAUAAAUUAACAAUUGGAUAAUACUAUUAAUUAGAGAUCUUUAAUAUUAAGGUUAUCAAAGAUAGAAUGUGUAUAAAAAUUCUUAAUUAUAAGAUAAUUACUAACUAAAAAGAGGCCUAAAAAAGAAGAUUUGCUAUUAUAAGUAAUACCAAAAAUAAAAAAGGGAGACUUCCUAAUUGUUUAAUUGUUAAAAAAGAGGAUUUGCUAUUAUAGGCCUAAUUUGCCUAUAAGUAAUACCAAAAAUAAAACCGUUCCUGGAUGUAAAAAAUAAAAAUUAUUGUUAAAUUCCUGACUAAUAAGGUCAUUGAAAGUAUUCAAAGGACCUGAACUUAUAGGAAAGCCAGCCAUGAUGAACUAUACCACGUUGCAAGUGAGCUCGUAUCUUCAUCCCUUGAUCUGCCAUCGGCAUUUCUGUUCCACUCACUAUACCAUCCUUUUCAAUCGAUUUUUAUUGAUCAUAAGAGGCCAUGUGGCCCACCUUAUUUUUAUUUUGGAUCCAUAACCCAAAGCUGGCCCAAGUUCUGAUUCCAGAAUCAUUUGUCUACAAAGUGACCUCAUUCCGGCAAUUGGUUUAUGCUAAUAGCACGUGCAAUUUUCAUUUUCUUCUUUUUAUUAAUUAAUUUCAUCAUUAUUAUUUGCUUAUUAUUUUAAAUUAAUUAAUUAAAUUGUAUUAUUGAAAUUAGUCUUUCUUUUUUCUUUUCUCUUUCAAUGCACAAAGCCAAACAACCAUUCUUGCUUCAAAUACCGAAGAGCUCCUGACUACGGCUGUCAAUGCUUCUAUAUUUACGUGCUGUGCUGCAUCACUCUUAGCGAAAGCUUGAAUGAAUGAUUAAAGACAAAAGCUUAUAUAAAAGCAGAUGCCGGAGGCACUCAAAAAGCAUUUGAGAGAGAAGCUACACAGCAAAUCAUCAAACGUACUUCAAUGACUUUGAUUUUGAUUCUUUUUUUUUUCAAAAGAAGUAGAAAAGUCCAUGGAUCACGAUAACUGCUUGUCCUAUGCCGUGACCUCAUUGUCCGCUGCUAGUGUCAAAUAGAUUAAUCUUUCUAGUAGAUUAAUAUAAUUUAUAAUUUUAAUUUCAGUAUUAAUUUUUAAAAUGUUAGUUGUUAUAUUUAUUUUAAUAAUAUAUCUAUUUUUAGUAUAAAACUUUAAAUAUAUAUUUAGAUUAAAUAGAUUUAUAAUUAAUAUAAUAUAUCUCAUGUAUUAAUGAUAUUUAAAUUAUUUUAAAUAAUAUUAAGCCUAACUUAAAAUUUUAUAUAUUUAUUUUAAUAUUAUGUUUCUAUUUAUUAUAAAAUUUAGUUUAAUAUAAUAUAAGAUUGUAAAGUAUUCAAAUAUUUUUUAAAUAUUGAAAUUAUUAUAAAAUGUAUAUAUUGUUACAUUUUUAAUAUUGAAGUCAAUCUUUUUUAAGUUAAUAGAGUGAAAAGAUAUUAUAAUAAAAGGCUACGUAAUCUUUCACUUGCACAUAUUCUGUACUCUCUGGAGCAGGACGGUAGGAAAUAUGAUUACAAAUGUUAAAUUCGCCUUUCUUCACAAGUUUAUCAGCUUCGUUUGCGGCCUCUGCUGCUUGUUUACCAAGCUUGUAACAAGAAAUCAAAUUUGGGCACAACCUUUUGAAGCAGAACAUCUUAGCUCUAUCUUUAUCAUCAAUGAUUGAUUUUGCAACCCCUUCACUGAAUUCAGCAACUCUAUUUAGCCAGUCUCUGACACCCUUAUAAAUCUCAUCUCCUUGUAGAGUAGCCUCUCUAACCAGCAUUUGCACCCUUUCUCUUAUAUAUUCCAGCUCCUUCACUCAAUCUUUUAGCCCAUCUAUGUAGCUCUGGUACUCGGAACACAUAAGAUAUGUGCCACAUAAUCGGUUUGAAUAAUGCUUUUGAACCUUGUGAUACAAUGCUAGAAAAAGUAGGGAGACACCCUUCUGCAGCCAUUGCCUGUUGCUUAACAAUCUAUAUAAAUAAAUACAAGUGUCAAAGAAAGGAAUACAGAUAAAUUAAAAUGAACUAGUGGGAAAGACAGAGAAUGAAAAGACUGCAAACAAUAUUGCGAUAUUGAUCUUGAACUAACUAAUAAUUAAAUAGAGAAUUUCUUUUUCUUUCUUGAGGAUCAGAGAUUUUGCUAUUAACAAAAAGGUACUUCGAGGGUCUGAAUAAAAAACCAACCAUAAAUUAUCAAAAGCUAGUAAAAACACAGACGUAAAUAAUGAACAAUUACUUAAGCAAAACAGACCAUGAUACAAAGCAAAUCUAAUAAAAUGACAAAAAAAGAAAGAAAGAAAGAAAGAAAGAAAAUACAACAAAUAAUAUUGAAGUGUUGAUUAUGAGCCAACUGAUAUUUAAACAGAUUUUUUUAAAAUUUUUAGUCUUUUGCUAAAGGAUUAGAGUUUUUGUUAUUAAUAGAAAGGUUUUAAAGACCUGACAUUACUAGAAAAAUACUAAAUAAUGACAGAAAUUUUAUAACAUAUAUCGUUAUGUCACGAAUGUGUCAUGAAAAUAUGAUAGAUUCGUGAUAUAUAUUCAUGUCCAGAGUAUAUGACAUAUUCAUGACUUAUAACUUAACCAUCGUAAAUAAAUGAUACAUAUAAGUCAUGCUUAAGUUUUGUGAACUUAUAAGAUUGUAAAACAAUGCCGUUUAAAUUAACGACACCGUUUUGUAUAACUUAAAACCCAUUAACACUCGCAGCCAAAUUUUGGCUAAGCGUUGAAUUAAUCCCUCUCUCCACUGUAGAGAUGGCAGAAAAGCCCGCUCAGACCGGAUCCGGACUGGACCCGGUGCAUACGGUCCGGGUAAAACCCGGAUCGGAUGCAUGGAAAAAGCGGAUCCGGGCACGGGUCCGGUCACAGCACCAAGAAUCUGGAACCCGGACCCGUGC
Molecule: long non-coding RNA, 153620 nt
Filed under: Citrus x clementina
Lineage: Eukaryota; Viridiplantae; Streptophyta; Magnoliopsida; Sapindales; Rutaceae
Description: Citrus clementina (C. clementina) long non-coding RNA (CCLE_LNC002787)
Source: RNAcentral